UUACUUUCUAGAGCUCUAUAAAUUCGAACUCUAUAUCAAACUGAUCAAGUAACUCACUCAAUCAGCUCUCUGAAAGAUAACAAAAUGAGUACUCCUUUUGUAACUGCAAUCUCCUUCCUUCUCCUUACCUUUGCCACAAAACCUCUUGUGGGACUCGCUGAUCCUUUGGUUGAUGUCAAUGGCAACAAGGUCGAAGCAUCCCGAGACUACUAUUUGGUCUCAGCAAUUCGAGGAGCAGGCGGUGGCGGCCUCACCCUCUUCAGGGGCAGAAACGAACUCUGCCCACUUGAUGUUGUCCAACUAAGUUCCGACUCAGAAAGAGGAACCCGUUUAAGAUUCUCAAUGUCUGAUAAAACUAGUAUUAUCAAUGAAGAUGUGGAUCUGAACGUGAGAUUCUCGACAGAGACUCGCUGCAACGAACCAACAGUAUGGAGAGUCGACAGCUAUGAUCCAUCGAGAGGAAAAUGGUUUAUAACAACUGGUGGUGUUGAAGGAAACCCUGGAGCUCAAACUUUGAAAAACUGGUUUAAGUUUGAGAGAAUUGGAAGAGAUCGAGGUGAGUAAUAGGGAUAAAAAUACCUAUAUUUCUUUAUUUAAGUUUCUGUUUAAUUUUUAUAUUUUAAAAAAUACCUCAAAAAUUUAUAAUGUAAUAUGUUAUAUUCUUAUUCCAUUUUUUUCUUUUCUUUUAAUGAAAUAAGUUAAUUUGACAUAUUAUAAUUUUUUUUUAUUGAUAUCCUAAAAAUAUUGCUGUAAGGAUAUUAUUGUAAAAAGAAAGGAUGGAAUUGUGACCUAUUUAACAAUAAAAGUAUCUUGAGAUUUUUUUUUAAAUAUAGAGAUUAAAUGAAUGUUUAACUCAAAAUAGAAGCAGUAAAUAAACAUUUACCCUAAGUAAUAAUGAUAACUGAACACAAAGUUUGAAGAGACAAAUAAUGAGAAAAUACGACAAAUACCAUCUCACUUAUCUUGUAUUGAUGUUUUUUUUUUUAACUGACUUUACAAAAUUGUAUAUUAAUGUAUCAUUGCUCUUUCCAGCUACGUACAAGAUUGUUCACUGUCCUUCCGUUUGCGAAUCCUGUGUAUCUUUAUGCAAUGAUGUUGGGGUUUCUAACGAUCAUGCUCGACGUUUGGCUCUCACUAAUGGGCGCGCGCUUGCUGUUGUUCUAGUCCCUGGUAAUGAGAGAUCAGCCUCAUGUGCGUCUUGAAUGCCCUUGUAUCAUUACUCUAAAUAAUGGAUCGGGCUAGCUCCUUGACGCUUAUAACAUAAACAAAAAUGUCAUUGCUAGCUAGCCUGUGUACCUUUGAAAGAAAUAAAAGUGGCGAAUUUUGACUGUUUAAUCUCUUAGAGCUUUGGGUAUGACUGAGGAGUUAUAUCUUGGGGGACAAAAGCUACCUUGACAGGGAUAAAAAAAUUUAUUUGAAAAAAAAUGAAAUAUUUCAAUCAACCAUGACAAUAUUCAUAGGCAUAUUCAUGUGACUAAGUUGAGAAAUUAAUAUUCUUUCAAGUGAUAGGCUUAAGCAUUACAGUUAAAAAAAAGUUGUGACAAUCAGCUUAUUCAGAUAUCUGUACCUCACAAUCGUGGAUCUUAUCCCAACUAACAUGCUUUAAGACAAUGAACAAAACCGUGUAGUUAAACACAUUUCAAUUGUCUUCAACCAAACCGUGAAACAGAUAUCAAUUGUCUUGAUGCAAAUAAAUAUGAGUAAUAUCUUGCUAAUAUUUUGGACCACUUGUUAGUGAAUGUAACGUACAAGGUAUCUCCAAUUCUUAACUGUUAGGAAAUUGAGUUUCCUCCUAAGAUCUCUCCAAGUAAUUUAUCAAGCAACAAAUUAAUAAGAAAAAUUAAAUGGAGAAUAUACCAAUCGCACAACACAAGAUUUACGUGGAAAACUCUAAAUCCGGAGAAAAACCACGGCCGUUGUCAAAAAGACAAUCAGAGAAAAAAUAUUCACUAUGUGAAAAAUUAUUACAACCACACUCUCAUAAAUUUUCUCUCACCCAAGCCCCAGAUGCACCCAAAAUACUAAACUUUCCUAAUACUCACUUAAUGCUUAACUUGCAUUAGAUUUUACAACUUUGAAUGUUUCUCUUUGGGAUCAUUAAAAUGAAGGAAGGGCAUCUCCUAUUUAUAGGCAAAAAACUUGCCUAAAAGUCUUCAAGUUUGAUCAAAUUUGGUGGCUUACCCACCAAAUUUGAUCAACAAAUUUGGUCAUGUUCAACCAUGGCUGCUCCCAUGGUUCAAGAAUGGAGGCUAAAGUCUUUACUUUGACAUUCUCCCACUUGGAGAUUUGAUUGAGAAUCAAUCAAUCUCCACACCACCCUUGUUGUCUUCACCUUUAGUCAUAAUUCUCAACAUAGAGAAUUAUCAUACUCCACCAUAAAGAGUAUACCACUUAGAAUUAAUUACCAAUUCUAAGAAUUUUACAUCGGCACAUGUCGAAAUAUCCUACUGAAAUUUAUGGUGCAACUUCCAUGUUGGCUUUCUUGGAAAUUCAUCAGCCAUCGACAUAAAUUCCACCACACACCCUGCAUCAAUGCCAACUAUGCCUUGUGUGUAAAUCUUGUGGACCCACUAGUAGUAAAACAUCCCCUUUCAUGGUACUAACGGUAUACCAUGAGGAUGUCAUCAUCAUCUAUUUUACAAGGGAUCAUCGUCUCCCACGAUGAUGAGAGACUUACCACUAGCAAUACUAUCAGUAUCUGAUCUGGAGCCACUUGUCGAUCCUGCUCCAUUUCUACUAUGACAAUCUCUUUUUAAGUGCCCUGAUUGUCCACACCCCCAGCAGACUCCUUUCUUCUUAGAUUUAUCUUUCUGCCAAUUCCCUACAACUGCUAAAGCUGAGACAUCUGUAGUUUUAGUACUUUCACCACUCAGUCUUCUUUCUUCUGAGAGUAAAGUACUAGUAACUUCUUCAAGAUCUACUGUCUCCUUCCCGUACAUCAAAGUAGGUAACAAGUGUUUGUAGGAAGUUGGAAGUGACCAUAGUAACCUAAGCGCCUUGUCCUCAUCUUCAAUUUUAACUCCAAUGGCUUCUAGUUCUGACACAAUACCAUUGAGAACACUGAGGUGAUCGGAAAUUUUUGUACCUUCAGCCAUUCGCAGUGUGUGAAAUCGCUCCUUCAGGUACAAUCGAUUUGAGAUGCUCUUUGUCUGAUACAACUUUUCUAGCUUCUCCCAAAGUUCUUUCGCUGUAGGAAUUUUUCCUACAUUUGCAAGAACAUUCUUUGCUAGACACAGUCGUAUGGCACUUGCAGCUCGAUCAUCUAAUUCUUCCCAAUCUUCAUCACUUAUACUAGCUUUUCCAGAGCCACUACUGGAAGCAGGGGAUGGCUUCCCCUUUAAUGCCUUGUGUAACCCAAAUUGAAUCAACACAUCUUUGACUUGAACUUGCCACAAGCCAAAGUUAAUUCUCCCAUCGAAUUUUUCUAUUUCAAAUUUCACCGGACUUGAAAAUUUCAAUCCUAACAUAUUUGCUUUACAGAUCAGCUUUUACUUUUCACCACGGACUGUUUGGAUUGGCUCCCACUGCUUCACGUGAAUAGUACCGUAUACGUGAACAGUGCCUCGACACCAAAACUUCAAUUAAUGGCUCUGAUACCACUGUUAGGAAAUUGAGUUUCCUCCCAAGAUCUCUCCAAGCAAUUUAUCAAGUAACAAAUUAAUAAGAAAAAUUAAAUGGAGAAUAUAUCAAUCAUACAACACAAGAUUUAUGUGGAAAACUCCAAAUCCGGAGAAAAACCACAGCCGUUGUCAAAAAGACAAUCAGAGAAAAAAUAUUCACUAUGUGAAAAAUUAUUACAACCACACUCUCAUAAAUUUUCUCUCACCCAAGCCCCAGAUACACCCAAAAUACUAAAAUUUCCUAAUACUCACUUAAUGCUUAACUUGCAUUAGAUUUUACAACUUUGAAUGUUUCUCUUUGGGAUCAUUAAAAUGAAGGAAGGGCAUCUCCUAUUUAUAGGCAAAAAACUUGCCUAAAAGUCUUCAAGUUUGAUCAAAUUUGGUGGCUUACCCACCAAAUUUGAUCAACAAAUUUGGUCAUGUUCAACCAUGGCUUCAACCAUGGCUGCUCCCAUGGUUCAAGAAUGGAGGCUAAAGUCUUUACUUUGACAUUAACUAGGAUUCAUAGGGCUAAAUAUAUUAGAAUAUAUAGUAUUUAAGUCAGAUCAUUGUUAAAUAAUUUAUUAGAAUUUGCCUUGUUUUUUUGUAUUUGAGUUUUUUUUUCUAGCUAGUAUAGUUUUAUAUAUGUUAGACCAGUAACUUCUUUCUCGCUUAUUUUAUUAGAAUUUUCCUAUGGAUCUACUCAUGCUCAAAAGUUAAGCUUUAGAUUUGAAAGUUACCUCAAGCUUAUAUUAUUAGUCCAGUAAUCGGGAUGGUAAAAAAAAAAUUCAACUUGACUUUAUCCCUAAUAAACUAGCCUGGACAUAUUUUUCAAACACUCGGCUAAAUACAUGCUCAGGCCUCACCUUAAAAGCUUGAUACCAACCCGAAAGCUAGAAAAUUGUUUUGCAAUAGAAAUACAUAUAUUUUUUAAUUAGAAUACACAUUUUAAUAUUUAUUUACCUCACUAAUAACAUAUAUUUGAAGUUCUAAAUCCUUUAACCCAACUUUUAAAUACUAGUCUAAUAAAAACAAAAUUUUAUAAACUACCAAGUUGUUUUACAAAUUAAAUUUUAUUUAUAAAACACCUUUUAAUAUAUUUUAAAGUUUAUAACGUUUUAUUUUUAUCAUAUUAGGCAUUAGAAAGAUUUAAAUGUUGUUAUGAAUGGGCUAAAUAGAUACAAAAACAUAUAUUUUAACUUUUUGGUUUUAAGUAUUUCUCUUGCUUUAAGUUGGGUUCAGGUUUUUUAGGUGAAACCUAAGCCCAACAUAAGUGUGUUGAGAAAAUAUGUUCUGGGCGGGUUACCUGCUAUGGUGGACCCGACUUAUUUUGUCAUCCUUAGUAUUGGACUAAUAUAAAUUUGAGGCAACUAUUAACUUUUGAGUUAGUUUUUGGGUAUAAAUUGAGCAUAUGGGCUUAUGGGUUCUAUACUAUGACGGAACCCACAAAUUAAUUGUUGAUUGAAAAUGAUAUUUAACAUCUCAAUGUAGUCCUUUUAAGUUAGAAAAUAGGAGUUGGACCAUUGGCACCCACCCAAUCUCCUCAUGCAACCCCAUUUUUAAUUGUAUUUAUUUUAUUUCUGAAAAUGUCCUUUUUCUUAAUACAUUCUUUUAACUUUUAAUUUAAUUUUUUUAUUAUUAAAACUCAAAGUAGUAUUUUGUCUUUUUUUUUUUGUGUGGGGGCAAUCUCGUUGUUUGUCUACACACAAAUUAAAAUUUUUUUUAGGUAAUGAAUUUUUAGAUGUCAAUCAUUGGUUUAAAUUAAACUAUUUUAAAUUAUAACUUGGAAGGAACUUAAAUACAAAAAUAUAUAACCAGUAAGAAAUAAGGAAAAAAAAUAUUUUAAGUCUAUUUUAAUUAGAUAGGAAGUGACGAUAGAAAAUAAAAAAGAAGGAUUGAUUGUGAAUUCAAGAAUUUGUUGGACAAAAAAUCACUGUGUGUUUGAUUCUUGUUUGUUUUGACUAUAAUUUUAUUUAAAGUGGGGUUUUAUAAGGAUAAUAAAGGGGUGCCAAUAGCUUCAUUUGGAAAAUAAUUUUUAGCUUGAUGAUAUGAGCUUCAAGCAACCUUUAACUCUUGUUUUAACUUUUUAGUAUGAGUUAGGCCCAUAAGAUUCGAUAUGAUCACAUCAUAACCCCCUACAUUAAAAUGAUUUUAAUAUGUUUCGAUUUUUUUGCUUUUACUAAUUGUUGAAAAUAAAGAGUAGUAUAGAUAAGGAUAACAAUUGAUUUUUGUAAGCAUCAAGGCUUAACUUAUAAAAUGAACGAAAAUAUUAAAACGGAUAUGUUACAAUUACCAGGAAAAGAAAUGUUACAAUUAUAAUGAUUAUGAUUGUUUAACGAGUUAAUCCUUGAUGCUGAAUUUAUUUGAUUGAUUCACAAUAUAUUAUUAAGGAUUAACUGGUUGUCCAGGUGUCCUAUUGAUAGACUGUGUUUUGGCGCUCGCUAGGGGCACCUUGCAUUGAGGUAAAUACGGAUGAUUUGGCUACAGGUAAUCCCAGAAUCUCGGAUUGUGGCUUUUUUCAAGGCUUUAAUGGUGCUUUUACGAAGCCGCCUUACUGUGGCUCUGGGCCUUGUUUUGCUGUAAAUGCCAUUCAAGCUGUUAAUAUUGCUCUUUCCAUGGGAUGGCAAUUUGUUUGGCCGAAGAGGGAUUCAAAUCUGCUAACUCUUGCUUAUUUGCAGAACUCUCUUUUUCAUCUGCCGGGGCAACUCGUAUUUAGUGGUUGAACUGUCUAUAACAGAUCAGUCAUAUGUAGUUUCGUAGUCAUAUUAAUUUUGAAGGGUAAUUCGGUUGCUGAUUGCUUAGGAAAGGCCGGGUCUAACUGAUUCGAGGCCCUUGGUGAACUUUUUUUUUUUUUUCUUUUAAAGACAUUCUUACGUUAAACAACAUUAAUUCCGAAAGAAAUAUUAAAUAGCUUAUAAUUCAACUAUCUUUAAUAAUAUAUUGAAUUUCAACAAUUAUCAACAUGAUCCUGACAAAUAAUAAAAAAAGAUAUAUAUUUUUAGUGAUCAUCUUCAAAGUUGAUUAUUUCAUUCACUAUUUCAAUUUUGAUUUUCAAUUUUGUAAGUAUAUCGUUUCUCUUUAAAAUACUAAUACAUAUCUUUUUUUACUAGCUGUGAAAAAUUUAUCAAGAGCUCGUUUUUGAGAUCUGACUAAUUUUUCUGCUCUCCUUUUUUUUAAAAUUUUUUUUGUAGCUUUUCAUAUUCUAAUGCUUAUUUUCUAGUUGACAUGCUUUUCAAAUCUAAAUAACAAACAAAUAAACAAACACAAAUUUUCUUUUCUAGAUUAUUCGAGCCAUAUAUCAGUACAAAAAAUAAAAAUAAAUUAAAUUUUAAAAAAGAUAAGAAUAGUAACAAUUAAAAAUAGAAUUAUUGAUACCACUUAGCAAGUUGACUAGUUGAGAUGAAUAUAAUGAUUAGAUGAUGACAAUAAAUUUCGUACAAAAGAAUUUUCUUUAUAGAGAGGAGAGUAACAAAUUGUUUAAUUGAGAAUAUCAUUGAUUCACUAUCUAUUUGUUUUGGGUUUUUAUAUAGAUUUUUAUAGAAUACUAAGAGUUAGUUCUAAAAUAUAAGGUUAAUAAUUUUAAUAGAGUAAUUUUUGAAAAAGAGAAGGCAUUGAAUUUUUUUUUAAAUAAAGAAGUAACAUUUAAAGUCAUUAUUCAACUGAAAAAAUAUAUUUAUUUUUAAUAAUAAGGAGAUGUCUAGAAAUUAUGCUUUCCUACAAUAUAUACUUAGCUAAAAAUAAUUUUGAAUAACAAAAAAAAAAUUAAUUAUACUAACUAAUAAAUAGAUAAACAAAAAUUGCGGCAUCCAUAAAUAUUGGGUUCGCCUAGUGGUAAAGUGUUACAUCCUUAAAACUCGAGGCAUGCCAAUGUUUGGCUUGCGGCCUUGUGCCAAGCAUGGCUACGCAGCGGAUGUGCGCGGGAAGGCACGAAAGCAAGUCAAGUUUGUGCGCAAGUUGGGGCGCAACAAAAACUAAACGGGCUGAUGGACAACACACAAGAUAUGUGCGAGGCAGCGCACAAGUGCUCCGAGGGAUAGUGCACACACAAAGGUGCGCAAGGCAUGCGCACGCACACACGCACACUAGCAAGAGCCACACACAAGCAACAGGCCAGGGGGUUGUUGGAGUAAUUUUUUAUAAUAAUGAUUUUGAUGAUAACAAACAUGUUUUCAAUUGAUAAGUUUAAAAUUUUUUGUUAAUUGGAUCAAUUUUUUAAGCCAUAUAAUAUUCAAAGCAAAGAAAAACCUUAUGGAAAUAAACAGCAAAACAUUUACAGAAAAUGGAAAACCGAUUACAUUCCAGAGAAUGAAUUUUCAGAAAACGGUAAACCGUUUAUAGAAAAUGGCAAACUGAUUGCAUUAACCGUUUAUGGUUAACAGUACACCCAAUGCAUUCCAGAGAGCAAAUUUCAGAUAUCGGCAAAUCGUUAACGGAUAACGGUAAACCGAUUUCAUUCCAGAGAGGAAAUCAUAUAUAACGAUCAAUGGAUAACGGUAAACCAAAUGCAUUCCAGAGAGCAAAUCUCAGAUAACAGUAAACCGUUUAUGGAUAACGGUAAUCCGACUGCAUUCCAGAGAGUGAAUCUUAGAUAACGGCAUACUGUUUAUUGAUAAUGGUAAACCGAUAACAUUUCAGAGAACAAUCAUCUUGCAAACAGUAAACCGUUUAUGUCAAACGAAUAACUGACAUCUUUGAACAAGUUUAUAGAAUGAUAAUGGUAAUCCAACUUCCUGCUAAUAGUGAUCUGGCAAUUUGACUUUCGGCGUAGCGGUAACUUGCUUAAGUCAAAACGGCAAUUUGACAAUGGGCAGAAAGUCAAUAACAGCUAAUUUUCAGCUCCAUCUAUAAAUUAUCUCAAUCAAAUUCAAACAAGAAGUGAUUCAACUAUUGGGAUUGAGCAAACAAUUAAGCAUACAACUUUCCUUGAGCUUUAAAAUUCUUGUGUUCAUCACAUUUACUCACACUUUUAGAAUUUCAUUUGUAAUCAAUAAAUUGUGUGAGAGAUAUUUAUUUUGUAAUGCUUUUUGAAAAAUCGAAUUGAGAGGUUGUAAGCAUUGGGAUACACUUGCGUUAAGAAAUUAAGGAUAAUCUCUUGUUGUAAAGGUUCAUUGACACCUUUGAAGUCAAUUAUAAGAGUGAUUAAAGCCUUGGAGGCUUGCUUAGUGGAAUCUUCAAGCUCGUGAGCUUGGAGGCAUGAAUGUAAGCAUGGUUGGCCGAACCACAUAAAAAUUGUGUGUUUGCUCUCUCUUUUCCCUUACUCUUUUAUUUUUGAGUAUUGUUAAAUUUAUUGCUUUUGUUUUCAUUAAGGCAUUAGAUUAAAAUUGUUGUGUGGUUUGAUUAGCUUAAAUUUUAGAAUAUUAAUUCACCCCCUCUUGGGUUGCAUAGUUAGUAUUUCAUUUGGUAUCAGAAUGAGGUUCUCUUAUUAGGACUUAACCGUCUAGAGUAAAAGAUCCAUGACAACUCAAAAUGAUUCAACUUUUAGGGAAGGACAGUGCAUAACUAGACCACCAUUCUUUGACGGUAAUGACUACCUAUAUUGGAAAACUAGAAUGAAAAUUUAUUUGCAAGCUUUAGAUUAUGAAAUUUAGGAAGUUGUUUGUAAUGGUCUAUUCAUGCCUAUGACUAAAAAUGAAGUAGAAGAUGAUAUUCCAAAACCUUCAAGUCAAUGGAGUGAGUUAGAAAAGAAAAAUGUAUCUUUAAAGAGUCUAAGAUUAGUAGAUACACUAGACAAUAUGAAUUAUUCCAAAUGGAACAAAAUGAAAGUGUUUAUUCCAUGUAUACUAGAUUUAUGGAUAUUGUAAACACAUUAGGAGCCCUAGGAAAAACCUUUUCAAACAGCGAAAAGGUUAAGACGAUCAUUAGGUUUUUGCCAAUGGAAUGGAGACCUAAAAGAACCGCCGUAGAGGAAGCUAAAGAUUUAAACACUUUGCCUAUUGAUGAUUUAAUUGAUUCUCUUAUUUCAUAUGAAGAAGAUUUGGCAGCAAAAACAGGUAAUGAGGAAAAGAAGAAGAAGAGCAUUGCACUCAAGGCAUCAAAGCAUGAGAGUGAUGAGGAAAGUGAGUUUGAUGAUGAAAACAUGACUAUGAUGUCUAAGAGGUUCAGAAAAAUUUUCAAGAAAACCACUGAGCGGAAAAGAUUUCGAAACUAUAAGAAUUAAAAGGAGAAGAAUGAGCCAAUCACCUGUUAUGAAUGUAAGAAGCCUGGACACAUACGAUCAGACUGUCCUCUUCUCAAGAAGCUCAAGAAGACGACAAUGGUAGCCACAUGGGAUGACAACAAUGAGGAAGCAAGUGAUAAUAAAGAGUCACAAGAAAUGUCAAAUCUCGCUCUCAUGGCAAUUAGGGAAGAAUCGUUUAACGAACUCGAUGAGUUAAGUGAUCCUACAUAUGAUGAAUUAUAUGAUACUUUUUAAGGAAUUGCACGAUGAUUGGAUGAAAAUUGGUAAAAAGAAUGCAUGUCUCAAAAAGAAAGUUGUAGAGCUCACAAAUGAAAAUGAAUCUCUAAGUACAAAGAUUGCAUGCUUAGAACUAGAGAAUAAAACUUUGCAUAAUAAAGUUGCAUUAACAAAUGAAAAACCAAGCAUUUUACAUUAGCACUUAGAAUCACAUGUAGAUGAUUUGAAAAAGGAAAAUGAAAUGCUCAAGAAAAAGAACAUUAAACUUAGUGAUGUUGUCUUAAAAUUUACAAAUGGGUAAAAGAUAUUGGAUAACUUGCUUAAUUGACAAAAAUGUGUUUUUGACAAAGGAGGCAUUGACUAUAAGCCAAAUUUGAAAUAAAAAUAUUAUAAGAAUUAUUUUAUUAAAGCUAUCACAACAAGUGAUAAUAAGAGUGUUUGUCAUUAUUGCAAUCAAAAUGGUCACAUGAAAUAUACAUGUCUAGUGAAAAGAAAUGUAUGCUUUGGAUUAAAAUGUAUUUAGGUUUCGAAAGGAACCAUUACUAACUCAAGGACCUAAAAAGGUUUGGGUACCUAAGACUUAAGAUUUUCUUUGCAGGGCUUGAAGAAGAAGAAAAAUAAAUGGUACUCAGAUAGCGGAUGUUCAAGGCAUAUGACCGGAAACUGUGCAUGGCUCUCAAGUUUCACCAAAUCGAAAAUGAUGGAGAUGUAUCCUUUAGAGACAACUCAAAAGGAAAAAUUCUCGGAAUUGGUGAUGUUGGUAAAGUUUCCUCAACUCUAAUUGAAAAUGUAUGUUUAGUUGAAAAUUUGAAAUACAAUUUGAUUAGCAUUAGUCAAUUGUGUGACAAGGGUUAUAAAAUUAUUUUUGAUAAAUCAAGAUGUAUUAUUGAGAUUGCAUGUGAUAACAAAAUUUUGUUUGUUGAAAAUAUAUGUGGUAAUGUUUAUACUAUUGAUAUAGAAUAUGCAUCCACUCAUGAUAAUUACUUUUCUGCAUUGCAUAAUGAUGGUUGGCUAUGGCAUAGAAGACUAGGACAUACAAGCAUGGAUUUGAUCUCAAAGAUUUCUAAAAAUUAUUUAGUUAAAGGUCUUCCAAAAAUCGGUUUUAAAAAAGAUAAAAUUAUUGAAGCAUGCCAAUUUGGUAAACAAAUUAAAACCUCUUUUAAAAGAAAAAAAAUCAUAUUUCUACUUCAAAACCUCUUCAACUACUUCAUAUAGAUUUAUUUAGUCCUUCAAGAUAUACUAGCUUAAGUGGCAAGUAUUAUGCAUUUGUAAUUGUUGAUAAUUUUUUAGAUACACAUAGGUAUUAUUCUUAACUAAUAAGGAUGAUGCUCUUGAUACUUUUAAAGUAUUUUGUAAGAAAAUUCAAAAUAAAAAAGGGUAUGGUAUUGCAUGCAUUAGGAGUGAUCAUGGAGGAGAGUUUGAAAAUCAUGCAUUUGAAACAUUUUGCAACAAUUUUGGCACUGUGCAUCAAUUUUUAUCACCUAGGACUCCACAAUAAAAUCGAGUUGUUGAAAGAAAAAAUACAUCUAUUCAAGAAAUGGUUAGAACCAUGUUGAAUGAAAAUUCUUUGCCUAAGUAUUUUGGGCCGAAGCCGUCAACACUGCUUGUUAUGUUUUAAUCAUGUGUUGAUUAGACCUCUUCUUAAUAAAACUCCCUAUGAGCUUUGGAAAGAUAGAAAGCCCAACAUUGGUUAUUUCAAAGUUUUCGAUUGCAAAUGUUUUAUUUUGAACACAAAAGAUAAUCUUGGUCAAUUUGAUCCAAAAUCUGAUGUUGGUAUUUUUCUUAGUUACUCAAACACAAGGUGUAACCACUAGAUCAUCAUUUAGAAAUACUUGUGAGCAUGCUACAUUCAUAUCUCAAAUUGAACCAAAAUCCUUUGCGGAUGAGGAAAAUGAUGAAUUUUGGAUUAUGGCAAUACAAGAGGAGUUAAAUCAAUUUGAGAGAAAUAAUAUGUGGAAAUUAGUUCCUAAACCGAGCAUCAGUCCAUUAUAAACACUAAAUGGGUAUUUAGAAAUAAAAUGAAUGAAUCCAAUAUGGUUGUAAGAAAUAAAGCUAGAUUAGUGGCUCAAGCUUACAACCAAGAAGAAGAAAUUGAUUUUGAUGAAACAUUUGCACUUGUAGCAAGAUUAGAAUCCAUUAGGAUGUUACUAGCAUUUGUAUGUCAUAAAGAUUUUAUUCUAUAUCAAAUGUAUGUCAAAAGUGUUUUUUUAAAUAGUUAUAUUAUGGAAGAAAUUUUUAUCAAACAACCCAUGAUUUUGAAACUGAAAAAUUUCCAAAUCAUGUUUAUAAGUUGUCAAAAGCAUUGUAUGGAUUAAAGCAAGCACCUAGAGCAUGGUGUGAUAGGCUUAAGAGUUUCUUAUUGGAUAAUGGUUUUGUUAGUCUAAAUGGCUAUAAAAUGUUGAUUUUGAUGAUAACAAACUACGUGUUUUAGAUAAACAAAAAAUUACACAUUAUGUUUUUAUAACAAGAAAAUGAUUUUAUGAAAUUGUUUGUUUUUAGGUUUAUGGUUUAAAUUGAAAAGUUUUGAGAACUUUAAAAUCAACAAAUAUUGUUUUAAAAUUCUAAAAAGGGGCCUAUUUGCAAAGUUUUCUAAAUAUUUUGGCCAUAGUAUAAUUUUAUACAGUUUUAGGGUAAAAUUAUAAUUUUUGAAAAAUAGUUGUUUCACUGUAGCAAGCGGCUAGCCGGAUUUAUCAAAACGGCAAAUCGGUUAUGGGCAGAAGUCUCUAGAAUAAAAACGGCUAACCAAAAAUGAAAAGCGGCAAACCAGAUGAGCAAAAUUUAAAUCUUUGAACAUAACGGUAACAUAAAGUGGCAAGCCGGUUAACACAAAGCGACAAGUCAGAUAUCACCAAAAAGUCAAUACAGCUAGUUUUCUUCUUUAACUAUAAAUUGGCUCAAAUCAAAUUCAAUAAAAGUGAGAUACAACCAUUGUUAUCAUUGAGUCAUCCUCUACAAUCUGAGCAUAAAAUUUGUAUUCAUUUCAUUCAUUCACACACAUUGAGCUUUCAUUUGUAAUUAAACACAUUGUGUGAGAUAAAUUUAUUUGUAAUCAUUUUUGUAAAAUCAAGUUGAGAGGUUGUAAGUGUUGGGAUACACUUGGGUGAAGAGAUUGUGGAUAAUCUCUUGUUAUAGAGAUCCAUUGACACCUUAGAAGUCAAUUGUAAGCGUGGUUGAAGCUUUGGAGGCUUGGAUAAUGAAAUCAUUAAGCUUAUAGGCAUAGGGAGGGACUGCCGAACCAAGUAAAAAUAUUUGUAUUUGCUCUCUCCUCCCUUACACUUUUUAUUCUCGAGCAUUGUUAAAUUUAUUUAUUUUCAUUUUAUUAAGACAUUAGAUUAAAUUAUUGUGUGGUUUGGUUAGUUUAAGUUUUAAAAACCCAAUUCACCCCCUUCUUGGGUUGCAUAACUAGUAUUUCAGGUUCCUCAAUGGGAAAAGCGGAUACAACUCUCUUUGCUAAGUAUAAGAAUCAAGAUAAACUUGUAGUUCAAAUUUAUGUUGAUGACAUUAUUUUUGGUUCUACUAAAGAAGUAUUGUGUAAAGAAUUUCUAAUGAGCAUGAUGGGAGAGCUGAAAUACUUCAUUGGACUGCAAAUAAAACAAAAUGAGGAAGGGAUUUUCAUAAAUCAAGCCAAAUAUGUGAAAGACCUACUCAAAAGAUUUGGCUAUAAAAAUAGAACAGCAAAAAGCACUCCAAUGAGUACCACUAUCAAGAUAGACAAGGAUGAAAAGGGUAAGGAGGUUGACAUCAAGACGCAUCGAGGUAUGAUCGAAUCCUUACCCUACUUGACUGCUAGUAGGCCUGAUAUUAUGUUUAAUGUAUGCUUAUGUGCUAGAUUUCAAUCUUGCCCUAAAUAGUCACACUUGCAUGCUGUUAAACGAAUUUUUUGAUAUUUGAUCGGCACUAUAGAUCUCGGCCUUUGGUAUCCUAGAGGAACAUAUAUAGACUUAACUUACUAUUCGGAUGUUGAUUUUGCUGGCUAUAAGGUUGAUAGGAAAAUCACUAGUGGAACAUGUCACUUUUUAGGUCACUCUUUAGUCUCUUGGUUUAGCAAGAAACAAAAUUCAGUUGCACUAUUAACUACCAAGGUUGAGUAUAUUGUAGUCGAAAGUUGUUGUGCUCAAGCUUUAUAGAUGAAAAAAAUUCUUAGAGACUAUGGCAUUCACCUUGAUAAAAUACUUAUUUUGUGUGAUAAUACUAGUGCUAUAAAUCUUUCAAAGAAUCUUAUCCAACACUUAAGAACCAAGCAUAUAGAGAUUAUACACCAUUUCUUCAGAGAUCAUAUUCAAAGAGGGGAUAUUUCUUUGAAUUUUGUUUCAACCAAAAAACAACUUGGUGAUAUUUUCACAAAACCCCUCAAUGAAGAACAAUUUACUAAAAUUAGACAUGAGCUUGGAAUAUUGAAUGUUCCACAAUAGCUUGGCUUUAUGUGAUAUUAAUCUAUUUUUAGUAAUGUGAUUGCUUAUUUGUAUCAAUUGUUUAAAUUGUGUGAAUUCAUGAAUUAUGCAUUAAAUUGAUUUUUAAGACAUUUCAGAUCAAUAAAAUGAUCUUAAAAUGGAUUAAUUGCUGACCAAAAACUAAAGUAGAUGUGCGAAAUCAUUAGUUAAAGAAAACAGAAUGCCGUUUAUUCAAUAAACGAUUAACCGUUUUUGGGACAGAAACUAGGGAAAAUAUUCAGGAAGAUAACGGUUUGCCAUUUUCGUAAAACUUUUGGGUUACAUUCUGGAACGAUAUCAGCUCGCUGAUAUCUUAAUAACGGCUCACCGUUAUCGUGCGAUAAGAGCACAGUAAACCGUUUUCUCCAUCUUUUGCCCUUGAACUGUUUAACCUUCAAUCGUGGCUGCGACUCCUCUCUCUCAAAUUACUCAUUUUCCUUGCAAUUUCUCUUCAAAUUGAAGCCAUAGAAAUCUUCUUUAACAUGUUUAGAACAUUUUCAUUCGAUUAAAAACAAUUUUAAGCCUUAAAUUGCAAAUUCCCAAUUUCAAAACCCUAGUGCAAACCGAAUAUAGUUCCUCCAAAUUCUCCACAAUUUCCUUCAUUUCUUGAUCCUCUUAAGCCCAUACACACUCUUUUAUACCUCAAAUUUAUCCAUAGAUGGUGAAGGACCUUCAAGACCGAAGAGACGAGUCAAACAGAGGGCUAGCAGGAGUCCUCUUUAUCCCCCUCAUGUUCCUGAUUUCGAAAGGGUCUACUUCCUUUCUCUUUCUCUUGCUAGGAGAUUCCAAACUUAGUUUAUGACUCGUAAGUUAACUGAUUCCUUUUUUCUUGAUUUAGAUAAUUUUGAGGAGUUGGUUGUAUGUAGUAGUAAUGUAAAGGAGAUGUUGGUACAAUGAGAGAUUCUUUUGAACCUAAAUGAGAAAGUGUACCCAAACCUACUUAGAAUUUUCUACUCCAACAUGGAGCUUUCGGCUACUAGUUUGGAUCGAUUAGUGACAUAUGUCAGAGGCGUACCCAUUGAAUUUACUGUGGAAGAUUUAAGUUCCAUUUUAGAGACUGAUCAUUCAGGUCUAGAGCUCUACACAUCUCGGAAAGAACUUCAAUUUAACCGUUUUUCUCAUGUAGAUGCGGUUAGAAACAUUUAUAGAUGUCAAGACCUUUCCGAUGAUAUUUUUUCUUUACCUUUUCGGUCUCAAUUAUUGCCUAAGAAUGUUAGGAUCCUCCAUAGUAUUCUCCAGCAUAUCGUUACUCUUAGAAAUGGGCAUAGUGACGAGGUUACUCAUUUAGAUAUCGGGUUGCUGGAUUGUCUUCUUCGAAGACGUUCGGUUAACCUUGGCUAUGUAAUUGUCUGUCACAUGUUGUUUACCCCCGCCAUGAGCAAUCGACUUCUUCCAUAUGGCAGCAUUAUCACUAGAAUUCUGAGGCAUUUUAGGAUACCCAUUACCGAGCUUAUAUACGAUGAGUCUCAGAGGUUAGGUAGUGAGAUUAUCCUCGACAUUGGUUUUCAUAGGAGCAAUGGGGAAUGGGUAAACUUUACCUCAUCCAAGAAUGAGGAUACACUCUUGGCUCCUGAAGAUGAUUGUAUACUGAAUGACAUAUAUUCUGCUAAUCAGCUUCCAGACUUUCGUUAAGGAGCUAGUGACCUUGAGUUCCUCGUUGAGCUGCAGCUGCGUGUGCUGAGGAGCCUGAUGAGCAUGAGGAGCAUGAUAUGAAUACCUACGUGCCUCUAGCCCCUACCUCUUCUUCAGCUUAUGAGGAAUUGAUGCAACAGUUUUUGAGUGAGAUUCACACUCUCUCAGUCCAGCAGUAGCAGCUUGUGUCUCGCUUCAAUUCAUUUCAGCAUAUCAUUUUUUAUCAGCAGCAAGAGAUUCGAGAUGGUCAGAGACACAUCCUUACUGCUCUUGGUUUUCCUCUCAUUGAGUCUUCAUCGCGGCCACUUUCAUAGUUUAUCUUUAUUUUCCCUUUUGGUUACGCACAUACAUUUGUCAUCUCAUAUUUUGGAUGUUAUUCUAUGUAUGUUUUGGAUGAUAUUUGUUAUGCAAAUUUUAUUGAACUCGUAAAUGCACGAAUGUAUUGUAGAAUAGAUUAAUGAUGACGAGUGUCGAUCCCACGAGGAGGUUGAUUCUAAUUGUGUGUAGAAUUAAUUUUUUUCUAAAUGGAUUUUUGGAUUUGUGGUGAAAGUGACUUAGAUUAUCUUAAAAUUGGAAUUAAAAUGGCGAGAAUAAAUUGAAGAGAAAUAUAUUGAAAUGAAACACUUGGGUAUCAGGAUCCAUAUCAACAUGCACCAUGGGCUAAAUAUUCCUUAUUAGUGCCAAUUAAAUCAUGAGGGAGGAAUCUACACCUCAUGAACCACACUCUAAUCAAUAUGGUGCUAAGGGCUUAUCGUGCCAAAUAAUAAUAACCUUGUACUAGGGAGCCGGUGAAACCAGGGCGGUAUCUAGACAAGAUUAUUAUUAUUUAUCGACGAGAAGUCAAAACAUCCACAAAAACUAGAGGGGAAGAGAAAGUAAAUUUACCAAUUAAAGCCCAUGACACAUGUUGAGACUUCACCUUCAACCCAAGCUUGAAAGAAAAUUAGCUACUCAUAAUUGAACUCGGGGCAAAAUAAAAAUUUAUUAAAAUAUGUAGAAAAUACAAGAUGGAGAAGGAAUUAUAGAAAUAGAGUCCGAAAAUGGAUUCAGAGAUGCCAAAUUAGGGGGGGAGGCCCCCUUUUUAUAGAUACAUUGAGUAAAUCAUGGCCAUCAGAUUAAAAACAGUUUGGAUGCUCAGGAUUGCGCCACGUCAUCAGUCAACAGUACGCAGUUUGACCACGUGAUUUGAACAGUGACACGGUUUGACCCGGCAUGAACAGUAACGCGGUUUGGUUGAAAAUAAUUAUAUGUAUAUGCAUGUACUGUGCGCAUAAUUUUCGGUUCACUAACAUGCUGCCACAUUACCAAUCAACAAUGUAUAAGAAUUUUAGUCCAACAAGAUCGUGAAAACUCAUCAAUCAAUGCCACAUCAUCGGUCAAUACCACAUCAUCGAUCCAUCUAUAUGAACAAUGUCGUGAACAGUAACGUAGACAGUACCGUACAUGUGAAUAAUACCAUACAUGUAAACAAUGCCAUUUUUCCUUUUAUGCUCCUCCUAAGGUUUUUGACCAUCCUGAGUUCAAAAGUGAUGUCUGUUUUGCCGUCUGAUCUCUUGUUCAUUGUGAAAUGACCAUAAUAGCCCUAAAAUAUAUAAAAUACUUAAUUAAAAUAAAACGCACGUAAUUAAAUCACAAGAAGCUUAAAUAUAUAAAAGUAAGGGUGUUAGUAAAACUUGAAGCGUAAAAUGACGAUUUUCUCCUUUAUAAAUAUACAUUUUCUAACACUCAACAAUAUUAACUAUAUAUUUUGGAUGAUUUUCUAUUUUGAUAUUUGGAUUUCUUUUGUUGGUUUUGAUGAUGUGGUUAUAUGCUUGUUGGUUCUAUGCAUACUUUUGUGUUGUUGGCUUGUUGGAUUGUUGGAGUUUGUUGAUUGAGUUGAAUUGGCUUGUGCAUAUUUGGGAGUGCUUUCAAAAUUUUCUGUAAUUCAGGAUAUGUCUACUUUUAUGGGGAGACUCUGCCCAAUUUUCCCCUCACUUUCUCUUUUUGAUGAUGAAGGGGGAGAAAUAUAUCUUUGUUGUGGUAAACAAAAUUGAGUGCAUAAAUGUUUUUGGUUCAAAAAUUGAUUGGCCACAAACUAAGGGGGAGCACACAUUAAGGGGAAGCAAUCUUGCUUAGUCUUGAAAUGUUUGUCAUUAUAAAAAAGCGGGAGAUUGUUAACUCUUUUGUUUUUAUAAUAAUUAUUUUGAUGAUAACAAACAUGUUUUCAAUUGAUUAGUUUUAAAAUUUGUUGUUAAUUGGAUCAAUUUUUUAAGUCGUAUGAUAUUCAAAGUAAAGAAAAACCUUUUGGAAAUAAACGGCAAACCGUUUACAGAAAACGGUAAACUGAUUACAUUAUAAAGAAAGAAUUUUUAGAAAACGGCAAACCGAUUGCAUUAAGCGUUUAUCGCUAACGGUACACCAAAUGCAUUCCAAAGAGCAAAUUUCAAAUAUCGGCAAACCGUUAACGGAUAACGAUAAGCCGAUUUCAUUUCAGAGAGCAAAUCAUAAAUAACGGUCAACCAUUUAUGGAUAACGGUAAACCGAAUGCAUUCCAGAGAGCAAAUCUUAAAUAACAGUAAACCAUUUAUGGAUAACAGUAAUCUGACUGCAUUUCAGAGAGUAAAUCUUAGAUAACAGCAUAACAUUUAUUGAUAAUGGUAAACCGAUAACAUUCUAGAGAACAAUCAUCUUGCAAACGGUAAACCGUUUAUGUAAAAUGGAUAACCGACAUCUUUGAACAAGUUUUUGGAAUGAUAACGGUAAUUCGACUUCCUACGAUGACUCGACAAUUUGAAUUUCGAGGCACCGGUAACUUGCUAAAGUCAAAAUGACGAUCCGAUAAGUUAAAUUAUUGUGUGGUUUGAUUAGCUUAAAUUUUAGAAUCCCAAUUCACCCCCUUCUUGGGUUGCCUAGUUAGUAUUUCAACAAUUAUAUUAUAUUAUCCUAGAAAGUGAGGGUGUCAUUUAUAAAUGCUAUAAAAAACAUUAGGGGAGCCAAGUUUUAUAGAGAGUGAGUGGCCUUCUCUAAGCUCACUAAGCUUGAAGCUAUUUGUCAUUCCUUGUUCUUGAUUAUAAGAAAAUGUUGGAAGUCUAUGCUUCCGUAAACAUUGUGUGUCUUUUGUUCUCUUCAUGCAUUAGAUCUUCGAAAAUCUUAAGGUGUGUCUAACACACAUAGCCUUCGUUGUGAAUUGUUGAGUGGCUGGCUAAGCAGAAACCUUAGUGACAUCACAGGCUUGCCGCAUAGAAGAAAAUAGCCUUGUGAUAGUUUAGUAUCAGAGCCUCGAUUAACAAUAUGUCGGGAGACACUUUGAAAGAUAGAAUGAGUCGGAUGAAAGCUGUUGUCGGGGAAGUACGAUCUAGGGAGGAAUCCUUGGCUGUCAAAACCAAAGUAACCUCUAUUGAUUUAGCGAAUAUGAAGUUGUCCUUUGAAGGGUUGACUCAAGAUGUUGUUGAAAAGAUCGGUUCAGUGAUAGAAGAUGUUGCCGCUUUGGUCAAUGAGCUAAAGGGCAGCGUUGCCAACCUGAAAAAUGAGUUGUGCCUGCAAAAGCUCGCGUUGAGCACAAUGUUGGGUAUAAAUACUAAUGCUAUUAGUGCUAAUGUGCAAGUGUACAUAACAAGUAAUAUAAUAAUAAGUAUUCAAGAUCGUCUCCACAAGGAUUGAUGUUAUCAGACUUGCUACAACAAUUUUAACAGUGCAGAUUUUGUUCUAAAUUAAAAUAAAAUAAUUAAUGAAACUAAUAUACUAAUUAAAAUAAAAACGCAAUAAAUAAAAUGCAACAAAGUAAAUUAUCAUGUCAAACUCAAGGAUAAAAUCAAUGGGAAUAUAGAGUAGUUGAAUGAAUAAACUUUCUUAAUGGUUUUGACUAUUUUCUAAUAGUUGGCUCGAUUGCUGCAGUAUCUGCUAUAGCACUAGGCAGAAUCCUUAUGCAUUCUCAGCCGUCGCAUGUUGGAUAUCUUAUAUCUAUAUGCAACCUAACAGUGAUCAGUUAUUAUACCAAUAUAAGAUAUAACAUUUCACGCUUAGGUUCUAUUUACCCUACAAGGUGAAUCCCUAUUUUUAGUUCAUCACUAAUUUUAAAUUAAACAUGACCCUUUUGGGACUUAAGUAAAACUCAAUCCAGGAAACCCAAUUUAAGAUCAAGUAUUGCUUUGAUAUGUUCCACUAAGAUAUGUCCUUUUGUGGCUUUUCCUUAGCUAGUAUCAUUAAAUGGGUGAUCAACCGAAAUAAUGAAUAAAAAUAAAUUCUAUCAAAACAAAAUGCUACAGCAAACAUGUAACAACUUAUAUUUUCAGUCAAUAAACCAUCAAGAUUGUUUAUCACUCAACUACAAAUAAAUUUAGUUCAUGAUUUGCAAAAGAAAAAUAAAAAACAAGGUUUCGGCCAUGAAACACAUCCCCAUGAAUAAAUAGAAAACAAGAAAACAAGAGAAUAAUAAGAACGACUGAGCUCCCAAUUGAUCUCUGCAAUUUCUCCUCUUGUGCAGCCCUUAAUCUCUCUCUUGAAUCUUCUUUUUCUUUUGUUUCUUUGUGGUUUUUCUCCUUGGGUGACGGCCCUCUUUAUUUCUUAUGAUGUGUGCUCCUUUUUAUAGUUGAAAAUUAGGGUAAACGGAAGCCUAGAGCUUGCAUAAGUCAGAUUAGGAAACUGCAUAUCGCAAUUCUGUAAGUAUCCCGCGCAGAAUUUUCUUUGUCGUUGUUCCAGGAUUGCUACAGCAACAACUACAACAACUGCACUGUUCUAGAUUUGUUUAAAUUCUUUUGUAACUAUGUUCUUUUUCAUCUUUUGCAAGCCUAUUACACCAUCAUUCCUUCCUUGAAAUUGGGGCUUCCAAUCACCUACAAUUAUGCAUAUAAUUUAAGCACACAAAAUUAUUCUAAAACAACACAAUUUAUUAAAAAUAAACUAAAAUGGUUAUUUAUGCAAAAUAAAACUAAAAUGCAAUAAAAACAUGUCAUUUACUCUCAAAGUAAUCUUGAUUUAAGUCUAAAAGUGUCAUGAUAACUCUCAUUUCAUAGAGUUAUCACACAACUUCCUUGCAUUUGAAGGUAGGGCUUUCGAAAGUAAGGUUCCGAAGUCGAAAUUAUUUGGGGGCACGCGAAGUGCCAAGGAACUGGAGAACUUUCAGUAAGAUAUGAAGCAAUAUUUCAAGGCUGCUCGGAUACCUGAAGCGGAGCAGGUUUCCAUUACAAGCAUGUAUCUUGAGGGGGAUGCAAAGCUUUGGUGGCGCGGUACACUCUAAGAGGAUGUCGAAGCCAACUGACCAACUAUUGAGACAUGGGACUCACUGAAGCAAGAGUUGAAGGGUCAAUUAUUACCGGGUAAUGCGAGUGGGAUAACGGGUUUAAAGUAUUAACAUAUAUAUAAUUAUUAUAAUGAUUUUGAUGAUAACAAACUUUAAGUGUUCUUGAUCAAAAGGUUGGAGUUUCUCUUUAAUAAACAUUUCAUUAAAUAGCCAUAUAACAUUCUUAAAUGUGUUCAUGAAAUAUGAAUUAUCAUGAACUUUAAACCGGAAAAGCAUCUCCUGCAAAAUGUUGAUUAAAACUUUGAUUCUGGAAACAAACAGUGAACCAUUAACUUUGAAAUGGUUAACUGAUACUUUCCAGAGAUGGUUAAUUCCUUAAACUUGAACCGGUUAACCAAAACGGACAAUGCAAGUAAGCUGGGGAGGCUACUGGAAUUAAACGGUAAACCGUUUAUAUCAAACGACUAACCGAUAAUUUCCAGAAUGUCAUUCCAUACUAAUCUUCAAUCGUUUAGCAAGAACGGUUAGCACAAAUUUGUUUUUGUAGGUCUCUAGAAAUUAACAGCAAACCGAUAAUGGCAAACGGUCAACUGUUUAUUUGAAUUUAAGGUCAAUGGUCACUUGGACCAAUCAAAACGUUAUCGGUUAAUGGUGAUCCGUUUUCGCCCAGAAAGUUAACAACAGUUAUAUUUCAGCUCCAACUAUAAAUAAACUCAAUCAAAUUCAAACAAGGACUAAUCACAACAUUUUCAUUGAGCAAAUUAUUGACCAUUAAACUUAUUUGUGCUUUAAAUUCUUGUAUACAUUUUAUUUACUCACACUUUAAAAUUUCAUUUGUAAUCAAAUAUAUUGUGUGAGAGAGAUUUAUUGUGUAAUCUUUUGAAAAUCAAAUUGAGAGGUUGUAAAGUGUUAGGAUACACUUGGGUUAAGAGAUUGGGAAUAAUCUCUUGUUGUAAUGGUUAUUGACAAUUUGGAAGUCAAUUGUAAGAGUGAUUGAAGCCUUGGAGGCUUGCUUAGUGGAAUCUUUAAGCCCAGUGAGCUUGGAGGCGUGGACAUAGGCACGGUUAGCCGAACCUUGUAAAAAGCAAGUGUUUGAUUUCUCUUCCCUUACUCUUUUAUUAUUUUGCAUGAUUAAAUUUAUUGUUUUUGUUCUUAUUAAGGCAAGAGGUUUAAAUUGUUGUGUGGUUUGUUUUGCAUAAGUUUUUAUAACUCAAUUCACCCCCCUCUUGGGUUACUUAGAUAGUAUUUCAUAAGGAAGCUCAAACAUACUGGUUCAAUCAGUGAUUAUGUCAAAGAAUUUAGUUCUUUGAUGCUUGAUAUCAAGAACAUGUCCGAUGAAGAUAAGCUUUUCAAAUUCAUGAGUGGUUUGCAACUGUCGGCGCAAACCAAACUAAGAAGGUAGGUUGUACGCGACUUGCCUAUGGCGAUUGUUGCUGCGAAAGGUUUGGUUGAUUUUAGGUUUGCGAGUUCUUCUCCCUCCGAACCUAAAAAGAAUAAAGAUUUGAGGAAAUCUGACCCUUUUAAGCAUGAUGGUAGAAAGAAAGGGGGCUUUGCGGGGAAAACCAAACCGAAAGAUGGCCAUGAGAAGAAAAGCUCGGGAUGUUUCAUAUGUGACAGACCACACCGGGUGAGGGAUUGCCCAAAGCGGACACAGCUGAAUGCUAUGGUCAAGGAGACGGAGGUAGAACCUUCAAUGACUGAGGCAAGUACUUCUCGAAUGAAUACAUUACAGUUGAUGAACACUUUGAGGAAUGAGGUUGUGUGCAAUGACUUCAAUCAAGGGUUGAUGAUCAUGACUGUUUUGGUAGAUGGGAGGGAAGUGCGUGCUAUGCUGGAUACAGAAGCCACAACUAACUUUCUUGCAUCCCACGAAGUGGCACAUUUGGGUUUGAAAAUAACAGCUGUGGGCAGCAAAGUAAUGGCUGUAAAUUCUGUGAGUGUGGGGGUUCAAGGGGCUAUGCAAAGUUCACUACGGGUAGGAAUUUGGCAGAAAACAGUAAAGUUUACUGUCAUGCCUCUUGAUGACUUCGAUUUAAUCCUUGGUAUGAAAUUCUUUAUGGCGUAAUGAUACAAUUGAUGCCCUAUUAGAAGAGCAUCUUGAUCAUGGGAAUGGAAGACGUGCUAGUAAUUUAUAUAUUAUUUUUGUAUUUUCUUAAUUUAAUUUUAUGUUAAAUUAUAUUUUAUUAUGUUAAUUUUAUUUUAAUUUUUAUAUUUUGUUAUUUAGAUAUAAUUUGGGAUUAAAGAGGAAUUAAAUUAGAAUAUUCAGGAAGAAAUCUACUUGAAGGAAUUAAAAAGGAAAAGGAAUAAAGAGAUUUAAUAAAAAAUAAAUUAAAGAAGAUUAGCGGACACACCAUCCAUUGUACCAUUCCAAUUCUUGGUUCAUGGCAGAUCAUAACCAUCACUCCAAUUUGCGGGACAAUUUACAAAAGGCUUGAAACGGAAGGAGAACUCUUACUUGGCAGCGUUGUUGGAGAUAAAACCUUAUCAGAUUGUGGAGAUGCUUGAUAAAUACGCCCAAGUAUUGGAAUAGUUUGCGGAUGUCAUGCCGCCGGAGCUCCCUCGAGCCUGGUACUAGACCCCCUGCACAUGCUUUUUAUCGGAUAUUGCCUUCGAUAUUAGUAGAACUUCGGAAACAAUUGGAUGAGUUAUUGGAUGCGGGAUUCAUUUGACCAUUCAAAGCACCGUAUGGUGCACCAGUAUUAUUUCAGAGGAAGAACGAUAGCUCAAUGCGAAUGUGUGUGGACUACCGUGCCUUAAACAAUGACGAUAAAAAACAAGUACCAGUCCCCAACAUUGCAGAUUUGUUUGAUCGAUAGGGUAGAGCCUCUUACUUCACGAAGCUGGACUUGAGGUCAGGGUAAUGGCAAGAACGGAUUGCGGAAGGUGGUGAAGCAAAAGCAGCUUGCGUAACUCGGUAUGGAUCAUACGAGUUCUUAUUAAUGCCUUUCAAACUCACCAAUGUGCAUGCAACAUUCUGCGAUUUGAUGAACGAUGUUCUUUACGAGUACUUGGACUUCUUUGUGGUGGUGUAUCUCGAUGAUAUACUGGUGUACAACGAGUCUUUGGAAGAUCAGUUGGAUCACUUUAACCAAUGUUCUCACGAUUAUGGGAAUACAAGCUCUUUGUCAAGAAAGAAAAAUGUGAAUUUUGUCACCGGGAGAUAGUAUUCUUAGGGCUAUCAUUGAUUGGCCUGCACCUACAAAAGUGGUGGAACUUCGAUAAUUUCUUCGGUUAGCUAACUACUACCGCAAGUUCAUUAAAGGGUACUCAAACAGGUAAGUGCACUCACGGAGUUGUUAAGGAAAGAUCGAAAGUGGGAAUGGGCAGAAGCGUGCGAGCAAGCAUUCAAGAAACUCAAACAAGCAGUAGCUUUGGAACCGGUGCUUAAGCUACCUGACUUUAGCUUGCCAUUUGAGGUACAUACAGAUGCAUCAGAUAGGGCCAUUAAUGGCGUGCUUGUUCAAGAUGGCCAUCUGGUAGCGUUUGAAAGUCGAAAGCUAGAGGACACAGAACAACGGUACUCGGCAAAUGAGAAGGAAAUGACGGCAAUGGUACAUUGCCUAAAUAUAUGGAGACAUUACUUGUUAGGUAUGAUUUUUAUGUUGUUAAGGACAAUGUAGCCAAUGCUUAUUUCAAGACACAGAAGAAACUAUCACCAAAACAAGCAAGAUGGCAAUAGUUCCUUGCUGAAUAUGAUUUUGUAUAGGUACAUAGACUUUGGAAGGCAAAAUCAGGUUGCGGAUGCCCUCAGCGGCAAAACAAUUGAAACAUAUGUGGCGGCUUUAACUCAGUAGUAACGGAUUUUCUUGACAAGAUUCGGCAGCAAGCGGAAAUAGAUACUAGCUACUGCCAACUCCGCAAGAAGAUCAAGCAAGGCUUGAUGCGAAGAUAUUGGGUUGAUGAUGAUCUAAUUUAUGCACAAGGUGGAAAAUUAUAUAUUCUUUCAGGAGGGGACUUACAAAGGAUCUUAUUGCGUGAUACACAUGAUUCUCGAUGGGCUGGACAUCCAGGGGUGAAAGGAUAAUGGCGUUGCUGGAACACUCAUAUUUCUGGCCUAAAAUAGAAGACAACGUGCAUCUAUAUGUCAAAACUUACCUAGUGUAUUAACUAGAUAAGUCGGAAAAGAGGAAGCCAGAGGGACUUCUUCAACCAUUGCCAAAUCCGGAGAGACCUUUGCAGUCUCUCUAUGGAGUUUAUCUCGAGAAUGGCUAAAUCGAAUAGAUAGAAGUCGAUUUUUGUUGUGGUUGAUCGAUUUUCAAAAUAUGCGAUAUUCAUACCUGCACCUCAUGCUUGCCCAGUGGCCAAGGCAGUGGAGUUAUUUUUCAAGCACAUGGUUAAGUACUUUGGUGUUUCGGAGGACAUCAUUAGUGACUAGGAUGCUUGGUUCACGGGAAGAUUUUGGAAAGUGCUCUUCAAUUUAAUGGGGAAAGAAUUGAAGUUUUCUAAUGCCAAUCAUCCUCAAACGGAUGGACAAACAGAGAGGGUGAAUCCACUAUUAGAGGAAUACUUACUGCACUAUGUGACAGCAAGCUAAAACUAAUUGGGUAGACUUGCUAGAUGUGGCUUAAUUUUGCUGUGACAUCCAUUGCUCUUCAACAACAGGGAUGAGUCCAGUGGAGCUAAUUAUGGGACAACAACCAUUGACUCCUCAUGAAGUGGUGAAACAGCACACAUGCGGAAAAUGCUCCGCAGCUUAUCGAUUUGCACGAGACAAGCAAGAAAUGAUUAAACGGGCCAUUGAUAGCUUGGCCAAGGCGUCGCAACAAAUGAAGAAUAUGCGGAUGCUGGAAGAAGACCGCCAGAGUUCAAUGUAGGUGACAAGGUGUUACUCAAAUUAACGCCCCAAAAUUAGAAGAAAAUCAGUAGCAAAACUAUACAUCGGGGGCUGGUACCAAAAUAUGAUGGACUAUUUGAGGUGAUCAAAAGGGUGGGUCAGGCGGUGUAUCGAUUACGACUACCCAAGCAGUUGAAGAUCCAUCCUACAUUUCAUGAGGGUUUCUUUAACCUUUCAGCAAAGACUUGGCUGACAAGGGGCGCCAACAAGCUAAGCGUGCUCCACCGGUAAUUCGGAAACAAUAUGACAAGGAAGUUGAAAAAAUCCUUGAUCAUAAGCCAAUGGGGCAAAGUAAGAAGAAUCGGAGAAUGGAGUAUCUAGUUCAAUAGAAAGGAGGCAGCGAAGCGAAUGCUAGCUGGCAAAAAGAAGUAUCAUUAUGGCAAUUCUAGAAAAAGGUUAAGGCGUACUUAGACUCCUUGCCAACGAGGGCGUCGGGUUCUGCUGGUAGGGGGGUUUGUUACAGCCUUAAAACUCGAGGCACACCAGUGUUUGGCUUGCGGCCUUUUACCAAGCAUGGCUACAAGUGAAUGUGUGAGGGAAGACACGAAAGCAAGGUAAGUCUGUGCGCAAGCUGGGGCGUGACAGCAACUAAACAGGCUGAUGGAGAACACUCAAGAUAUGUGCAAGGCAGUGCACAAGUGCUCCGACGGAUAGCGCGCACUGAGGGUGAGCGCGCCAAGCAGCAUGUAGCGCACGCUAACGGACAGAGAGCAGGCGCGCGAGGGAGCGCACAACGCACUAGCAAGAGCCACACACAAGCAACAGGCUAAAGGGUUGCUGGAGCAAUCCUUAGUGGCGGCGGCCAGCCACUACAUGAGCAUUGCCUAUAAUAAGGAAUUUGUCAGGGUGGGGUUAGUCCACCACUGUUCAAAAUAUCCUAAUUAAUAGUGUUUGGGCAAAGCAAUAGGGUAUUGAGCUUAUUUGUUUAGUGCGUUGGUGGCAAACAAAGUAUGGCGUAGGAAUACAUUAUACUAUCCUUGUAAGUGGGGGUGUCACAUACAAAUGCUAUAAAUAGCAUUAGGAUGGUGAGCUUAGGGAAGCCAAGUUUUGUAGAGAAUGAGUGGCCUUCUCCAAGCUCACUAAGCUUGAAGCUAUUUGUCAUUCUUUGUUCUUGAUAAUAAUAAAAUGUUGGAACUUGGUGCUUCUGUAAACAUUGUGUGUCUUGUGUCCUCUUCGUGUAUUGGAUCGUCGAAAAUCUUGGGGUGUGUCUAUCACACAUAGUCACCACUGUAAAUUGUCAAGUGGUUGGCUAAGCGGAAAACUUAGCGCCAUCAUAGGCUUGCCGCAUAGAAGAAAAUAGCCUUGUGACAUAAAGCUUAGUUAACACAAGUACUAUCUGCUUAUCGUACGUUUGGUGUGGGAUACUCUACCAUACCCCUAAUUACAAAAAUUUACAUGAAAAUUCGUGGGGCCUUCCUGUAUAUCAACUUUCUUGAAUGAUUUGUAAUCAUUCUUUCUCAUAUUUAAGUGCAGAUUUAGUUUUAUUUUAUAUUAGUUUUUUAAAAUUAUAUAUAACUCACAAAACCUUCAUAAGUUUCCCUUUAUACUUCGACUUUUUUCUUUUGUUGCGUCACCAAUAUCCAUGCUUUCAUAUUUGCAAAGUACAUUGCUGAAAAUUAUUGUUCAAGACAUCAAAGAUUUGCAACUCAGUGAAAAAAUAAUCAGCCUUAAAAUAACUGUAAUUUAUUCGAGUGUAGAACAAAAAACUGAAGCUCCUGAAGAUUUCCCAGCCAACGCGUAAAUUAAUAUAUCCUCUAUCUUGUUGUUGCCGAGAUCAACAACUUGAAGAUUGCACAAUUGAGCAAAGAUCUUGGGACUGACCCUACAAGUUCAUUGCCAUUGAAGUUAAGGGUCCUCAAAUUAUUGCAAUUUGAUUAUUUCAGGAAUUGGCCAUGGAAUCUAUUCUUCCUUAAAUCCAACGCACACAGAGUAUUGCUAAAGUUUCUAAUUAAUGCAUUCUGGAAUGGUGCCACUCAAGCUGUUGCUGGGCAGAUCACGAACUUAAAUAGUACUUGAGUUACAGAUCACACAAGGUAUCUUUCUAGUGAACCUAUUUCUUGAUAUCAGAAAGACUUUCAUAUUAGAUGAUGGAGCUGGAAACGAUCCUUGAAGCAAGUUGGAAUGAAAGUCAAGAUAUUCAAGAUUCUUCCACAGAAGUUUCUUCGUGCCUGUAAAGAAAUAUUCUGAUUCAUCAAAUAUCUAAGAGGCUUUCUUUAUUAAACUGCCUUGGGGAUUGAGGUAUGUAAUUUUCAAUAUAUUUGUGCCAGCAUUCAGCAGUUGUAUGCCCUGAUUUGAAGCAAAUUUGAGAGAUAGGCACGAAUUUAUCACCAUUUGAAGCUUGUGGUUCAAUAACAGACAUAUUGCCACUGCUAAUAAGAUUUUCGCCAAAUGAAGUCUUUCCAAACUGAGCAGACUUAUUACUUCCCAUCAUAUGACCUCUUCCAGAAUUACCAAAAAUACCAGUACUAGGGGGAAAACCUCUUAGAUAAGUACUAAAAAACAUGAUUUGCCAUUUUUUUUUUACAACAAGGCUUAGCCAAGCUAAGAAAUAACAGAUCGGGAAAUUCUCAUCCCGUACAUAUCAUAAGAAAGUUAAGGACCAAUUCCUGUUGGAGGUUCCUAAAAAACAUGAAAUUCAAAAGGCAAAGAUCCUGCAUUCCUAACUAAAAAAUCAGUUGCAAAGUUGGCUUCGUGAUAGAUAUGUUGAAAGGAUACAUGCCAAUCCUUCGUGAGAAGAUUCUUGAUCGAAUUUAUCAAAUAGGUGUGCACAUUCGAGCUCUGACCUCUAGGCUCCAUCAUAUGCAGUAUGCAAAGGCUAUCAACCUUUGCCUCUAAAAAUCGAAUACCGUAAUUCCACGCAAGGUUAAAAUCUUUGUAUAGCCCCUAAAUUUCUGCCAUACUAAUGGGACAAGAUCCAAUAUUCAUCACGAAGCCCCGAAUCCAAUUUCCAUUUGCAUCACGAAUUAAGCCACAUGCACUAGCUUUUCCAUUAAUUUCUCUUGAUCAGUCAGUAUUUAAUCAGAAAUAAGGUCAUCUAAGGGCUAUUCAGCCAAUACCAACUGACACCUUGCAAUGUCUCUGUUGCAUAUUAGCCUUAAAAGUCUAUUGUAUCUCAUGCACCCAUGCUCUGAUAUCUGACACCACACGAAGGCUGCAUGGGGAAUUGUUGGCAAAAAGAAACUAAUUCCGACAGUGCCAAAUUUUCUAUACAGUGAUCUAAAAAGCCAAGGACCAGCUAUCUCCCAUCUCCACACUCUCCCACAUAGAAAUGUUGUUAAAGAGCCAUUCUUUAAAGUAGCAAAGAAGAAAGCAUAUGUACUAGUAAUAGGAAGCCAGGAAAUCUAUACCUGUUUGGCCAAAAUGCAGUCACGGAGUGUGUGCAAAAUAGUCUCUGUGUCAGCUCUACAGAUAUCACAAAUGGAAUUACUAUAAAUGUGCCUUCUAAAACGUUCCUCCUUUGUCUUGAUUUUUUCAUGCAUUAAAAGCCAAAGAAAUACCCUUACUCGGUGUGGGCCUUUCCAACUCCAGAUGAGCUACCAAUCCUUUUUAUCCCCACAAAAGACUUGGUUACUGAUAGAUUCAGAGGCUGAUUUUGUAGUAAAAUUGCCAUUACAUGAAAAACUCCAAAAUGAUUGGUCUUCACCCUCCAAGCUAGAUGGGAGUUUAACCACCGCAAGUUGGAGGAUAUGUUUAUUAGAUAAAAGGUAGCCAAAAACAUCCUAUCAUAAUGACCCGUCUAGGUUAACCAUACCAGCCACACACAUGUUUGCCAUCCCUAAAGGAAUCUGUUGUACGUGAGAUCCAAUAUUACAAACCUCAAACACUCAAUUAUCAUUCCAGAAACUAACACUUUUCUUGUUCCUUAUAGCUCAUUUAAUGCCCUUCACAACAUGAGGCCAAACGUUACAAACUAACUGCUCUCCACAAAUGGGAACCGUGUCCAAAGUAUAGAUUAGUUGAAACGUUACAAACUCUGAUCUAUAACCUUUGGGGUGAAGCAACUAUAUUCCAACUAAUUUUCAUUAAUAGGGUAGUGUUCAUGUGCAAGAGAUUUUUCAAGCUAAGGCCCCCCAGAUUUUUCAACUGGCAAACUGUUUACCAAUUAAUCAGGCUCGUCUUACGCUCAUUGGCAACACCACUCCAAAUAAAUCUUCGACAAAUUUUGUUAACCCUUGCACCGAACACCCUCGAGGAGUCAAGUAGUUUGCAUAGCAUAGGUGUGUUAAGGAAGCUCAUACUUGUAAUGUGGUCAGCAGAGCAGAGGAUCACAGUAGCAGCAACAACAGAGCAGAGCAGAGGAUCGCGACAGCAGCAACUUUUAGUUACAAAUUGAUGACAUGGCUUUCCGGUUGGCACCUAGUAGUUAUGUAAUCGGUUGUGCGUGUAUUAACUAGAAGUAGUUAAUUAGUUAUAGUUAGUUACAACAAUUUGAGCUGAGCUUCAGCUUUGUAUAUAAAGAAACCUCUUGUACAUAUCAGUGUGUGGUUAAUAAAAAUGAUGUUAUAGAGAAUUCUCAGAUCCAACUCUUAUUUUCUUUCAAUUGUCUCACUAGUUUCUCAGCUGCCAAACAAUAUUUUCAUUUUUUAACUUGGUAUCAGAGCUAAUUGCAAUGGCCUCAGUACAUUUAGCUUCUUCUUCUCAAGCGGCAGUCAAUCAAACAGCUGUUAACUCAACAAAUAUGACAUUUACUUUCAAUGCUCCGAUUAAGCUAGAUCAAUCCAAUUAUUUGAUCUAACGAUCUUCAGUUCUUGCCUCGAUACGUGACAAUAGACUUGAGAAUUCAUUGAUGAUUCCAUCACUUCACCUCCUUCACACAUUGCUCAAAGGAUUAGUGAUGAUCUAAGAUCAGUGGAGAAUCCAGACUUUGUGACUUAGAGAUGAUAAGAUCAAGUGCUUCUUGGCUGGCUGUUCUCUUCAAUGAGUGAAGGUAUUAUUAGUCUGGUGUUCGAUCUAGAGACUUCUCGUGAGAUAUGGAAAGCUAUUGAAGUUUAGUUUGGAACACAAUCUAAAUCCAGGCUUUUGCAUUUAAGAUAUAUGAUGAACUCGACUAGGAAAGAUAAUCUGAAAAUUACUAAUUACUUUAUUAGGAUGAAAAACAUAGUUGAUAAUAUGGCUGCAGCAGGGAAUGCUUUAAGUUAUAAUGAUUUAAUCCUGCAUAUACUCGAUGGCUUAAGUCUAGAAUAUAGUUUUGUUGCUACCUACAUCACUAGACAAGUAGGUGUGGGAAAGAUGAAUGUGAAUGAAUCUUAUGCUAUGCUCUUAACAUAAGAAGCUAGGAUUGAACAGCAAACUCAUAUGUUAGAUUGGGUGUUCAGAACCAAGUACAACACAGAUAGCUCAGUCUUUAAAUAUAAAGCUAGAUUGAUAACACAAGAGUGUUUGAAAUAUUUGGUAUUCAAGUUAUACUAAGUGCAGUUCAAGUUCUUACAUUAAUCAAGUGACAGAAUUUCUGUGCAGAAGGAGCAUCUUUGGGAAUUAAAUUGUACUGCACGAGAUCGAAAUAAUUUUCGAGCCAUACAUCAUUGGAAAGAUAUUUCUGUCAGCUUUCCAAUGAAUUUUACUAAUUUAAAUUUGGAGCUUUCUACAGUAAGUUAUGAUCAGUUAAGUGCAGGCUGUUCAGUUUCGAGUUAAGAAGAAUAUUUCUGGACUUGGACUUUUUUUUAAUGCUCUUUGCUGUGUUUUAAGCAUACCAAUGAUUUAUCUAGCUUUAAUGUUGGUCUUUGAAGUCAAGUCAUUUGAAGGGUUUCUUUGUAGUAUAUCUAUGCUUGGAGGAUUUUUCCAAGAAAGUUAUUGAAGCUUAUGUAGUUGUAACCAAAAGAUAGAGAUUAAUUUUGGAAAUUGAAUGAACUUUGAGCUAUUAUCAAACUUUGUAUCUCUUUGGUGGAUUCCAUUGAGUAGUGAGUGUUUUAAGCUCUGUAUCCUUUUGUUGUUUGCUGUGGUGGUGAGCUUGUGAUUUUUUGGGUGUGUGACGUUGUGCUUUCUCAUCUAUUGUGUCCGGUGUCAAUUGGUGGCCAAGGAAUUUCAUCAAACUGCAGGUAUUGAUUAUUCAGAAACCUUUAGUCCUGUAGUAAAGCCCUCGACAGUGAGAGUAACUCUAAGUCUGGUUGUCAUGAAAGGUUAGAAGGUUAGACAAAUUGAUGUCAAUAAUGCUUUUUUAAAUAGGGAUUUAUUAGAGGAUGUGUAUAUGACUCAGCCUGAGGGUUUUGUAUCCAAAGAAGGCUACAUAUGCAAGCUUAAUAAUGCAUUAUAUGGAUUGAAACAAGCUCCAAGAGCAUGGUAUGAUAAAGUGAAAUGUUAUCUUACCACUUGGCAAUUCUUUAAUUCUAAAGCUGACACUUCUUUAUUCUUCAAAUAUGAUAUUAAAGGCAUGAUCAUUGUGUUAAUUUAUGUUGAUGACAAUUUGGUUAUUGGUACUUACUCAACAUUACUUAAAGAUUUUAUUACUAAACUCAGUAAGGUCUUUGCUUUCAAGGAUCUGGGAUUAGUGGCCUAUUUUAUGGGUUUGCAAGUUUGUUACAUAACUCAUGGUAUGCAUUUCUCACAGACGAAGUACAUUAAGAAUCUGUUGAGUAAAGCCUCAAUGCAGGAUUGCAAGGGUUCUGAUACAUCUCUCAGUACUGGUUUCAAACUGGAGAAAAAUGGUGAAGGACCUUUGGGGCAAGAAUUUGAAGAAGCAGCACUCUAUGGAAGCAUUGUUGGGGGUCUUUAGUACUUGAUUCUCACCAGACCUAACAUUACUUUCUCUGUACAUAAACUUAAUCAGUAUCUUAAUAAUCCUACACUUUAUCACUGGUUGCAAUACAAAAAAGUUCUCAGGUAUCUUCAAGUUACAACCACCCAUGGUCUAUAUCUUCAAAAUGAGGGAACACUUGAAUCUGUUGGUUUAAUAGGCUACUCUUAUGCUGAUUGGGCGUGUGAUGUUGAUGAUCGAAAAUCAAUUAGAGCUUAUUAUAUCUACCUCGAUAAUAAUUUGAUUUCUUUGAUGGUUAUCGAAGCCAGCAAAAAUAAAUAUCUACUUUAAAUAAAUUAUGUAUAGUGAUUGAGCAGGGCCGUGUCCACAGAGAUCGGUAAUUAUUUAAAUCCUUUUAAAAUGUAAAAUGCAAAAUGGGGGAAUUGUUGACAAUAAUAAAAAUCAAAUUAAAGUAACAAUAAUGCAAAUUAAAAUUGUAAUUCAAAUUGGGGAAAGCUCUGGUUGAAGGAAUUAACUCAGCUUGAUUAGACUACUGAUCAUUGAUUCAAAUAUAAAUCAUUACUACUUAUGAAUAGACCGGUUAUAGCUACUGAGACCAUCUAAUAGCCAAUCUCUCCUUAACUAGUUGAUAACCAAGGUACGACCGUUGAUUAUUUCCUUAGUCAAUAGAGAACCCUAGAUACGAUCAUAGGAUUUAAUCAAUUGACAGCCUGAAAAAUCAAAGAGACCCAAAUCCUAAUCAACAAACGCAUACGAUCGUUCAUUUAAAUUAAAUUGUUUAUUCUCAUAACACAACGCACUGCUAUGCUAUUUGUCACAAACAUUAAAAUCUUCAUACGAUGAAUCUUUUAAUUGACAAUAGAUUAAGUUGAUAAUUAAAUAGUGGCCAAUUAUCUAAUUAACAAACAUAAUCAUGACAAUAAUUCAGAGAAUAAACAGAUACCCAAAAAGUAAUAAAACAAUUAAAACAUAAGAAAGAUCUCACAGUAGUGAUGAAUCAAAGCUUCAUUAACCUUCAACCAGAAUAAUAGGUUUAGUUCUUCAUAGAGAGAAGAGAAAAAUUUAGAUUUAGGGUUUCUUUCUUUUAAAAAAUCUCCCUUUUGUUUCACAAUAGAUUCUUCCCUUAAAUACUCUCUCUCUCUUCUCCUCUAGAGUUCUUUUUAAAAUAAAAUACUAAUAUCUAAAAUAUUAAAUUCGUAAUUACAAAAAUAACCAAAAAGACAAAACACGUUAAACUUAAAACUGCAGGUCCGUAGUUGCCAGCACGCACUCACGCCUUAUCAACAAAGUUCUUCUAACGCUCAUAAUUUCUCCAGGAAAACAAUCAUCCUCAAACAUCAUCUUAUAGCUCAAUUUUAGCACCAAUCAAUAGAAUUGCACCUACAAAAAUAAAACACAAGUAAAUCACUAUUAUUAAGUGCAAAACAUCGAUAUUAAGGGAAGUAAAUAAUGCAAAACUAGUGCAUAAAUUGCACUCUAACAAAUUUCCCCACACCAAGAUAAUGCUUGUCCUCAAGCAUAUAACUCAAGACUAAUCCCAAAUCUCCACUCAAUUCUCAUCUCAACUCAUCCAAAAACAAUUUUAAGCAAGCAUGCCUCAAGAAUUUAAGUCGAUCAACAUUCGAGAGAUAAGGAUUUUAAAGCAUGGAAUCUCUAAGCUAGAAUAAAAAUAUUCAACCACCAAGAAGAUCCAUUCAAAAUUCAAGUGCAACAAGAUUUAAUAGCCCUCUCAUUGACUUCACUCCAUGCACUCAAAGUGUUUAGGGUGUCAUUUAUGCACUCAAAUCAAAUCAAAGAAUGUUAUUACUAUAAGCUUGCUUAUAUAUCACAUCUCAAUCGACAAAACAUGAAUUAAAUGCAAAAAUCUAAGGGUCUUAAAAAGGUUGUAACGGUGUUAAAUGAGUUAAAUGAAAAAGAAAGGUCUAUGAAAGAAAAAGAGAUCAAAAUGAGAAAAAUGAACUCAUUGAAUGAACCUUAUGAUAUCAAAACGUUUAUUUCUACUCAAGUCGCCAAGAAUGUAAAUAAUUUUUUUUAUUAUUUUUUUUUUCACUUUUUUUUCUCGAUUUUUUUUUGUUUUGUUUUUUUUUUUGAAUCAAACAAAAGAAAUGAACCUUGCACAAUUUAAUUCAAGCAUAAUGCUUGUUGAUCUAAUUGAGAACCUUUAAUUCAAGGUAGCAAGAGCAACAAAAUAUAUCCAAACAAUGAGUCCAAAAAUCUCCUUAAAUUGAGGCUCAAAAAGAAGAAAAAUGGGUAAAUAGAUGGAGAGAAUUAGAUGGGUAAUGGUUAAGGAUCAAACAAAGAUAACAAAUAAAGGUCUUCGGGUGGAGAAAAAAGAAGAAAAAUACGAAAAUAGAAAAAUGGAAAGUGGUUUGCCCUUAUCAUUUUAAUGCAUAAAAUCCAGUAAUGCGGCUUCAACAUGCAUAACAAAGCAAGUUCUAGAAUAAACAAACUAAGAUUGAUAUUCACAUAACAAAAAUAAUUAUAGCAAAGUGGUUGCUCAUAGGCUUAAAUCCGCACAAAGUUGGUAAAUUUGCCAUCAAAUCAUGUAUACUCUUCAAAUGAAUCAAUCAUCAAUAGUGGUGUAAAAUGAGAAGAAGGUAUGAGUGAUAUAUAAAAGGAAAGGUAAAAAGGAUAAUAAGCUAGAAAGAUGUAUGUAGUAAUAAAAAAAAUGAAAGAUAAAAUGUGAGUGAUGAAAGAAUAUGAUAAAAUAAAAAUAGAUGUGAAUAAUUUGAGAUAGAUGGGAAAAGAAUAGUGAGAAAGAAAUGAAAAGAAAAAUAAUAAUAUAUGAAGCAUACUAACUCCAAAAUCAUUUAAGGAUGAGUAGAGUGAAAAUAAUACUUCCAAACAUCAAUAUUGCAAAAAUCUCUCUCCCACACCAAGAACUUACAUUGUCCCCAAUGUAAGAUAAUCAAAGCUCACAUAAACAUUAAAGCGUAAAGAUAAAAGAUUAAAGGUAAAAACUUCCAUGAAUUGUGAGUUUUGAUCCACAUAUCGUCUAUGGGUUUAGCGGCAAUGGUGGGAUAAAUCCCACACUCUCGAAGUAUGCGGCCAAAUUCUUCUCCAUCUUGUUCAGUUUGCGCUCUAUUUUCUCUAACUGAAUGCUCAAAGGUGGUGCAGAUGUAGAAGGAAUAAUUGGUGGGGCAGGAGUUUCAUCGUCAAACUCGUCAUCAGAGGUAGCAACACUCCUAGCAUAAAGCUUCUUUGGAGGUUGAGUGGGUCCUGGUUCAGUAAACUAAAAUCUCCCCUUCUUGAAUUCGACCACACCUGUUCUUUCAAACACAUACAUAUCCAAAAAUUCCUUUUUGCAAGCAGGAUGCAAAUCAUUAUUGUCAGGAUCAAGCACACAUAAGUUUAAAGCUAACAGAGUAAUGUACGGACCAAGAAAUAAAGUCUUAUACCGUUUAAGCACACUUUGAAAUUGAUCUGCUAACCAAAAACCUAAAUUAGGUCUCACAUCAUUUAACAUGCAUCAGAUAAAGUAAAACUCAGUUUUAGAGAAAACUCCCGAAUGAUCGUUCUUUCCUAAAAAAUUAUAUGCUAAGAACCGAUGCACACAUUUCAAAACAGGAUCACGAGAGAAAGAACUAUUUGAUUUACUCGGGUCAUAGGCAUUGUGAUCAAUAGAUAAAUUACGCCAAAGACCAUAAGGCUCAAAAUUUUCGCUAAAGUGACAAGUUGUUCCUAAAUAUGCAUCACUAGAAGAAUAAUCAUCAUCAAUUAAUGAAUCUUAAAGCUAGGUUAAAAUCUGUGAUAGAUUGUGAAAAAUUUCGUCCCAUUAACCUAAACUUUAUAACAUCCGGAGUAUGCAAAGUAAAAUCAUUCGGUAUAUUAAAUUGAAAAGUAGCAUAGAACUCUCUAAUCAACUCAACAUAACCCAAACAUUCAACAUCAACAAACUUACGCAAACCAAUCAUAUUUAUCAAAGAAUCAAAAUUAUCCUUAACAUUCAAUUUUUCAAGAGUCGGGUAAUGAAUAUACUUAGCUGGAAGUAUUUUUCACUUGGAAAUAUCUUUGUACCUUUCUUUCUCUUAUUGAGUCGUGAAUGUGAGGCACCCUCCGAGAUUGGAUUCCGCAAGUGGCAAAACACUCAUGCCCUUUCCAUGUUUCAAUCUUUGUCUCACGACUUGGCGUGAAUCUGAAAUUGUGUUCCAUGGAACUGUAGUGGGAGCAGCAAUCUUAGAUUGCUUUGCGACGUGUGUCUUUUUAGAUGACUUGGAAGUUAAUGCUUUCCUAUUCGGCAUUGUUACAAUAAUUUCACUCACGGAUUUCGAUUCAUGCAGCGGGAAUGCAUAGCGUGGGCUGGUUUUAGACGAUUGCUACUCGGCUGGAGCUUGCUGGUACACGGCUGCUGGUUCAGGUUGCGCGCGGAUGGUGCUCGAUGGACUGGUUGCGCGCGCGGGACUGCUUGUGUGAUUGCACGCUGGAGACGAGGGCUCAGGUUGUGGGAGUGUUGCUCGAUGCUGGUUGCUUACAACUGCUGGUGAGCGCGGCCGUUGGAAGCAAACUGUGUGCGCGCACGGCUGGUGUGCGAUGGUCGCAAGAUGCUUGCACUGACGGGAGAUGUUUGCGCAGCUGAAAAAGGCUGGUGCUGCGGCUGGAGCUUGCUGGAGAAUGAAAUAAAUUUUUUUUUGUGAAUUAGGGAUUUUGUGAACAUUGAAAUUUUUUUUUUGUUUUUUAUUUUUUUCAAAUAAAAAAAAAACCUCUUCUUUUAUUUAUUUUUUAAAUAAUAAUAAUAAAUAAAAUAAUAAUAAUUUUUUUUUCUGUUGAACAACGUUUAGAUAAACUUACUUUUCUUGUGGAAAAGUUUAUUGUAGGUAAUGUGCAACAUAUGAAGACUUGUGGCAUUUGUUACAAUAUGGGUCAUUCAACUGAUACGUGUCCUACACUUCAAGAAGAACCCGUUGAACAAGCCAAUGCAGUUGGAGGAUUUCCAGGCAUGCCUCAGAGGAGAUAUGAUCCUUAUACACUAACAUAUAAUCCGGGAUGGAAGGAUCAUCUCAACUUCAGCUGUGGAGUUAGGCCGUCAGGAUUCCCACAACAAUAUUCACCAAGACAACCAGCACCUCCACAGUCAAACUCCAAGUUAGGUAUAUCUCUUGAAGAAAUUAUUAAAUCACUUGCGACUAACACUCAACAAUUUCAGCAGGCAACUACAAUAAGCAUUUAGAAUUUGGAGAGCCAAAUGAGUCAAUUGUCGACUACAGUGAGUCGUCUGGAGUCUCAAGUAUUAGGGAGAUUACCUUCACAAUCUGAGGUGAAUCCAAAGAAAAAUGUUAGUGCUGUCAUCCUUAGAAGUGGGAAGGAAUUGCAAGAGCCUAAUAAGAAAGUGACAAAGCAUGUAGAAGAUGAGCUUGAGAAACAUGAAUUGAUGCCUAAAUCUCAAGAUGUGCAACCCACCAGAGUGAAACCCCUACCUGUGGUGAUACCUCCUCAUUUUCCAAGCCGAUUUGCAAAAUACAAGAAGGAAAAACAAGAGAAUGAUAUCCUUGAGACAUUUCGCAAGGUUGAGGUAAAUAUUCCUUUAUUAGAUGCUAUAAAACAAAUACCUCGAUAUGCUAAAGUCCUUAAAGAACUGUGCACCUCCAAGAGAAAAUUAAGAGGAGAUGAAAAAGUUCACAUGGGGGAGAAUGUUUUAGAAGUUCUCCAAAAGAAACUACCUCAUAAAUGCAAGGAUCCAAGUAUGUUUACUAUCCCUUGUAAAAUUGGUAGUGUUAGAGUUGAAAAGGUUAUGUUAGAUCUAGGAGCUUCUAUUAAUGUCAUGUCUCGUUCCAUUUAUUCAUCUUUGAAUGUUGGUCGAUUAAAAGAAACUGGCGUGAUAAUUCAACUAGCUGAUAGGUCUAAUGCAUAUUCUGAUGGGGUAUUAGAAGAUGUCUUAGUACAAGUUAAUGAGUUGAUUUUUCCUGCUGAUUUUUAUAUACUUGAUAUAAAAGAGGAUAACUCCUCUAAUUCGGUCUCAAUUUUGCUAGGAAGACCUUUUCUUAAAACUGCUAGGACUAAAAUGGAUGUAUAUAAAGGGAUUCUCACUAUGGAGUUUAAUGGAGAGGUUAUAAAAUUUAAUAUGAAUGAUGCCAUGAAAUAUCCUAGUGAGGAACAUUCGGUAUUUUCUGUGGAUGUUAUUAACCCUAUAGUGCAGGAAGUUUUUUACAAGGAAAAGAUGAAGACAUUUCAUGACAGAAUGAUUUUGAGAAAGGAAUUCUCUGUUGGUCAAAAAGUUCUUCUUUUUCAUUCUAAGCUUAAACUUUUUCCGGGUAAAUUACGUUCUUACUGGGUUGGACCUUUUAUUGUUACUAAUGUUUUUCCUCAUGGUGCAGUUGAGCUUCGGAGUCCGACCUCUGACAAAGUUUUUAAGGUUAAUGGUCAUCGCUUAAAAUCAUUUUAUGAAGGUUUUUCAGUGAAUAUUGUGGAGGAUGUGGCUCUCGAGAGUCCCAUUUAUGGAGAUUGAUGCAUGAAUAUGUCCAGCCAAAGACAUAAAACAAAGGCGCUUUUUGGGAGGCAACCAAAGAGACUUAUUUAUUUUUAUUUUUGUUAUCUUUUCUUUUUAAUUUUGAUUCAGAUUGUUUAAAUAAUGUUUUUGCUUAUUUUGGCCAGAAGAAAAGUUUUGGUAAGGCGUGCCCACGUUUUAACUAAUAAGUACUUCUGUGAUUUUAAAGUAAAAUGAUUUUAAGGCGUGCCCACGUGCUUAUUAAAAAAAUACUUUUGAAAUUUUUAGUGUCUCAAGUGAUUCAUCACUAAAAAAAAAGUUUUUUAUUUUAUUUACUUAUUAUUAUUAUUUUUUAAAAAAAUUAAAAAAAACAAAAGCAAAAAAUGAAAAAGGUUUUUUUUCUUUUCUUUUUUUAUUUAUUAGAAAAAAAAUAAUAAUAAAAAUAAAAAACAAAAAAAAAUUCACUGCUCAUAAAAUUCCUAAUUCAUUAGAAUUUGUUUUCUUCUCCAGCCGCUUGCAGCACACCAGCAGCAAACCAACCCGCGUGAACUAGCAAGCAUCUCCCGCAACAACCAGUCGCACGCGCGCGCAGCACCAGCAUCGAGCACCAUCCGCGCGCAACUCCAUGCCGUAAUCAGCCGUGCAGUAUCUCGCGUGCAAACAGCCUGCGCGCAGUUUCAUCCACAACUAUCAAGCACCAGCGCGCGCGCAAGUAUCUCGCGAGCAGCAGCCCGUGCAAGCAACCAACGUCAGCCCAGCAGCGCGCAUUCAAAAUUAGUCCCGCGCGCAACCAGUUCCAACCGGCGCAGCACAACCAUCCGCGAGCAACCUAAACCAGCAGCCGUGUACCUACAAGCUCCAGCCGAGCAGCAAUCGUUUGCAACCAGCCCACACCCUGCAUUCCAGCCGCGUGAAUUGAAAUCCGUGAGUGAAAUUAUUAUAACAAUGCCGAAGAGGAAAGCAUCAACUUCCAAGUCAUCUAAAAAGACACUUGUCGCAAAGAAAUCCAAGAUUGUCGCUCCCACUACGGUUCCAUAGAACACAUUUUCAAAUUCAUGCCAAGCUGUGAGCUAAAGAUUGGAAAAUGGAAAAGGCAUGAGUGUUUUGCCACUUGCGGAAUCCAAUUUCGGAGGGUGCCUCACAUUCAUGACUCAACAAGAGAAAGAAAGGUACAAAGAUAUUUCCAAGCGGAAAAUACUUCCAGCUAAGUAUAUUCAUUACCUGACUCUUGAAAAAUUGAAUGUUAAGGAUAAUUUUGAUUCUUUGAUAGAUAAGAUUGGUUUGCGUAAGUUUGUUGAUGUUGAUUGUUUGGGUUAUGUUGAGUUGAUUAGGGAGUUCUAUGCUAUUUUCAAUUUAAUAUACCGAAUGAUUUUACUUUGCAUAUUUCGGAUGUUAUAAAGUUUAGGUUAAUGGGAUGAAAUUUUUCACAAUCUAUCACAAAUUUUAACCUAGCUUUAGAAUUCAUUGAUGAUGAUUAUUCGUCUAGUGAUGCAUAUUUAGGAACAACUUGUGACUUUAGCGAAAAUUUUAAGCCUUAUGAUCUUUCGCGUAAUUUAUCUGUUGAUCAUAAUGCCUAUGACCCGAGUAAAACAAAGAGUUCUUUCUUAAGUGAUCCUAUUUUGAAAUGCGUGCAUCGGUUCUCAGCGUAUAAUUUUUUAGGGAAGAAAGAUCACUCGGGAGUUUUCCCUAAAACUGAGUUUUAUUUUAUCUGAUGCAUGUUAAAUGAUGUGAGACCUACUAUAAGUUUUUGGUUAGCAGAUCAAUUUCAGAGUGUGCGUAAACGAUAUAGGACUUUAUUUCUUGGUCCAUACAUUACUCUGUUAGCUAUAAACUUAUGUGUGCUUGAUCCUGACAAUAAUGAUUUGCAUCCUGCUUGCAAAAAAGAAUUUUUGGAUAUGUCUGUGUUUGAAAGAACAGGUGUGAUUGAAUUCAAUGAGAGGAGAUUUCAGUUUACUGAACCAGGACCCACUCAACCUCCAAAGAAGCUUUAUGCUAGGAGUGGUACUACCUCUGACGACGAGUCUGACGACAAAAUUGUUGCCCUACCAAUUAUUCCUUCUACAUCCGCACCACCUUUGAGCAUUCAGUUAGAGAAAAUAGAGCACAAGCUGAACAAGAUGGAGCAGAAUUUGGCCGCAUACUUUGAGAGUGUGGGAUUUAUCCCACCAUUUUUGCCAAGCCCAUAGACGUUAUGUGGAUCAAAGCUCACAAUUCAGGGAAGUUUUUGCCUUUAAUCUUUUAUCCGUACGCUUUAAUUUUUAUGUGAGCUUUGAUUAUCUUACAUUGGGGACAAUGUAAGUUCUUGGUGUGGGGGAGGGAUUUUUGUAAUAUUGAUGUCUGGAAGUAUUAUUUUCACUCUGCUCAUCCUUAAAUGAUUUUGGAGUUAGUAUGCUUCAUAUAUUAUUAUUUUCUUUUCUUUUCUUUCUCACUACUCUUUUCCCAUCUAUCUCAAAUUAUUCAUAUCUAUUUUUAUUUUACCAUAUUCUUUCAUCACUCACAUUUUAUCUUUCAUUUUUUUCUUUUACUACAUACAUCUUUUUCGCUUAUUAUCCUUUUUACAUUUCCUUUUAUAUAUCACUCAUACCUUCUUCUCAUUCUACACCACUAUUGAUUGUUGAUUCAUUUGAAGAGUGUAUAUGAUUUGAUGGCAAAUUUACCAACUUUAUAAGGAUUUGAGCCUAUGAGCAUCCACUUUGCUCUAAUUAUUUUUGUUAUGUGAAUAUCAAUCUUAGUUUGUUUAUUCUAGAACUUGCUUUGUUAUGCAUGUUGAAGCCGCAUUACGGGAUUUUAUGCAUUAAAAUGAUAAGGGCAAACCACUUUCCAUUUUUCUAUUUUCGCAUUUUUCUUCUUUUUCUUCACCCGAAGACCUUUAUUUGUUAUCUUUAUUUGAGCCUUAACCAUUACCCAUCUAAUUCUCUCCAUCUACUUACCCAUUUUCAUUCUUUUUGAGCCUCAAUUUAAGGAGAUUUUCGGACUCAUUGUUUGGAUAUAUUUUGUAUAUAUUUUGUUGCUCUUGCUACCUUGAAUUAAAGUUUCUCAAUUAGAUCAACAAGCAUUAUGCUUGAAUUAAAUUGUGCAAGGUUCAUUUCUUUUGUUUGAUUAAAAAAAAAUUGAGAAAAAAAAGAAAAGAGAAAAAAAAUGUUUACAUUCUUGGCGACUUGAGUAGAAAUAAGCGUUUUGAUAUCAUAGGGUUCAUUCAAUGAGUUUAUUCUUCUCAUUUUGAUCUCUUUUUCUUUCAUAGACCUUUCUUUUUCAUUUAACCCAUUUAACCUCAUUACAACCUUUUUAAGACCCUUAGAGUUUUGCAUUUAAUUCAUGUUUUGUGGAUUGAGAUGUGAUAUAUGAGCAAGCUUAUGGUAAUAGCAUUCUUUGAUUUGAUUUGGGUGCAUAAAUGAUACCCUAAAUAGUUUGAGUGCAUGGAGUGAAGUCAAUGAGAGGGCUAUUAAAUCUUAUUGCACUUGAAUUUUGAAUGGAUCUUCUUGGUGGUUGAAUGUUUUUAUUCUAUCUUAUGAGAUCCUAUGCUUUAAAAUCCUUGUCUCUCGAAUGUUGAUCAACUUAAAUUCUUGAGGUAUGCUUGCUUAAGAUUGUUUUGGGAUGAGUUGAGAUGAGAAUUGAGUGGAGAUUUGGGAUUAGCCUUGAGUUAUAUGCUUGAGGACAAGCAUUAUCUUGGUGUGGGGGAAUUUGUUAGAGUGCAAUUUAUGCACUAGUUUUGCAUUGUUUACUUCCCUUAAUAUCGAUGUUUUGCACUUAAUAAUAAUAAUUUACUUGUGUUUUAUUUUUGUAGGUGCAAUUCUAUUGAUUGAUGCUAAAAUUGAGUUACAAGAUGAUGUUUGAGGAUGAUUGUUUUCUUGGAGAAAUUUUAAGCGUCAGAAGAACUUUAUUGAUAAGGCGUGGGCGAGUGCUGUCAACUGCAGACCUGCAGUUUUUAGUUUAACGUGUUUUGUAUUUUUGUAAUUACGAAUUUAAUAUUUCAGAUAUUAGUAUUUUAUUUUAAAAAGAACUCUAGAAGAGAAGAGAGAGAGAGUAUUUAAAGGAGGAAUCUAUUGUGAAAAAAGGAGACUUUUUAUAAAAGCAAAAAAUCCUAAAUCUAAAUUUUUCUCUUCUCUCUAUGAAGAACUAAACCUGUUAUUCUGGUUGAAGGUUAAUGAAGCUUUGAUUCAUCACUACUGUGAGAUCUUUCUUAUGCUUUAAUUAUUUUAUUACUUUUUGGGUAUUUGUUUAUUCUCUGAAUUAUUUUCAUGAUUAUGUUUGUUAAUUAGAUAACUGGCCACUAUUUAAUUAUCAACUUAAUCUAUUGUCAAUUAAAGGAUUCAUCGUAUGAAGAUUUUAAUGUUUGUGACAAAUAAUAUAGCAGUGAGUUGUAUUAUGAGAAUAAACAAUCUAAUUUAAAUGAACCAUUGUAUGCGUUUGUUAAUUAGGAUCUGGGUCUCUCCGGUUUUUCAGGCUGUCAAUUGAUUAAAUUCUAUGAUUGUAUCUAGGGUUGUCUAUUGAUUAGGGAAAUAACCAACGGUCGUACCUUGGUUAUCGACUAGUUAAGGAGAGAUUGGCUAUUAGAGGGUCUCGAUAGCUAUAACCGGUCUAUUCAUAAGUAAUAAUAAUUUAUAUUUGAAUCAAUGAUCAGUAGUCGAAUGAAGCUGAAUUAAUUCCUUCAACCAGAGCUUUCUCCAAUUUGAAUUACAAUUUUUAUUUGCACUCUUGUUAUUUUAAUUUGAUUUUUAUUAUUGUCAACAAAUCUCCCAUUUUUCAUUUUACAUUUUAAGAGGAUUUAAAUAAUUACCGAUCUAUGUGGACACGACCCUACUCAAUCACAAUACACAAUUUAUUUAGAGUAGGUAUUUAUUUUUGCUGGCUUCGACAACCAUCACAAUUCUUUAAUUCAAAAGCUGACACUUCUCUAUUCAUCAAACGUGAUACUAAAGGUAAGACCAUUGUGUUAAUUUAUGUUGAUGACAUUUUGGUUACUGGUCCUGACUUAGCAUUACUUAAAGAUUUCAUUCCUAAACUCUAUAAGGUCUUUGCUCUCAAGGAUAUGAGAUUAAUGGCUGUUGGUUAAUUUUAUAAUCAAUUGCUGCCAAUGCCAAUGUGCAAGUAUACACAACAAGUAAUAAAGUGAUGAAUAUUCAAAAUUGUCUCCACAGGGAUUGAUGUUACUCGAAAUGCUGUAGCAAUCACAAUAGUGCAAAUCAACUUAAGGCCGAAGUUAACAAUCGUAAAUUAAGUUCUAUCGUAAUUGAUGAUUGUGAGAGAAUUAAAUAAAACAAUACCGUAAUGAAAUAAACUAAAUUAAAUGUGUCUAAGAUUCAAUAGAGAUUAUGGUAGUUGAAUGAUCAAACUUUCCAUAUGGGCUGACUAUUUUUCAUCAAGUUAGCUUAGCACCAGUUGUUACGGUAAGUGCUGCAGCACUGGGCAGAAUUAAUCUGCAUCCUCAGCUAUCGCAUAUUGGAAGUCUCAUAUCUUUAAAUCUAUUAACAAUGACCAGUUGCUAAUCUAUUUAUGGUAUGGCAUUAUGAUCUUUAGUCUCUCCACCCUACAAGGUGAACACCUAUGUCUAGUGUGUCACAAAUCUUAACUUCAAGUAUUGACCUUAUGGGAUUCAAGAUAACUUAAUCUAGGAAACUUAACUUAAGAUCAAGUAAUACUCUAAUAAUAUCUGCUAACAUAUGCCCUUUUGCUGCUCUAUCUUAACUGAACUAUUAAAUAGGUGGUCAACCGAAAUAACAGUUAUAUUCAUUAUAGCUAUUAGAGUAAAAUGCUACAGCAAUGACAUAACAACACAUAAGAACAGUCAAGAACCCAUUGGAUUGUUUGUCACUCAACUACAAACAAGUUCAUAUUCUGAAUAAGAAAAAUAAACAUAAAUAUAUUGAUCACGGGAUACAUCAAAACAAUUAAAGGAAGAAGAUAAAUAAAAGUUGAGCACGGUGAAAGACAAAUCCAAAUAAUUCUGUACGAUUCUUCAAUGUUGCCGAAACAGCACUCUUCAAUUCUGAUCUUCUUCUUCUUUCCUUUGUAAUUAUUCUAAUGAUAAUUCCCUUGCCGCCUUUCUAUGUCGUGCACGCUUUCAUUUUAUAUUGCAAAUUAGGGUAAAACAAAAGUCCAUGGGCGUGCAUGCGUUAAAUUAGGAAACAUGCAGAUCGCGAUUCUGUGGCUGACCCGCGCCUAAGUUUUCUCCUGCAUUGCUCCACGAUUGCUACAGCACCGGUUGCUCUAACAUCUGCAACAACACUGCACUCUUCCCGAUUGUGCUUUAUUUCUUUUGCGGCCAUCUUCUUUCCUCCUCUUGCUCAUCUAAAGUCUCACCAUCCCCUCAUGAAUUAAGACUUUCUGAAAACCUACAAUUAUGCACCUGUUUUUAGCACAAAUUACUUUGAUUCAAACAAAACUUAUUACAACUUAACUAAAAUGAAUGUUUAUGCAAAAUAUAACCAAAAUGUAAUAAAAACACCUUAUUUUUUCUUUAAGUGAUCUUGAUUUAAGUCUAAAAUUGAUGUAAUAACUCUCAUUUCCUAGAGUUAUCAAUGGCCUAUUUUCUUGUGUGGUAGUUUAUUUCACAACUCAUAGUAGCAUUUCUCACAGAUAAAGUACAUUAAGAAUCUGUUGAGAAAAGCCUCAAUGCAAAUUGCAAUGGUUUUGAUACACAUUUCAACAAUGGUUUCAAACUGGAGAAAAAUGUUAAAGGACCUUUGGGGCAAGAAUUUGAAGAGGCAGCACUUUAUAAAAGCAUUGUUGGGGGUCUUUAGUACUUGAUUCUCACCAGACCUGACAUUGCUUACUCUGUAUAUAAACUUAGUCAGUAUCUUAGUAAUCCUAUACUUUAGCACUGGUUGGCAUACAAGAAAGUGCUCAAGUAUCUUCAAGUUACAAUCACCCAUGGUCGAUAUCUUCAAAAAAGAGGAACACUUAAAGUUGUUGGUUUAACAUGCUACUCUGAUGUUGACUGGACAUGUAAUGUUGAUGGUCGAAAAUCUAUUACAGCUUAUUGUAUCUACCUUGGUAAUAAUUUUAUUUCCUGGUCAUCCAAAAAGCAAGUUAUUGUAGCUAAGUCAAGUAGAGAGAGUGAAUAUAGGGCUCUAUCUUUAGCAAGCUCAGAACUCUCUUGGCUACAAUCCUUACUGUUAAGGCUUAAUAUUGUGCAAUUACCAACUCUAAUUCUUUGGUGUGGUAAUCAGAGUACUGGAGAAUUAGCUCGAAAUCCUACUCUUCACUGUAAGUCUAAGCAUGUUGAAUUAGAUGUUCACUACAUUACAGACAAAGUGGUAAGAAAAGAGUUGGAGGUAAGAUACAGUCCUACUAAAGAACAAGUUGUUGAUGUUCUUACAAAGCCUUUAUCAUUUCCUAACUUCAACUACUUUCGAUCCAAGCUUAAUGUUAUCAGCAGGCCAUUGAGCUUGAGGGGGGAUGUUAAGGAAGUUCAUACUUGCAAUUACUAUUUACAAAUGGUAUAAUCAAAAGAGGGUGUUUAAAUCCCUUAUUGAAAAGUUGAGGAUCUACAUCGCCAUGCAUUUCCCCAAACCUUGUAUAUGUCAUAUUCCCUUGUUUACGCCUCAAAAAUUGUUUGAAUAUUUAAAAAAGAAUUCAAAUAGAUUUUUUAUGUAAUAAAUGACAGAAUUUGACAAACAUUUGUAAUUAGUUAUAUUCCUCUAGUUGAAAGGUUCAAAAAGAUAUAUUAUAUGACCAAAUCGAUAUCGUUUGAGCUAUCUGACAGUACCAAAAAAAUCCUAUGUUAUAAUACCAAAUUACAUUACAAGGGGAACAAAUUAUCGUGUCAAAAGUCAUCUCUUUAGGAGUUUUCUCUGAAAACAACUAAUGAGAGAUAAAAUUGAGUCGUCAUGACUCUUGAAGUCGCUCCUAGGUGGGUGGUUGGCCUUUAAUGUCUUUCACUGGUAGAUAAUUCUCAAGGCUUGUUAUUGAAGAUAAAAAAGUUUUAGCAGUAGUGUUGUUAGGAGGUCAUAAGCAAUUUAGUUCCAGAGCGCUUCCAAGCUGAAAUAAAUGGAUUCAGAAGAGCUCAUUAAGAGGUGCAGAGCUAUUAAGAUAAAUGACGAGGAAGAAGGAUAAGUAACGUUUUAGAGCAAAAUGAAAGCUAGAGGAGAAAAAAUAGUAGCAGGUUGUUUAAUUGGGAAAGUAAUUAAUACAAGGGGAGUCAGUAUUGAAGGCUUAAAAGCUAUGAUACAGAGGAUUUGGAAAACGUCGCGGGAGGUUAAAAUAGAAAGUCUGGGAGACAAUGUUUUCAUGUUUAAAUUUGGGUCUGAGAUGGACAAGCGAAGUGUUUUGGUUGGAGGUCCGUGGCACUUCGAUAGAGCGUUGAUUGUGCUCAAGGAACCAGCUGGGAUCAGAGAUCUAAAAAAGCAGAAUUUUAGCCGAGCUUCUUUUUAGGUUCAAAUUCACGAUGUUCCCAUCAUGUGUAUGUCAAAGGAAAUGGCACAAGAGUUGGGUCAAGUGAUUGGUAAAGUGGAAGAAGUAGAAACAGAUGCUGUGGGGGACUGUUUCAGUGAAUUUCUUAGGCUCAGAAUUUCAAUAGAUAUCACUAAGCCAUUAAAAAAGCUUAUUGAGCUCCAACAAGAAGGGGAAGAAGAAGAUAUCCCGAUGAGAGUAAUGUAUGAGAGCUUACUGGACUUUUGCUUUUGUUAUGGGCGAAUUGGGCAUCAAUAUAGAGAAUGCACACAUUACAAAUCCCAAUCAAAUGAUGAAAUGGCUUACGGGCCAUGGCUAAAGGCAACUACCAUAAUCGAAAGGUUAAAACAGAGCAGACGUAGAGAUAGGUCGGAGUCCGAACCAAGCAAAGAUUAUACAAACUCUCCAACACCUAGGAAGGAAAACGCAAGUCAAAAUAGAAUAGAAGAGGAAAGAAACAAGCUUAGGGGAAAUGGGCAGUAUCGAGGAUGAAAAUUGGAUCCAUCAAAAUCCGGGUAUGAAUAGUUUGGAUGGGAAAGUGAGUAAGGUUCAGAAGAUUAAUCAAAAGUAAUUAAUGCAAGGGGACACAAGAGACAGAGAUCCAAAUGAUAGCUGUAAGGGUAACCACAAGUUAAAUGUUAGCAACGCAGCCCAUGGGAAUAGGUUCGAGGAAGCUGAAUUAAAAGGCGGGAAUGUAAAACAGCUGGAAGAAAAAAUUCAAGACAAAAAGCUACCGGAACAGAGAAUGAAAGUUUGAAAAAUGCGAGAAUCAUUGAGCGGGAAAGGGAGUGUCCACAGAAAGAUUUAGAAGAGUUGGGCUACCAAAAAAGAAAUGGGCUGCAAACAUUAAUGGAAUCUGAGGUGGAGGACAUGGGAAACGGGCCCAAGAUAGACAGAAUAAAAGCGAAAAAGAAAAAAUGGAAAUACUCAGCCCGAAAUAUUGAAGGAAAAAGUGAAACAAGUGAAGAGAUUGUAAAGAUAAAGAGGCCCAAUAGCACAAUGGGUUGGGAAAGCCCAAAGCCAAAAAGAAGUAAAUUUACCUGUCCUCAUAAGACUGUUUUAUCAUCACCAUUCCAGAGAGCAACGAUGGCAGCAACUAAGCUAACUUUUGAUAGAAUAUGUGAUGGGUGGGAGAGGAUUUAGAAUGUUGAAACUAAAUCAUCGGCGGUGGUUGGGAGACAGCAUCGCCAACAGCCAUGAAACCCUUAAACUGGAACGUUCGGGGGCUGGGGCAAGAUCAAACGUUCCGAGAAGCCCAACAACUCUCGCAUGAGAAUAUGUCUCAAAUUUGUUUCCUUUAUGAAACAAAGAUAACGACUAGACAAAUGAAAGAAAAAAGAAAGAAGUUGAAGUUCCAGAAUUGUUUUGCAGUUAGUAGAGAGGGUUUGGGAGGUGGGUUGGCAAUGCUUUGGAAGAAUCCUGACAUCAAUGUGGAAAUCAAAUCCUACAGCAAACACCAUGUGGAUGUUGUAGUCCACAGUGAAAAGGGAAGCUACUGGAGAUGUAUUGGCAUUUACGGGCACCCAGAAUCAGACCAGAAAAAACACACGUGGGAACUGCUGAGAAGGUUAGCUGCUUUAUCUUUUCUCCCUUGGUUAUGCUUUGGGGAUUUCAAUGAGGUGUUGAACUUAAAUGAAAAAUCGGGAGGAAGAGAUAGGAGGGCAAGUAUGGUAAUUGACUUUAGGGAGGCUAUAAGAGAUUGUGGCUUGAUGGAUUUGGGAAGCACUGGGUAUCCAUUCACUUGGUCAAACAGGUGAUUUGGGGCUCACAUUAUAGAAGAAAAGUUGGAUAAGUUCUUAGGGAACAGCAGCUGGAAGAGUUUUUUUUAAAGAAAAUAUAGCUUCUAAUUAAAUUUCGUGGAGCUCUGAUCAUAGUCCCAUAAUGAUAGAGGUGCUGGAAAAAGGGAGAGAAACAAGAUACACGAGGAAAACUUAUCAUAGAACCCACUAUGAAGAUAUGUGGAGUCCGUAUGAAAAGUGUAAGGAGAUCGUUAAGCAAGAAUGGGUGGAGAUGAGCUGCUGGAAGAAUAAGAACCCGGUUGACAGCUUUACAAAGAUUUCAAAUGAGUCUUUGCGAGAUUAAAGAUAUGAAGUAAGGAGUGUUAGCCUAUAUGGCUAUAGAUAUUGAUUUUGAUGAUAACAAACCACAUAUGUUGAUUAAACAAAGAUUUAUGAAUUAUGCUUUUAUAAUAAGAAAAUGAUGUUAUGGAAUUAAAGUGUUUUGGACUAAAAUGAAAGUAUUUUAAAACCUUUGGUAUUGUUUUAAAAUUUCAGAUUUGGACUUAUUUGAAAAUAUUUAAAUAUUUAGGGUCAUUCUAUAAUUUCACAUAGUUUGGGUGAAAUCAUAAUUUUAAAAAGUUUUGGGAUUGACAAAGUGUUAUUUAGAAAUUCUGAAAUUGGACCUAUUUGAAAGCUUUCAUAACGUUUUGGGUUAUAAUAUAGUUUUAUAAAGUUUUAAGGUCUAACUAUAAUUUUAGAAAAUAUUUUACUGUAGCAAGCGGCUAACCGGAUAUGAUAAGCGGCAAUCCAGAUUUUGGGUAGUAAGCUUCUGGAGCAUAAACGGCUAUCCGGAUAUCGUAAGUGGCAUGCUAGAUGUUUUGAAAUUCAAAAUUUUUUUUGUAACGGUAACAAAAAAGCGGCUAACCGGAUUCCAAAAGCGGCAAGCCGGUUAUCAUCAGAAAACACAUAACGGCUAGUUUUUGGGCUCAAACUAUAUAAAUUCAAAUCCAAUUCAUUUUCAAGUUCUCUAGCAAGCAUAAACAAAAAGCACACAAGAUAUCUUGAGCUCUCAAUUUCGCAAAUCAUAAAACAUUGAAUCAUCUCUUGCUCUUCAUUUUGAAUAUCUACUCUUUGAGUGAGUUUUGUUGUAACUUUCAUUUCUUCAUCUUAAUUGUAAGUAUUUGAGUGUGUGAGACACUUGAGUGAAGAGAUUAUGAGACAAUCUCUUUGUUGUAAAGGUUCAUUGACACCUUGAAGUCAAUUGUAAACGUUUGAAGCCUUGGAAAGGCUCGGAUAGUGAAAUCCUCAAGCUUGGAUCACUUGGAGGCGUGGACAUAGGCGGGGAUUGCCGAAUCACGUAAAAAUUCAUGUGUUUGUUUCUCUUCUCCCUUACUCAUUUGUUAUUGUGCUUUUAUUGAACUUAUUGCUUUCGAAUUUAUUAAGGCAUUAGAUUGGAUUGUUGUGUGGCUUUAUUAGGAUAAUUUUUAAAAUACCAAUUCACCCCCCUCUUGGGUUGCACACUUAUAUUUCAUUGGGUAUCAGAACAAGGUGCUCUUAUUUAGACUUAACCGUCUAGAGCUAAAGAUCAAUGGCAACUCAAAAUGAUUCCACAUUUAGGGAAGGACAGUCCACCACUAGACCACCAUAUUUUGAUGGAAACGAUUACCCUUAUUAGAAAACUAGGAUGAGAAUUUACUUGCAAGCUUUAGAUUACAAAAUUUGGGAAAUCGUUAAUGAUAGUCCUUUCAUGCCUUUGACUAAAAAUGAAGUUGGGGAAGACAUUCCAAAACCUUCACGGGAAUGGAAUGAAUUCGAAAAGAUAAAAGCUUCUAUAAAUUCCAAGGUUAUUAAUGCCUUGUUUUGUGCACUAGAUAAGAAAGCGUUUCAUAGAGUGUCUAGUUGCGAAAGUGCUAAUGAAAUUUGGCAUAAACUUGAAGUUUUUUAUGAAGGCACGAAUCAAGUGAAAGAAUCUAAAAUAAGUAGGUACACUCAACAAUAUGAAUUGUACCAAAUGGAACAAAAUGAGAGUGCGUACUCUAUGUAUACUAGAUUUACGGACAUAGUGAACACUCUAGAAGUCCUAGGAAAGACCUUUUCAAAUAGCGAGAAAGUUAAAAAAAUUAUUAAGUCACUACCUAAGGAAUGGAGACCAAAAAGGACUAUCACUGAGGAAGCCAAAGAUUUAAAUGUAUUACCUAUUGAUGAUUUAAUUGGUUUUCUCAUUUCAUAUGAAGAAGAUUUGGCAGCAGAAAAAUGACAUGAGAAAAAAAAGAAAAGCAUUGCUCUCAAAGCCUCAAAAUGUGAUAGUGAUGAGGAAAGCGAGAUGGAUGAUGAGGAGUUGGCUAUGUUGGCUAGAAGAUUCAGAAAAUUCUACAAGAAGAAUAAAGAGCAGAGAAAGUUUAGAAGUCACAAAAACAAAAAGGAGAAGAAAGAGCCAAUUACUUGCUAUGAAUGCAAGAAGCCCGGACACAUUCGACCGGAAUGUCCUCUCCUCAACAAAUUCAAGAAUAAAGCUAUGGUGGCCACGUGGGAUGAUAGUGAUAAGGAAACAAGCAAUGAUGAAGAGCAACAAGAGAUGACUAAUCUAGCUCUCAUGGCCUUUGGGGAAGAAUCAUGUAAUUAAGUUGAUGAGGUAAGAGUUCUUCCUACAUAUGAUGAAUUACAUGAUGCCCUUAAGUAUAUGCAUGAUGAAUUGAUGAAGAUUGGUAAAAAGAAUACAUGUCUUAAAAAGAAAAUGAUAGAGCUUAAAAAUGAAAAUGAAUCAUUUAGUGCAAAGAUUACAUGCCUAGAAUUAGAGAAUAAAACAUUGCUUGAUAUAGUUGCAUUAUUUGAGAAUUCUAGCACUUCAUAUGAGCAUUUAGAGUCACAUGUGAAUAAUUUGAAAAAUGAAAAUGAAAUGCUUAGAAAGAAGAGCAAUGAACUAAAUGAGAUUGUGCUAAAAUUCACAAAUGGGCAAACGAUGUUGGAUAACUUGCUAAACUCACACAAAUGUGUAUUUGACAAAGGAGGCAUUGGUUAUAAGCCAAAUUUGAAACAAAAAUAUUACAAGAGUUGUUUUGUAAAGAAUACAUCUGUUGACAAUCAAAUUGUAUGUCAUUAUUGUAAUCAAGAUGAUCAUAUGAAAAAUAGAUGUCUAGUGAAGAGAAAUGCAUAUUAUGGUAUGAAAUGUGUUUGGGUUCCGAAAUAAACCAUUGCUCAAGGACCCAAAAGAUUUGGGUACCUAAAACUUGAGAUUUUCUCUACAUGGCUUGAAGAAGAAGAAUAAUAAUAAGUGGUACUUGGACAGUGGUUGUUCAAGACACAUGACAGUGAAUUAUUCUUGGUUUUCAAGUUUUACUAAGAUAAAAAAUGGUGGAGAUGUAUCGUUUGGAGAUAAUUCAAAAGGAAAAAUCAUUGGCAUUGGAAAUGUCGGUAAUGUAUCCUCUACUCUCAUUGAAAAUGUGUGUUUGGUUGAAAACUUAAAACACAACUUGCUCAGUAUUAGUCAAUUAUGUGAUAAAGGAUAUAUAGUUAUCUUUGAUGAAUCAAAAUGUGUUAUUGAGAAUGCAUGUGAUGGGAAAGUUUUAUUUGUAGGAAAUAGAUGUGUUAAUGUCUAUACCAUUAAUAUAGAUUGUGGACCGAUAAAUGAUAAAUGUUUCUCCACAUUGCAUGAUGAUGGUUGGUUGUGGCAUAGAAGAUUAGGUCAUGCAAGCAUGAAUUUGAUUUCAAAAAUCGUGAAAAAUGCUUUGGUUAAAGGUCUUCCAAAAAUCAGUUUUCAAAAAUAUAGAAUUUGUGAAGCUUGCCAAUUUGGAAAACAAAUCAAAACUUCCUUCAAAAGCAAGAAUCAUGUCUCUACUUCAAAACCACUUUAAUUACUUCACAUAGAUUUGUUUGGACCUUCUAGAUAUGCUAGUUUAAGUGGCAAAUUUUAUGCACUUGUAAUUGUAGAUGAUUAUUCUAGAUACACAUGGGUAUUGUUCUUAACUAAUAAGGGUGAUGCCAUUGAUGCAUUUCGAAUUUUCUGUAAAAAGGUUCAAAAUGAAAAAAGUUAUUCUAUUACUUAUAUUAGAAGUGAUCAUGGUGGAGAAUUUGAAAAUCAUGCAUUUGAAAAUUUUUGUGAUGACUUUGGCAUUGAGCAUCAAUUUUCAUCACCUAGGACUCCACAAAAAAAUAGAGUUGUAAAGAGAAAGAAUAGGUCUAUUCAAGAAAUGGCUAGGACCAUGUUGAAUGAAAAUUCUUUGCCUAACUAUUUUUGGGCCGAAGCCGUCAACACCGCUUGUUAUGUUUUGAAUCAUGUGUUAAUUAGACCUAAUCUUAAUAAAACUCCAUAUGAGCUUUAGAAAGAUAGAAAACCCAACAUUGGCUAUUUUAAAGUCUUUGGAUGUAAAUUUUUUUUUUAACACAAAAGAUAAUCUUGGUAAAUUUGAUCCAAAAUCUUAUGUUGGUGUUUUUCUUGGUUAUUCAAACUCAAGCAAAGCUUAUAGAGUUUAUAAUAAAAGAACUUUAGUUGUUGAAAAAUCUAUGCGUGUUACAUUUAAUGAGUCUAAUCUCUCCUCUACGGAGAAAGUCAUUGUUGAUGACAAUGCAAAAGAAGAACAACAAGAAGAACCAUAAAAUGACAACCAAAAAGAUGCACCACAUGGAAUUCAAGAAGAAUAUCAUGAAGAAACAAAUGCAGAGCAAAAUGAAGGUAUUUCUCAAACACCCCCCAAGGAGUGGAGGUAUGUUUCUUCUCACCCUAAGGAUGUAAUUUUAGGAGAUCUCUCACGAGGUGUUAAAACUAGAUCAUCUCUUAGGAACACAUUUGAGCAUGCUGCAUUUAUUUCUCAAAUUGAACCAAAAUCUUUUACGGAUGCAGAAAAUGAUGAAUCUUGGAUUAUGGUAAUGCAAGAGGAGUUGAAUCAAUUUGAGAGAAACAAUGUGUGGGAAUUAGUUCCUAAUCCAGAACAUCAAUCCAUUAUAGGCACUAAAUGGGUAUUUAGAAACAAAAUGGAUGAAUCUGGUGUGGUUGUAAGAAAUAAAGCUAGAUUAGUGGCUCAAGGUUACAACCAAGAAGAAGGAAUUGAUUUUGAUGAAACAUUUGCACAUGUAGCUAGGUUAGAAUCCAUUAGGAUGUUGUUAGCAUAUGCAUGUCAUAAGGAUUUUAUUUUAUAUCAAAUGGAUGUCAAAAGUGCUUUCUUAAAUGGUUAUAUUAUGGAGGAAGUUUAUGUGAAACAACCUCCUGGUUUUGAAAAUAAAAAAUUUCCAGAUCAUGUAUAUAAGUUAUCUAAGGCUUUGUAUGGACUAAAACAAGCACUUAGAGCUUGGUAUAAUAGGCUUAAAAACUUCUUGUUAGAUAACAAUUUUUCGAUGGGAAAAGUGGACACAACUUUAUUUGUUAAGAAUAAGAACCAAGAUAUACUUAUUGUUCAAAUUUAUGUUGAUGAUAUUAUUUUUGGUUCUACUAAUGAGUUGUUGUGUAAAGAAUUUUCAUCGUGUAUGAGCAAAGAAUUUGAAAUGAGUAUGAUGGGAGAGUUGAAGUACUUCCUUGGACUUUAAAUCAAACAAAAUGAGGAAGGAAUUUUCAUAAAUCAAGCUAAGUACGCGAAAGCUCUACUCAAAAGAUUUGGCUAUGAUAAUGGAACGGCAAAAACCACUCCAAUCAGUACUACCAUUAAGCUGGACAAAGAUGAGAAAGGUAAGUAAGUUAAUAUCAAGACAUAUCGAGGUAUGAUCGGAUCCUUACUCUAUUUGACUACUAGUAGGCCCGAUAUUAUGUUUAGUGUAUGCUUGUGUGCUAGAUUUCAAUCUUGUCCUAAAGAUUCACACAUGCUUACUGUCAAACGAAUUUUUUGAUAUUUGAUUGGCACCAUUAAUCUUGGCCUUUGGUAUCCUAGGGGAACUCAUAUUGACUUAACUUGCUAUUCGGAUGCCGAUUUUUCCGGUUAUAAGGUUGAUAGAAAAAGUACUAUUGGAACAUGUCACUUUCUAGGCCAUUCAAUUGUCUCUUGGUUUAGUAAGAAAUAAAACUCGGUUGCACUUUCAACCACCGAGGCAGAAUAUAUUGCUGCAUGUAGUUGUUGUGCACAAAUUCUUUGGAUGAAACAAACCCUUAGAGACUAUGGUAUUAAACUCGAUCAAAUACAUAUCUUGUGUGACAAUACUAGUGCUAUAAAUCUAUCUAAGAAUCUCAUUCAACAUUCUAGGACUAAGCAUAUAGAAAUUAGGCAUCACUUCCUUAGAGAUCAUGUUAAAAAAGGAGAUGUUGUGAUUAAAAUUAUUUCUACUGAAAACCAACUUGCGGAUAUCUUUACAAAACCUUUUAGUGAAGAGUAUUUUAUAAAGAUAAGACAUGAGCUUGGAAUGAUAAAUGUUGCAUCUUGAAUUAUGAUUUGUUGAUUAAGUUAAUAUGUUUGUUAUUGUAUGCAUUUAUGGUUCAUGCAUUGAGUGGCUUAUUGAAAAGUUUUAAAUCUCAAAAUGAUUUAAAAUUGGUCAAAUUUUAAGCCAAAAACAAAUUGGUGUAUAUAAUACAAGUAUAAGAGCUUGCUAAAAUUCAAUUAGAGAUAAAAAGAUUUCCAAGUCUAAACCGGUAUACCACUUCCUCUCAACCGAAAAACCGCUUUCUUAUUGAUUCCUCUGGAAACAAAUUCUGGAUAACCGGAUUUAGCAAACCAGUAAGCCGGAUUAGCUUUGGUCACUCUCGGGUCAACAUUCAGAUAACCAAAUUUAUCAAAACGGUAAGCCGGAUUUGCCUUGUAAGAUUUCUAGACCAAAACCGGUCAACCGGUUAUAAAAACCAAAAAGCCGGAUGUAUUUUGGAGUUCACUGGACGAAAAGCGGUCAUCCGGUUAUUCAAUCCGGAAAGCCGGAUUUGCUAAGCUUCCUCUCUGCCUCAAAAUCGGACAGUCGGUUCUUCAAAUCCAGAAAAUCGAUUACGAUUUGCAUGGUUCUGCCUCACAACCGGCUAACCGGUUCUUCAAUCCGGAAAGCCGAAUUCGUGAAGCAAUAUUUUGCCUCAAAACUGGUCAGCCGGUUAAUCAACCAGUAAGCCGAAUAAGUUCUUGACACAGCAGCUUAUGGAUGAGGUGCGAACACUCUCUAUGCGGCAAACUGAGUUUCAGCAGCAGCAACUCAUUCAUGGACAGCACCUUCAUUUUUAGCACUUUGGCAUUCCAUAUCUGUAUCCUCCUGCAUCACCACCAUCCUCACCACCUCAGUAGUCACUUAUGCUUGUAUUUGGACACACUUACAUAUUAUUUACUACUUUAUGUCCUUUUAUUUUCGACUAUAUGGAUGGUUAUUAUGCUUUUGGAUUAUAUUUUUGUUUUGGAUGAUAUGGAUUUGUUUUGAUUGUUUGUUAUGGAUUAUAUGGAUUUCCUUAUGCUUAUAGAUAUUUUUGAACUAAUGUGCUUGUAUUGAGACUUUGAUGAUUGAUAGGGGGAGCUUUUAUUCUUUUUGAUGAUGAAGGAGGAGAAUAAUAUAAUAUAUAUUAUAAAAAUAUGCAUGUAUGCAGGGGGAGUAUGCAUGUAUGCAGGGGGAGUCUUUUAAAUAGUUUUCAAAUCAGUUUUUUAACCUUGCAUUGAUUAAGGGGAGCUUUUCAUAACUAGAUUAAAUUUUUAUAAUGUGUUUUGUCAUCAUCAAAAAGGGGGAGAUUGUUAGCCUAUAUGGCUAUAGAUAUUGAUUUCGAUGAUAACAAACCACAUGUGUUGAUUAAAUAAAGAUUUAUGAAUUGUACUUUUAUAAUAAGAAAAUGAUGUUAUGGAAUUAAAGUGUUUUGGACUAAAAUGAAAUUAUUUUAAAACCUUUGAUAUUGUUUUAAAAUUUCAGAUUUGGACCUAUUUGAAAAUAUUUAAAUAUUUAGGGUCAUUUUAUAAUUUCACAAGUUUGGGUGAAAUCAUAAUUUCAAAAAUUUUUAGGAUUGACAAAGCAUUAUUUAGAAAUUAUGAAAUUAGAUCUAUUUGAAAGCUUUCAUAACGUUUUAGAAAAGAUUUCACUGUAGCAGUUACUGUAGCAAGCGGCUAACCGGAUAUGGUAAGCGGCAAUUCAGAUUUUGGGCAGUAAGCUUCUGGAGCAUAAACGGCUAUCCGGAUAUCGUAAGCGGCAUGCCGGAUGUUCUAAAAUUCAAAUUUUUGUUGUAACGGUAACAUAAAAGCGGCUAACCGGAUUCCAAAAGCGGCAAGCCGGUUAUCAUUAGAAAACACAUAACGGCUAGUUUUUGGGCUCAAACUAUAUAAACUCAAAUCCAAUUCAUUUUCAGGUUCUCUAGCAAGCAUAAACAAAAAGCACACGAGAUAUCUUGAGCUCUCAAUUUCGUAAAUCAUAAAACAUUGAAUCAUCUCUUGUUCUUCAUUUUGAAUAUCUACUCUUUGAGUGAGUUUUGUUGUAACUUUCAUUUCUUCAUCUUAAUUGUAAGUGUUUGAGUGUGUGAGACACUUGAGUGAAGAGAUUGGGAGAUAAUAUCUUUGUUAUAAAGGUUCAUUGACACCUUGAAGUCAAUUGUAAACGUUUGAAGCCUUGGAAAGGCUCCGAUAGUGAAAUUCUCAAGCUUGGAUCGCUUGGAGGUGUGGACGUAGGCGGGGAUUGCCGAACCACGUAAAAAUUCAUGUGUUUGUUUCUCUUCUCCCUUACUCAUUUUUUAUUGUGCUUUUAUUGAACUUAUUGCUUUCGAAUUUAUUAAGGCGUUAUAUUGGAUUGUUGUGUGGCUUUGUUAGGAUAAUUUUUAAAAUACCAAUUCACACCCCCCCUCUUGGGUUGCACAUUUAUAUUUCAAGGAGGAGUUUAGUAGGAGAAAAAGAGCUGAAAUGGCUAAAGAAGAAGCUCCAAGAUUUAAAGAAUGGGUGUUAUCAUUUGGAAAAUUAGGAGAAUAUCACGCAAGUAGAAAAGCAGAUUGACAACAUCUUUCUGGAUGAGGAAAUUUUUUGGAAGCAAAGAUCGACAGCUGACUGGUUGAGGGAGCAAGACAAAAUACAAAAUUUUUUCACACAAAAGCCUCAGCUAGAAAAAAGAAAAACAAGAUCAGUGGUUUGGAAGAUGAUAGUGGAAAGUGGAUAGAAGAAGAGGAGGAUGUAGAACCGCUGAUUUGUGAAUACUUUUGAAAAAUCUUUACCACAACAAAUCCUUUGCUGGAUCAAAUGAAUGCAGCGUUGGAUGACUUGCCAGCCAGAAUUACGGCGAAGAGGGAAAGCUAUUUGGAGCAGCCCUUUACGAGGGAAGAAGUUGCUGAAGCUUUAGCCCAAAUGUGUCCCACGAAAAAUCCAGGCCCGGAUGGACUUCCAGCAGCAUUUUUUCAGAAACACUAGUGCUUAGUGAAAGAUAGGGUGACCACAACUUGUUUGCACGUCUUGAAUAAGGGAGGUAAUAUUCAACCCUUAAAUCACACUUACAUUGCUAUGAUUCCGAAAUUAAACAAGCUAAAGAAAGUGACUGAUUUUAGACUUAUUAGCCUUUGUAAUGUUAUCUAUAGUAUCAUAGCAAAAACAAUAACUAAUAGGCUAAAAGAGGUGUUAAAUGCUAUCAUUUCCCCCACCCAAAGUGCCUUUGUUCCUGGCAGACUCAUCACUGAUGACAUUAUUAUAGGCUAUGAGUGCUUGAAUAAAAUAAGACAGAGCAAAAGUAGUAGAAAGGGGAUGGUUGCUUUAAAACUUGAUAUUAGCAAGGCAUAUGAUAGGGUGGUGUGGAGUUUUGUCAAACACAAAAUGCAGAGGCUGGGAUUUUCUUCAAAAUGGGUGAAUUUGGUUAUGAAUUGUAUAUCCACAGCUAGUUUCUCAGUUUUGAUCAACGAGGUGCCAAAAAGGCACAUCUUUCCGCAAAGAGGAUUAAGGCAAGGUUGUCCUCUUUCACCUUACAUUUUCAUCAUGUGUGCAGAGGUGUUCUCGAAUAUGUUAGUGCAGGCAAAAAACCGAGGGCAAAUUCAAGGGCUGAGAUUCACUGGAAGCUUGUCAAUCAUCCACUUGUUAUUUGCGGAUGAUAAUUUGGUUUUUGCAAGAGCAUUGACACGACUCAAAAGUGUACUACUCUCAAGUAUAAGAGUGUCUAGUUAUAAUAUAACCCUGUGAGACCGGGGUCGAACCACAAGGAGUUUUAAAUCUAGUAAAACUAAGAAAAUUAAUUGUGGGGAAAAGAAAUUAUUUGAAAUUAAUUUAAAAAUAAGCUAAGGUUUAGGAUCCACUCUCUGUAUUCAAACUAUAAUUUUAAUACUCUCUCAUUUAUAUUUUACCUCACUUUUACCAAUUAAUUAUUAUAUCAUUUAAUUCUAUGUGUAUGGAUAAAUAUAGAAUAAAGUACCUAAUGUGCCACACUAUAUUAAUGUGUCGACAUUAUGUCAAAAUACCAUAAAAUCUAGUGAGAUUUAUAAAUUAACAUGAUAUAAAAAUAAUUAGAAAAGAAUUAAAUAAACUUCAAAACUCAUUUGAGAAAAUAAUAAUAAUUAAUAGUUUGAAACAUUGAGCUUUACCAUUCACCUCAGCUUAAUAAAAUUAGCUACUCAUAUUGAAAGAAAACACAAUACUUUUUUUAUUUGAUAAACUUUUUGAAAUAUAUUACAAAGAAAAUUGAUAAAAACGGAAACAAGAAAAGAAAAGAAAAGAAACAAAGAAAGAAAGAAAUUCUUUAGCUGCACUCUAUUCUCUCUCGGCUUAAGCUCUCAAAAUAUACGUCCCCAGCUUCUCGCUCCCCCAUCGCUUGCCACCCCUUUGCCUUUUAUAGGCAAAGUAAAUCAUCUUCUUUUCUUUUAUUUUAUUAAUAUAUAUAUAUAUAUAUAUAUAUAUAUAUAUAUAUUGAAUUGUGUGAUGGUCAGGAGGCGUGAUGGCCUCCUGACCAUCACAGGCAACCAAUGUUUUGGUUGCCUUUUACUCUUUUGUCUUUUUGUUCUUUUUUAUUUAUUUAUUUUUUAUUAUUAGAUCUCCUCAAUUGUGUUCUAGUAGUUCUUCUUUGUUCCCGCUUUCAAUUCUAAUUCCAAUUCCAUCUUUAUUCCUGAAAAAUAUUUACAAGAUAAAAAUUAACAAAUUACGAAUUAAUUUAACAUAAAAUAUAUUUGGGGAGUAUUAAAAUAAUUUAGAAAUAAUGAACGCAUUAAUCGACACAAUAAGUGAAAAACUAAUAAUUUUAUCCUUAUUAAAUAUACACUUUUUAGUGUCAAUCAAGCAUCUAGUAUAGAUUGUAUGAAGUUAAAAGACAUUUUUGAUUGCUAUACAGUUGCAUCAGGCCAGGUUUUUAAUUAUGAAAAAUCCUUAAUGUUUUUUAGCUCGGGUACAAGCCAAUUUCAAAGGGAGGCACUUAGGAAUAUAUUUGGGCUGAAUGUGAUCACAAAACAUGAGAAAUACCUUGGUCUUCCAUCCAUGGUGGGGAGAAGGAAGAUUAGUUUUUUCAAUGAAGUAAAGCUAAGGGUUUUAAGCAAGCUUUCUAGUUGGCAAAGCAAAAAUUUCACCCGUGGUGGUAAAGAAGUUCUCACUAAGGCUGUAAAGCAAGCAAUUCCGGCCUAUGCUAUGAGUGUCUUUAAAAUCCGUCAAGGCCUUUGUUCUUAAAUUGAAAAAGCCAUUGCAAGAUUCUGGUGGGGAUCCUUGAAUACACAUAGAAGCAUACAUUGGGCGAGAUGGGAAAGAUUAUGCCAUGCCAAGAUAAGAGGGGGAAUUGGCUUCCGAGAUUUUUCUAGCUUUAAUCAAACCCUCAUAGCUAAGCAAAGGUGGAGAAUUCUGCACAAUCCUGAUUCAUUAAUGGCAAAAAUCUUGAAGGCUAAAUAUUUCAAACACAUUAAUUUUAUGGAAGCAAAGCUUGGCUCAAAUCCAUCUUUUGUGUGGAGGAGUAUUCUAUGGGGCAAACAAGUGCUUCAUAAAGGGCUGGGAUGGAGGAUUGGUAAUGGGAAUCAGGUGCCAGUUUGUGGUAGCAAUUGGGUUCAAAAUUUUGAGAUCACUGAAAAUGCCACCCAAGUUAUUGUACUAACCAAGGCAGUUGUGCCCGAUUUUAUUGACGAGAGCAAUAACUGGAGGGAAGAGUUGGUUGCUAAGUAUUUCUCUAAAGAGGCUUAGAAAGAAUACUAAGGACUCCACUUCCGAAAAUCCCAAGACCGGAUCAGCUGGUACGAUCCUUUGAUAAGCAUGGUUUGUAUACAGUUAAGAGUGGCUAUCAGCAGGCCAUAAAGCUCAAAUUCCCGGACAGAGCAUGUUGCUCAGAUAGCUCCAAAACUCAGUGGAAGGUAAUCUGGGCAAGUGACAUUCCGAAAAAAGUGAAAAUCUUCAUGUGGAGGGCAGCUCAAGACAUGUUACCAAUAGGGGAGAAUUUAUGGAGAAAGAAAAUUGUGGGGGAUCCAAUUUGCCAAAGAUGUUAUAAUAUGGGAGAAGAUGUGUUUCAUGCGUUAAUUGGGUGUAAGGUUGCUCGUAAGGUCUGGAAGUUGACAAAAAUUUAUGAGGAUAUCAGGCGAAUGGCCCUCCAGGACAUGUUGACACUACUAGAAAAAUGGUCUUUACUGACUUUAAAAUAGUGUCAGAAAUUACUAUUACUGACACUUGUUAAUUGUGUCAGUAAUUUGGGAGUCAGAAAAAUAGUGACACUUGUAAGUGGUGUCAGUGAUUACUAUUACUGCAGUAUCACCGAUAUUAUGACACCAUAGUAUUAGUAGUUAUUGAUAUUUUAUUAGUGUCUAUGAUUACUGUUACCAUGGUAUCACUAGUUAAUUUAUUUUUUAAAAAAUAAAAAAUUAAAUUGGAUAAUUGCCUAUUGAUUUAUUUGUAAAAUUAAAAGCACCAUAAAAUAACAAAAAGAAAUUGAUUUAUAUCACAAAAUCUUUCAUUUCACAUUUAAAUAUUAUUAGUAUAUAUUACAAAUUGAACUUCAAUAGCCAAAAUAUGAGAUAUCCUACUCUUAUAACUAAAUAAUCCAAAUUCAAUACAUAAAAAUUAGUCUCUGUCCCUAUCUGACCAACUUCCAUCAGAAUUAGCCUCAUCACUUCUGCUUUCACUGUGAUAAUUGGAGCGCCUCCGACUCCAAGUUGUUUCAUGAACUUGACGUUUAUCAUCAUGGCUUCUGCCAGAACCACUUUUCACACGAUCAGCCUCCCUUGAUCUAGACCUUCUGUAAUGAUGCCUGCAUAAGAAAUUACAAAACCAUAAAUAACCAGAAGAUUUCUAACAUCAGCAGUAAAUACAUUAAAUAAUGAAAUUUGAUCAUAGUUUGGAUCAUCAUCCCUUGUACAUAAGAUUGCAAUGCUACAUCACCAAAGGCAUCUUGUUGAAUCUAAUUAUUUUCUUGCCAUGCUUGCAACAUGGUCAUUACGCCACAUACUAAUCAUACAUUUUUGAAAAUGGGUUUUAAACUCAAACAAUAGACCAAAAAACCAACAGAAGAACUUUCUUUAAAUCUUACAUUGUGAGAACAUCUUUUCAUUAUUCAUUGCUUCUAAGAAAACCGAGUUAGGAGACUUGAAGAAAACACAAAUGAAGAGAACGAUACUAUGAAGAAACCUCUCAAAAUCAUAGGUCAAACAUGGAAGUUUAAACUAAAAAAUUCAAAUAACAGAAAGUGAAUUAAAUAAACAAGAGUUCAUAUAUACCAAGUACAGUUUAUAGUGUCUAUGACUAGUAAUAAAAGCAUACCUGUCGGCAUUAGUUGAAUCUAUCUUGUUCCUCGUUUGUCCUGAGCGUUCUUGAUUCCAGGUCCCAGAUUCAUUAGAAUAACCAAAUAAAGCAGCCAUCUUUUUCACCCAAUAUCUCGGAGGUGGUUUAUCCAAAUCAGCCCAUUCAUAGUCUCCGCCAGGGUUGCGGAAACAGUGGAUAAAAUUGCGAGCCAUUCCACGAGAGCAUGUCUGAUAAAAAAUGCCCAACGAAGAUAAUAAGAGCGUAAAGAAAAGAAGAAAAGAAACAAACUCAUUUCAUAUCAAAAGAAAAAUGGCAAUUGGCUGUACCUUUAGUCUUGACUUCAUAUAUUCCCCACAUAUGGCAAUCUUCCAUCUAGUCACAUUAAUAAAUUCACAUGUGAUCUGUCAAGAAACACACAAAUAAAUAAACCAUCACCAUCCAGAAAAUGACAAGCUGUAAAAUUCAGUAAACAGUAAUGUGUUGAUUACAAUUUAAGCAUGGAGAAAAUUUUCAGAUUAGACUAUGUCAACAGUGUCCACAGAUAGUUAAAAGAUGGGAGAAUGUGCUGGCGUUCACUAAGCAUAUAAUUUUUCACAGCUUAACCCAUUGCAAUUUUACCAGUGUCAAGUCUAAAGGAAACUAGUCAGGAAUCUUCUGUAAAGUAAAUAAAUAGUGAAACAACUGUUCUCAUAGCAAUAAAAUGAAAUUAUUUUAAUAAUUUUCUUCAACUUUCAGACCAAUCAAACAAGUAAAGCAAUUUUAGUACAAUGCACAGCAAUUUAAGCUGAAUGGACAAUUGGAACAAUUACGGAACAACUAGACCCCAACGAAUACUGCAAAAACAACCCUUAAACAAUGACUUAAGAAAGUAUAAGCUUCUCUUAAGAAAGUAGAAGCUUCUCCUAGAUCAUGCCUUUUCAAUCUCCCUUUACUAAGAAAGCUGCCAUGGUAUUUAAGACUAUCCAAAUCCUAUCAACAUGUUGGGAUAUUCAAAUACAGCCUCCAAGAAGACAUGCUGUAAACUUUACAACUGAAGUCUGUCAGAUAAACCAAAUCUUAUACCCAAUGCCAAGAGCUUUAAUUCAAUCCAUUUUAAUAGGCACCAAUUACCAGGAAUGCAGGCAGACAAAAAGGCUCAAAAUGACAGGAUAUCAGUAUUCUGGAAUUUUGUAUCAGAAACAUGAAAAGUGGCAAGGCCCAUUCACUGAGAGCCAAACAUUUUUUAAAUAGUAGUUACUUUAUAUAAAAUAAAUAAAUAUAAAGUAGAAAGUAAGCUCCAACAAUUCUUCACAAAGACCUGUUUCCCAGCAAAGUAAUGACCAUUGACAGAAUGGUAAGCGAGAACAGCUGAUUCCAGCGACUUAUAGUGAACAUAGACAUUUCCUCUCAAGUGGGAAAAACCAUUUCUACACACCUGCACAUAUUUGUUAGUUAGUAUAAGCAGAAAAAGGAAGAAAUCCAUGCCUAAAUCUUACAGAAUACUGAGUCUACAAGAAAUGCUAAAUAAUGUCCAUAGAGUUUCAAUUAAUCUGGGAGGCCAGAGAAUGAUUUAAGAAAGUGUAAUGAAAUAACCAUAGCCAUCUUGUGCAACCAAGGGCAUACAAACUAAUAUGGCACAACGAGAUUGAUUGUAUAAAACCAUCCUAGGUCUACAUAAUUGAAAAAAAUAACUGUUAUCACUUUUCAGCCAAGCUCUUCAUACCACAUCAGUUGGUACACACUAAGCUGUAAAAAUUUGUUUGUGGCUCUGUCAUUAUUGUCAAAGAAAAUGGUAACAGGUAGUUUUCUUCAUAUUUAUCAUAUUUGUUAAUCUCAAAAUUGCAAUAUUUGAAAAACCUAAGAAAAGGGUAAUAGAAAUAAAGAAACUUGAGAAACUCCAAGAUAGCAAGUACAUUUACAGAAAAUAGUUAACAACCUUGAAAUUGACAAUCUCACCAAACUUCAGGAACUCCGUAUGAACAUCCUCAUAAAAUUCUUCAUAAGAGCGUUCAACUUACUCAUCUAUAUACUGAAAAGAAAGAAGGCAAAUCAACCAAAAUUUUUUUUUGCGUAUGUUAACAUCAGAAACAUAAAAUCAAAAGAAAAGUAUGAAAGUAUAGUUUGUCAAGAAUGCUUUAUUUUGACCUUGGAAAAACAAAAUGAUAUUUAUCAGGAGGUGAAACAACUUAUAAAAAUACUCUAGCAUAUAACUUGAAACUUCACUAUGAUAGUUAUCGAUUUGAUUAGUUUCUCAAUUUGCAUUUUGUUCUUCCAGAUAAUGGUCAAAGGGUAGUGGAUUAACACGGAGACAACUAUUAACCAUGAUCUCCAUUGACAUGGUUAACACUAUUCAAAAUACACAACUAGGGGACAAGAUAUAUAUAACCUGCAAUUUAAUCCUCACCUAAUGGCUAAUAUUUUCUCAUCUGUAUAAUCGACUGAAAUGAAACCUAUCAUGUGUUCAACUAAUUUAAUUUGCAUCAAUCAAAGCAACUUCUUUUUCUCCAGCUUUCUGUCUCCCCUGACACAUUCUAAAGUAAAUGAAGAGCACCAACAACAUGUGUCAGUAAAUAGGUGUUGUGGCAAACAAUCCCAAACCUUCCAAAGUAAUGACCAUUGUUAGAUGACCAGCUCUGACAAUCGACGAUAUAUGGUAUAUUCCACAAGAAACUACUAGUUGUUAAGGAGAAAUUUUUAACUCAAACAGAGUUGUACAGUUAUGUGACUAGUGAGAGAGAGAAAGAAAGAAAGAACGAAAGAAAGAAAGAGAAAUAAGCCAAACAUAUAAACAAAAAAUUUCAUAAUAGCUAAAAUCAUUUGUAGCAUGUAGGAUACAUAAUAGCUCAUAGCCUUCACUCUUACCCAAUCAAGGCCAACACCAUGAAUCUCCAUCGUUAUGAAAACAUAAAUAUCUGAUUUCACAUAGUCAAAGAAAAGAAAUAAAAUGUGAACUCAAAAGAACUCACCAGUAAUACUAUGUAGAAUAAUUAUAAACACAUUACAGUAUAUCAACUGGAAAAAUAUUUUUCUCUAUAAAAAGCAUCUUCUAUAUAGCAAGGACAAUCCGUAUAUAAAAUGAUCCAACAAAUUGCACAAAAGUAUAAAAGUUUGGAAGAGUCCUUAUCAGGAUAUAAGAAUCAGCAAUUACAUACCUCGAGCCCCUCAUCUUGCUCCCAAGCAAGCCCGGGACCAUUAUGCAUAUUCUUGAUGAGCAGAGUGCACGAUUUAUCAGGGAAAAAAUAAACUCUGCUGCAUCUCUGACCAAACCGACAAGCUCCAGUCUUCAAAUGGAAAGGACAAUGAACUUUAUCCUGCCAUAUAUAAUAAAAACAUGAUUGACCAUGAUAAACACGCAAAUAUAAUAGAAAUGAAAUAUAAUACAGUAAUUGCAAAUUGAAAAUUUUAGAUAGACAUAUUGAAAGAAAAGGCAUGCCUGUUCAGUUCCAAAAUUGGGCACUUGUUGAGCAACAGUCUCCAACGCCUGUUGUGCAUUCUGGUAAUCAGCAAAGGCUUCUGAUUGUGGGGGCAUAGGAUUUGAUGUAGGCCUAUCAACAUCUUGUAAAGGCAGUAAUAACGUAGAAAGUUUAAUUUUUGCCAUAACCGAAGAGAAUGGGCAUCCUGAAGUAAAGUAGAAACAAGUCUAACAUAGCUGUCAAUAGAGUCAAAAUUACCUCUUUUUUACUUAGUGGGUUCGCAUCCUUCUUCGGAACUCUGACCUUUUUCAUCCUAAUAAUAAUCUCAUUUCCUUGCCAUAUAAUUUUUGCAGGCCCUUCUUCAACAUAUUCCCAAUCAUCAUCCUCAUCACAUUCAUUCUCCUUUUGCCUCCAAAUUCGCGAUACUCCGAGAACACGCCGUAGCUGGUGAGCAAGCGGAGGAUACGUUGCAAGUUCUCGGCGUCCCCACCACCGGAUGGGAGGAUACGUGUCAAGAUCUGGGAGGCAGAGAGAGGGGUGUUGGCCCUACCUUGCCAGAUGGCAUCCGGUACGUGGAGACGGAUGGCAGCGGUUAGAGACAUGGGAACACUUAUCAUGUUGGCCAGCUCUAUUAUGGCUGGUCUUACCUUCUUCUCGCCAUCUCUGCACUCGUUAUCUUCCAUUACUGCUUACUGACCUUUGAUUUCGCAGCACCAUGCCGGCCAAACAAAAAGAUAAAACCUAAGCACUUUUUGACAAUUUGGAUGUUAGGGAUUUUUUAGAUCUGGGGAGCUUAGGAGGGAACGAAUACUUUGUAAAGGGAGUUGAAAAAUUGUAUUUUGGAUAAGAUAAGAUUUGUCCAUUUGUUUUGUUUUUAUCCACUCAAAAAGCACAACUCUAAAAAAAUCAAAAAUAAUUCGUAGCCUAAUGGUCUUUUGAUUCAAUGUAGAAGCUCUAAGUUUAAGAGGUCUUGGGUUCGCAUUCAGACUAAAACAAAAUUAAAAUGAUAAUUUUUAAUUGCUGAUACCUAAGCGUCAUUGAUCGCUAUUACUAAAGCUAUUGAUACUUUAGUAUUAGUAAUUAGUGAUACAUAUUUGUUAAACGCGGAAAAUGAUCCAAAUAUAUGUAUAUACUGAUACUUUUAAAUAAAGUGUCAGAACACAAGUAUCAGUAAAGACCAUUUUUCUAGUAGUGUGAGUUUGCUGCAGCUAGCAGUGAAGAGGAAGAAAGAGGAGAUAGAGCAAAUAAUUGUUGUUUGUUGGGCAAUAUGGUAUUCAAGGAAUUGUUAUAUUGUGGAGGGGAAGAAGGAAGACCCCAUGCCUCAGUAGCAAGAGCAGAAGCUAUCGUGGCAUCCUACAGAAGAAUUAAAUCUGGAAACGGUCAAGAUCUGUCUCGGCAUCAGUACGACAACAAGAAAACUUGGGAACCCCCCUACCAGGAAGGUACAAACUGAAUGUAGAUGCUGCAAUUCAAAUGUCUAAGCAAAGAGCGGGUCUUGGAGCAGUAGUUAAAAAUUCAAGUGGGGAGAUCAUGGCUGCAGCUGUUAAGAGAGUAGCUUUCAAAGGAAACGUGGCAAACAUGGAGGCAGAAGCAGUGCUGCUCGGUAUUCAAGUAGCUUAGAAAGCAAAUUGUGCCCAAUUUAUUGUUGAAUCAGAUUAAAAGGAAGUUGUGGAGCUCACUUUAAACAAAAAGGAAAGUUUAACUGAAAUUUGUUGGAACAUUGAAGAAAUCCAGGCAGGGCUGAAAAACAAGGCUCGUCAGCUAUACUUUUUGUCCCAAGAAAGUGUAACGUAAUAGCCCAUAACUUAGCUAAUGUAGCUUUAGAGUUUGAGGUUGCUGUCACCUGGAUAGGUGACUUCCUUGUCCAGGUGUUGAUGUUGCUCUCUUCUUCUUAAUCUAUUGAAAGCUUUACUUUCUCAUCAAAAAAAAAAAAAAAUUACAUUUCAAGGGAAAAAUCAUCUUUUUACAUAAAUUCAGUAACAAAUACAAGGGCAAGGUGUAAACAUGUUAAUUUCAGAAACUCGGGUAUAAAGAUGACCUUUGUAUUAUAAAGAUGGACAAUAAGGGGAACUAGAAAUAUAAAGAUGGAAUCUGGACCCCUUCGUACGAAAAUUAUCUAGCUCUAAUAAUUAAACUAAAAUAACUCAUAAGUUGUUAUUUUUUCUUAUGGUUUAUAUUUGGUAUGUAACGGUUAAUUAAAAAAAUUAAAAUCUAAUUAAAAUUGGAAGACCUCUUUCUUGUGAUGGCAAGAUGGCGGUCACAUAAAGGCCUUUUUCUUGUAACUUGAGUGGAUAAGAAGUAUAUUAGAGACCCAAGUUUCAUCCCAGAAAAUAAAAAAUGAAACCAUUCACAACAGAUCUUCUUUAUGAAAACUAAAUUACUUGAUAUAUGGAACUUCUAAAUAAGGAAAAAAGCCAUUUAUACCCCAAGAUUUAGGAAAAUAGCCACAAAGACCUUCAAUUUUCAAUACCCUAACUCCUUUUAGACCAUAAUGUCCCUCAACUCUAUAAAUCCCAAAAAAUAACUCCAAAAUUUUAUAAUAAAUAGAAUAUGGCAUUAAAAUAAAUGUAAUAAUAUAUACAUUUCAAAAUAAUUUUAAUAUUUAAAAAUAUUUUAAUAUUUUUCAAUCCAUGAGACCUAUUUUAUUAAUUAAAGUAAUUUUUAAUAAUAGAUAGAAACAUAAUAAAAUAAAUAAAUUAAAACUAAAAUUAUUUUGAAUAUUAUGUAAAGUUUAAUUCUAAUAUUACUAAUAGGGAGAUUUUUUUAAUUGUAAAAUCUAUUUAACCCAAAGAUUUAUUUAAAAUCUUUAUAACAUUACAAAUAUAUUAUUAAAAUAAAUAUAAUAAUUUAAAAUUUUAAUAUUAUUUUAAAAAUAAAAAAUAAUUUAAUAUUAUUAGUCUACUAGACAGAUUAUAUUAUUUAUAUUAAAUUUUUGUUAAUUAAAAACCAUUAAAGUCAAUUUUUUAAUUACUAUAAUUAAAGAGUUUUAUGGAUAAAAAGAAUUUUGAUGUCCUUUUAUUUAAACUUGCCAAUUUUUAUGACCAUUUUCUCAAACUUUAGAGAUGUAGGUGUCUUUUUUUCUUUAAAUAAUCAUGCCACAGAGGAUUAGAAAUCGUUGCAUUCUAUGGUGCAUAUAGAUUUUUUAAGACCGUCAUUAUUUUCUUGUCAAAUUCAUCUGAAUUAUCCAAUUUUCUAUAAUUUCACAAAUCAACUGGUUUACUUUAAUUUGCACUUUUCUAAAUCGACUGUUUAGUCCCAAAAACACGGAAAAUUCACCCAUGAUUUCUUGUUUUUCAUAUUAGUUGGGAAAAAUCAACCGGUAAUCUACUUGGAUCAUUCAUUUGACAAUAUGACUGGUCCGUUUAUUGUGUUUUCUCCGCACAAUAGGACUGAAUGAUAAAGCAUCGUCCGAUUAUGUGGUGCAGAUUUUAAGGGCAUUUACAAAUCUUAUGUGUGAUUUACAAGUUUUAUGCAAUAUUUACAAGUUAAUGUUGAUUUACAAGUUUUAUGCAACAAUUACAAGUUUUUGUUUUGUUUAUAAAUUCUUCUUACAAUUUACAACUCAAAUAUUAAUUUACCUAUUUUCUAUCAAUUUACAAGUUUUAUGUAUGGUUUACAAAUUUUUUGUUUCAUUUCACACUUAAUGUCAAUUCACAAGUUUUUUGUCAUUUUUCUAACUUUUUGUUUUGUUUACACUUUUUUCUUUUAAUUUACAACGUCAUCAUUAAUUUACCUCUUUUUCCAUCAAUUUACUAGUUUUAUGUGUGGUUUACACAUUUUUUAUUUUAUUUCACACUUAAGUCAAUUUACAAAUUCUAUAUUAUUUUUCUAAGUUUUUGUUUUGUUUACAAGUUUUUCUUGUAAUUUCCAACUCCAACAUUAAUUUAUCAUUUUUUCCAUCAAUUUACUAGUUUUAUGCGUAGUUUACAAAUUUUUUGUUUUAUUUCCCACUUAAUGUCAAUUUAUAAGUUCCAUGUCAUUUUCUAAGUUUUUGUUUUGUUUACAAGUUCUUCUUACAAUUUACAACUCCAACAUUAAUUUACCCAUUUUUCCAUCAAUUUACUAGUUUUAUAUGUGGUUUACAAAUGUUUUAUUUCAUUUCACACUUAAUGUCAAUUUACAAGUUUUAUGUCAUUUUUUUAAGUUUUUAUUUUCUUUACAAGUUCUUCUUACAAUUUACAACUCAAACAUUAAUUGACCAUGUUUUCAAUUAAUUUACUAGUUAUAUGUGUGCUUUAAAAUAUUUUGUUACAUUUCACACUUAAUGUCAAUUUACAAGUUUUAUGUCGGUUUUCAAAAUUUUUGUUUUAUUUACACUUUUUUCUUGUAAUUUACAACUACAUCAUUAAUUUAUAUUUUUUCAUCAAUUUACUAGUUUUACGUGUGGUUUACAUUUCACAUUUAAUGUCAAUUUACAAGUUCUAUGAUAUUUUUCUAAAUUUUUGUCUUGUUUACAAGUUUUUUUUUCAAUUUACAACUCCAACAUUAAUUUACCAUUUUUCAUCAAUUUACUAGUUUUAUGUGUGGUUUACAAAUUUUUUGUUUCGUUUCACACUUAAUGUCAAUUUACAAGUUCUAUAUCAUUUUUCUAAGUUUUUGUUUUGUUUACAGGCUCUUCUUGCAAUUUACAAUUCCAAUAUUAAUUUACCCUUUUUUUUAUCAAUACACUAGUUUUAUAUUUGGUUUAUAAAUUUUUUGUUUUGUUUCAUACUUAAUGUCAAUUUGCAAGUUCUACGUUAUUUUUCUAAGUUUUUGUUUUGUUUACAAGUUUUUCUUGCAAUUAACAACUCCAACAUUAAUUUACCAAUUUUUUCAUCAAUUUACUAGUUUUAUGUGUGGUUUACAAAUUUUUUAUUUCGUUUCACACUUAAUAUCAAUAUACAAGUUAUAUGUCAUUUUUCUAAGUUUUUGUUUUCUUUACAAGCUCUUCUUGCAAUUUACAAGUCCAACAUUAAUUUACAUAUUUUUUCAUCAAUUUACUAGUUUUAUGUGUGGUUUACACAUUUUUUGUUUCACUUCAUACUGAAUGUCAAUUUACAAUUUCUAUGUCAUUUUUCUAAGUUUUUAUUUUGUUUACAAGUUUUUCUUACAAUUUACAAUUCCAACAUUAAUUUACCUCAUUUUCCAUCAAUUUACUAGUUUUAUGUGUGCUUUACACAUUUUUUUUGUUUUAUUUUAGAUUUAAUGUCAAUUUACAAGUUUUAUUUCUUUUUUCUAAGUUUUUGUUUUGUUUACAAUUUUUUUUUUGGUAAUUUACAACUCUAACAUUAAUUUACCUAUUUUUCCAUUAAUUUACUAGUCUUAUGUGUGGUUUACACAUUUCUUGUUUUAAUUUAUAGUUAAUGUAAUCUACAAAUUUUGUGUCAUUUUUCUAAAUUUUUGUUUUGUUUACAAGUUCUUCUUGCAAUUUACAACUCCAAUAUUAACUUACCAUUUUUUCUAUCAAUUUACUAGUUUUAUAUUUGGUUUACAAAUUUUUUGUUUCGUUUCACACUUAAUGUCAAUUUACAAGUUCUAUGUUAUUUUUCUAAUUUUUUUUGUUUACAAGUUAUUAUUGCAAUUUACAACUUCAAUAUUAAUUUACCCAUUUUUCUAUCAAUUUACUAGUUUUACGUGUGGUUUACAAAUUUUUUAUUUCAUUUCACACUUAAUAUCAAUUUAUAAGUUAUAUGUCAUUUUUCUAAGUUUUUGUUAUCUUGACAAGUUCUUCUGCAAUUUGCAACUCCAAUAUUAAUUUACCUCAUUUUUCAUCAAUUUACUAGUUUUAUGGGUGGGUCACAAAUUUUUUAUUUUGUUUCACACUUAAUGUCAAUUUACAAGUUCUAUGUCAUCUUAAAAAUUUUUGUUUUGUUUACAAGUUCUUCUUGUACUAUACAACUCCAACAUCAAUUUACCCAUUUUUCUAUUAAUUUACUAGUUUUAUGUGUGCUUUACACAUUUUUUGUUUCAUUUCACACUUAAUGUCAAUUUACAAGUUUUAUGUCAUUUUUAUAAGUUUUUGUUUUCUUUACAAGUUCUUCUUACAAUUUACAACUACAACAUUAAUUUACCCAUUUUUUCAUCAAUUUACUAGUUUUAUAUGUGAUUUAUAAAUUUUUUGUUUCAUUUCACACUUAAUGUCAAUGUACAAGUUCUUUGUCAUUUUUCUAAGUUUUUGUUUUGUUUACAAGUUAUUCUUGCAAUUUACAACUCCAAUAUUAAUUUACCCAUUUCUCUAUCAAUUUACAAGUUUUAUAUUUGGUUUACAAAUUUUUUGUUUCGUUUCACACUUAAUGUCAAUUUACAAGUUCUAUGUCAUUUUUGUAAGUUUUUGUUUUGUUUAUAAGUUCUUCUUGUAAUUUACAGCUCCAAUAUUAAUUUACCUAUUUUUCUAUUAAUUUACUAGUUUUAUGUGUGGUUUACAACGCCAACAUUAAUUUGCUCACUUUUCUAUCAAUUUAUUAGUUUUAUCCGUUGUUUACAAAAUUUUAGUUUCAUUCCACACUUUGUGGUAAUUUACAAGAUUUUAAUCAUUUUUCUUAGUUUUUGUUUUGUUUAUAAUGCCUAAGAGUAAUUUACUAUUCGAACAUUAAUUUACCCCGUUUUCCUUCAAGUUACUAGUCAUAUGUGUGGUUCAUAAAUUUUUUGUUUCGUCUUACUCUUAAUAUUAGUUUACUAAUUUUAUGUCAUUUUUAUAAAAAAAUUUUGUUUACAAUUUCUUAUUGUAAUUUACAACUCCCACAUUAAUUUACCCUUUUUUCUAUCAAUUUACUAAUCUUAUGUGUGAUUUACAAAAUUUCUGUUUCAUUUCAUACUCAAUGUCAAUUUAGAAGUUUUAUGUUAAUUUUCUAAGUUUUUGUUUUGUUUACAAUCUGAAAGAGUAAUUUAUCACUCUAACAUUAAUUUACCCAUUUUCUCUUCAAUUUACUAGUUAUAUGUGUGAUUUACAAUUUGUUAAUCACAUUUCACAUUUAAUGUCAAUUUACAAAUUUUAUGUUAUUUUUCAAAAUUUUAAUUUUUUAUUACAAUUUUGAUGAUCAAUUUACCUCUUACCCCCUUGUCCUUCAAUCUACUAGUUCUAUGUGUGAUUUAGAAAUAUUUUAUUUUAUUUCACAGUUAAUCAUUAUUUUCAUUUAUUAAUUUAGUUUGCUUGACCCAACCCAAAUCCAAUGUAAAAUUGGCUAGAGUAUCGAACUAUUGGCAUCCUUUUGAAAGUCUUUCAAAGCAUAUUUGUGUAUUUUAUAAUUUUCGAUGGUGUUAGAUUAAAAUGAUAGUAAUAAAUUUAUAGUAAGUAUGAAUUUGACUGAUAAAUUCAUGAUGGAUCUAUAGUAAGUACGUUCACAAGUUAAUUUUUAUUUUUAUUUAUCUAAAGUAGGUAGGUACCAUUAUUUAUCUAAUAUAGACAUGUAUUUGCCCUAUAUAUGAUAGAUUUGGAAAAAAAAAAUCAAAUCAUACAAACUCUUGUACAAAAUUGUUUUCUACAAACCUAUUCAACAUAAUUUAUUUGUUUAGAUUAAUUAGCUCUUGACUCACAUUAUUUAUUUUUAUUAUUUUUUUAAUUUCAUUCAACCAAUGAAUUUAUACCACACCAAUUUGUAUAAAAAUAAUAACUACUUAUUUAAUUAAAAAAUAAAACCUAAAAACAUGGCAUUACUACUUACUGAUAAACUAAUAAGUUGAAAUGUAGUUACACCGACACCCUAUUAUAUCAUCCAAUAAUAAUAUUAAAAAAAAGAACUAAAAUAAGUAAAAUGGUUAUUCGGUUUUUAUUAUCCGAUUGAAUGACUAUCAAAUUAUAGGCUGCAUCCAUCGUAUGGGAGGAGAAUGAGGGAUACAUCCUCGUACACUACUAAUAUUUUGUAUAUGCUCUUCCCGUCAGAAUACUUAAGGGAUCUUGUCCCCUCCCCAAAUAAUAUUCAAGGGAUCCCCAAAUACUCUCGAAUGACCGAUACGUUUUAGUCUCUAAAUUGAUUUAAUCACAUUAAAAUAAAUUUUUUUUAAUAAACAUAAAGUUUGACAAUAUAUCUUAGCAAAGUUUGGAUGUUAUAGUUUUAGCCUUUUUUUAAUUAGAUAAAUGUCUAAAACAAAAAUCUUGGGCCAAGUCCUUUUGAAUAAGACUUGAUCAAAUAGUAAUUCAGGACACAACUAGUUAACUAAGCCCGAAAGUUUCAUAGUAUAUUUGUAUAAAUAUUUUGAUAUUUGUUAUUUAUACUGAUAUUUAAUAUUUAAUUAUUUAAAAUUUAUUGGUUAAAUAAUUAAUAAUUCUAAAAAAUAAAAAUAAAUUUAAAAAUUAAAAUGGGUAAGUGGGGAAUGAGGGAGGGGAUGAAGAUUCCAGCUCAUACCUAUCCCUUCCCCUAAAAAUAAAUUGGGCAAAAAAUCGACCAUGUCCUUUUCCUUGAGAAAUUAGGUAUAAAAUCAUAAAUUUAAAAUUGAACUAAAAAUCAUAAAUCUGAACCCCAAAAAAUCAUAACCAUAUGUGGUUCUAUAUAUUUUACACCCACACACACACAAAAGUCCCCAUUAAGUCAAAAUAUAACGAUCAAUCCCAUUUAUUUUGAACAUACUUAUCAAGGCCCAAAAUUAUGAAAUCAACCUAUUCCUUAUGUCCGGUUUUGCCUGUUAAGUAUAAUUGUAAGUGUUAAAAUAGUAAGAGCAAUUUUUUUUUUCACGUGCUCAUAUGUCUAGGAGUUAGAUUUCAGAUUAUUCUAAUCUGCUAUGAACUUUCUGGCCUGGGAUUGAUACAAACUGGGUUAAUAUUUCAAAUUUGAUUUAUAUUUUUUGUUUUAUUUCAAUUAUUAGCUUCUUUCUUUCUUUUUUUUUCCCCCACUAACUAGCUUUUUACCCAAAACAAAAUUUAGUUAAAUCACGAAUAGAAAGAAAACGAUUUUCUUUUUUCAAAUAACUAGAUUACUAAGGGCUUGUUCGAUAUUGUUCUUUAAUUGAUAUUUUCUAAACAUAAAAAUGAGAAUGAAAAUUAUGUUUUGCAAUUGCUGUAUUUUGAAUUUAAGUAUAAGUUUGGUAUUAUUUUCUAUAACCUAUAUUUUAAAACUGAAAAAAAAUAAUAUGUAUUCGGUAGACAUGAUUGAAAAUAAUUGAAACAGUGAAUAUGUAGUCGGUAGAACUAUCCUAUAAAAGCAAAAUUUUAGUAAAUAUAUUAUCUUAACAUUUAAAUAAAAUUAAUUUUUUUCCAUGUUAUAUGAUAAAAAAUUGUAAAAUUUUGAUCAUUCAAAAUUCUUUUUAACUAGUCAAACGAAGAAUCAUAAUGAACACAAGCAGAAUUUUAUACAAGAUUAAGUUAGAUUAUAAGAUUCAAUAUAGAUUUUAUAAAAGUAAGGGCAAAACAAAGUUAAGGAGAGCAUUGUUAGUCAUCACCGAGUUACUGAAUCCAAGAAAAAUUGAGAGCAACCAAAAGAAAAUUCGAGUUACUCAAUGGGUCACAUUGUAUAAAUGUUCAUAUUAAUCUUUCAUGAGCAGUCAUCCAUUCUUUUGCUUCUUGAUAUAUCACAUGGUCUAACUUGGAUACUUUUUGUUACUUUCAUCUCUGUACAAAUGCUCAAACAUCUGUUUAAUAAUCUCAUUAAUUUGAACAAAUAAAACUAGCUAGCUCCCUAAACACCCAUUGAGUUUGCAGUAUUUUCAUGUAGCAAUAGAACCAAAUUUUAUAGUAAUUUCUUAUUUUUUAAAAGUAAUAGUAAUUUCUUAUUUUUUAAAGCAAUAUCAUACAUGUUUAAUUACAUUGAUCUGAACUAAUCAAACGUAAGGUGAUUUGAGAAGAUAAAGGAAAAAAAAAGGAGUUUACGGAAGAAGAAGGAAAGAAGAGGAAGAAGAAAUGGCCAAAGAAGAUGAUGAAAAGAAGAAAGGACGAAGAAGAUGCAGUAUAAAAGAAUUGAAAGAAAGAUUUUUAUAUUGUUUAGUUUUUAUGUCUCGAAGUUUGUUCAGGGAAUUGUUUUGUAGGAUGAAGAAAACGUGUAUAAGAAAACGUGGAAAUCCUUUUUUUUCUUUAAAUUUAUACCCGUAAAAGUUUUAUUUUUUAAAACAGUAUUUAAGCGGCUUGUAACUGGUUAAAUAUAAUUUAAUUAAAUUUUUUAUUAUAUUAUAGUAAUUAUGAAUUAUUGAUCUAAUUUAAUGGCUCAAAAUAAUUACGGUAUUGAUGCCAUGAUUUUAAUUACGGUAUCAUAUAAUUUUCCUUAUUUAUGUUAUAAUUUAACUUUUUUUAUAAUAUACUAAUAAAUUUUAAAAAAUAGUGCACCAAUAUUAUUUUAGUUCUUUACUAAUAAUAGUAAUUAGUGUUUUAACGAAUAUAAAAUUACUAUAAUUAUAUAUUAUCUAUAAUUUAUGUGGAUAAAUCAUCCAACAAUAUAAUUAACUAAUGCUUUAAAUGAUAUAAACUCUAUAUUAUAAAUUAUACCCUUUUAAAACUAUUUUAGUUGUUUAUGUUGUUGGUUAAAAUUAAUAAUAAUAAUAAUAAUUGUUACUUAAAUAAAAGCACCAGGUCGGCCAUGCUACUAUUUCCACCCUGGCAUGGAUCACUUCAGCCAAAUGGUACGAGCAGAACACGGGGACAAGUAUGAAUCGACCAGAGGCGAAUAUACCGACCAGAGGUAUUGCGGGAGACGCGAGAUCCCACGUUUACCCAUAAUGUAGCAGUUAGAGUCCCAUGAGGGGCUGCCACCACCCGAAAAAGGUGGGAUGCAGGGCAAACGGGAACGUGGGGACAGCGGCUAUAAAAGAAGAAGAAAUCGAUGAAGAAAAGGAUAGAAAAACUGAGAGAGGGGAAAACUCUGCCAAAUUAUAUCCAGAUAUUUUUCAUAUACCAAGAGUGAGCUAAUUGUAAGCAAUUAUUUGAACCUUAAUUACACCGUUUUCCCGUAAACACCUUGUGCUAACUUAGGCAUCGGAGGGUUUACGCCGGCAAAACCACCGGCGUCUCUGAUCCAUUUCUGUGAACGCAUGCUUAGUGAGAAAAAGAGGGACAACUCCAAUUUCACUAGCAGGAGCAAUCGUCGAAGCAAGAAGGAGUUGAUAUCUUCAUUAUUGAUAACGUGAACGUUGGUGUAAGUAUCUGGUCGGGCAAAGGGCGAGCAGAUUUCAGCAUCAACAAUAAUAAUAAUAAAAGACCAUUUAAAAUAUUUAGAUAUUGAAAAAGAUUUCAUUAAAUUAUUUUUUUAUUUUUUUAUUAUCACCAAAUUUUCAGACAAAUAACCAAAUAUAUUUGUAUUAUUUUCAUUUUUAUAUACUAUUUUAAAACAAUCAAUCAAAUACAUUUUCAAAUUCACUAAAAACUAAUCAUUCUUAUUUUAUAAAAUAAAUUCAAAAAUAUCAUUUGAAAAAAAAUACUAAACGCACCCUAAUAGUUUGAAUAUGGCGGAACACCAUUUUUCUAGCUCUAAAUUUUCUGUGGACUGCAAUUCAGGUUGCAUAUUGAAGCACGUGGGGCCUUGUAAAUACUGACAAUAAGACAAUGUGUUAUCAAUUUCUAUGAGUUUGCUGGUACCGCUCGAAAUUAUAUUUCAUGCUGAUACAUUGGGAUGCAAUGCUAAUUACGGUCGACAGAUGGCCGACAAGUAUUCAUUUCUUUUUCUUUUUUUUUUUGUUAUUCACAAAACAACCGCUCAAGUCAAAUCAAAAGUGGAAAAAGAUUUCCACGUCUAAAGCAAAAGCCAGAUAGAUAAUUACAUACGACAAAAAUCAUGUUGUAAUAUGUAUAUAUGUAUAGGUUUUGGCAAGAUGACAAUUCGUACGGUGAUAAACAUGCUUGAUCUUAUCUGAUCGAUAAUUGCGAUUGUGUUUUCGCCGCGUAAUAUGACUUAAUGACAAGGCAACUUCCGAUUUGCUAGAGAUUUGACGGGCUAUGGUCAUCAUGCGCCACUUAUCACAAUUACGAGAAUUGAUUUGGAUGAGAGCAACUUUAUAGAAUUAUUAGUUUUUGGGGGCGACUUUAUAGAAUUAUUAAACAACCAGAAUAAUACUUUGAAAAAGUAAGAUAAAAGUCAAGUAAUUAAUCGGAUCAAUCUUUUGGGGGCGGAAAAAAUAAAGUAAAUGUUUGAUGUGACUGAAAAGAAUAAUGAUAUGUGACCCCUAAAUAUAUUUCAACCGCUCACCAAUUAAUUAUCUCUACUAAUUUCCAAAAGUACCCUUGUUCAUAUAAGUUUAAUUCUGCAGCUCCAAACUUAAUUUCAAGUUUAGUGUUGGCCAAAAAUGGUCUCGGAACUGAGAAUAUGACUUUUCAUAAUAUAAUGUAGUGAAAUAAUCAAUGCAAAUUGCAAACAAAACGCAGGGGAAAUAAAACCGCCGAAAAUAUUAGAAACCUUGGAGAAAGAUUGCUGAGACGUUGGAUUGUUAGUAUCGGUAUUGUCUUGGCAAGCAAACGCGCCAAUUUUCAAUCUUUACUUUAGAAAAUCAAUUGCUGUCGUGGGCGUUUGGCAGGGGAGGAAAUGAAGGAAAGUGGUGGAGAAUGAGAGAAGGGAGAGAGGAAAAAAUGGGCACUUUUUGAAAAUAAACAUUAUUUUACUAAGUAUAUUUUAAUAAUUAUUUUAGAUAUUUUAAGUUAAAAUGAGAAAAAUAGGGGUUAGUGAGAUAAGUUGUGGAGGUCAAAUAUCACUAUUCUCUUAAAAAAGAGUGAAGCUGUUGGCAGUACUUUGUAGUCUUUAUAAAAUCCCACCUCAAAAAAAAUUAUAGUGAAGGACAAAUAAGAAUAAAGCAUACAUAAGUCCCACCCCCCCCAACAAAAAAAAACAUAAUCAAUCCUUUUCUUUUUUUUAAUUUUCUACUUGUUUCUUCCUAUUUAGCUAAGAUAAAUUGUAAAAAUUUAGAACAAUCCAUUACUCUUUUCAUAUUUCUUAUUUAUUUAAUAUAUUUUAUGCUUAAAAUUGCUUUUCAAAUUAAAAUUUAGAAUAUGUGUAAUUUAAGCCAAUGAUAAACAUUGAAAAAUUUUAUCACCCAAAAAAUUUUUAAUUUGUGUGUCCGGUAACAAUAAGAUUACAAAAUAAAAGGAAAAUAGCAUAAUAAGACCUUAAGUUUUAACAAAAUAAAAAAUUAGAAGUGUAUUAAAAAAGAAGAAAUUUUUUAAAAUAAAAUAAAUAUAACUGAAAAAAAAUGGGGGUUUUAUGAGGAUAUUAGGGGGUGCCAAUAGUUCAACUUUCUUUAGAAAUCCAAAUUAUGCCCAAUGCCUAGGGCCUUGUACAGCCCGAAGGUAUGUAUUUUACUCAAUGGGCAAGCUAGUAUUUGGGGGUAUUUAUCUUCUAUCUAAUAAAAGUUCAAACAAACUUUGAAAAAUAAAUGGUUUCAAUACUACAUUACAAACUGUUCAAAGUCAUAUAUAUUAUCCGAUUCAAAUAAAANNNNNNNNNNNNNNNNNNNNNNNNNNNNNNNNNNNNNNNNNNNNNNNNNNNNNNNNNNNNNNNNNNNNNNNNNNNNNNNNNNNNNNNNNNNNNNNNNNNNNNNNNNNNNNNNNNNNNNNNNNNNNNNNNNNNNNNNNNNNNNNNNNNNNNNNNNNNNNNNNNNNNNNNNNNNNNNNNNNNNNNNNNNNNNNNNNNNNNNNNNNNNNNNNNNNNNNNNNNNNNNNNNNNNNNNNNNNNNNNNNNNNNNNNNNNNNNNNNNNNNNNNNNNNNNNNNNNNNNNNNNNNNNNNNNNNNNNNNNNNNNNNNNNNNNNNNNNNNNNNNNNNNNNNNNNNNNNNNNNNNNNNNNNNNNNNNNNNNNNNNNNNNNNNNNNNNNNNNNNNNNNNNNNNNNNNNNNNNNNNNNNNNNNNNNNNNNNNNNNNNNNNNNNNNNNNNNNNNNNNNNNNNNNNNNNNNNNNNNNNNNNNNNNNNNNNNNNNNNNNNNNNNNNNNNNNNNNNNNNNNNNNNNNNNNNNNNNNNNNNNNNNNNNNNNNNNNNNNNNNNNNNNNNNNNNNNNNNNNNNNNNNNNNNNNNNNNNNNNNNNNNNNNNNNNNNNNNNNNNNNNNNNNNNNNNNNNNNNNNNNNNNNNNNNNNNNNNNNNNNNNNNNNNNNNNNNNNNNNNNNNNNNNNNNNNNNNNNNNNNNNNNNNNNNNNNNNNNNNNNNNNNNNNNNNNNNNNNNNNNNNNNNNNNNNNNNNNNNNNNNNNNNNNNNNNNNNNNNNNNNNNNNNNNNNNNNNNNNNNNNNNNNNNNNNNNNNNNNNNNNNNNNNNNNNNNNNNNNNNNNNNNNNNNNNNNNNNNNNNNNNNNNNNNNNNNNNNNNNNNNNNNNNNNNNNNNNNNNNNNNNNNNNNNNNNNNNNNNNNNNNNNNNNNNNNNNNNNNNNNNNNNNNNNNNNNNNNNNNNNNNNNNNNNNNNNNNNNNNNNNNNNNNNNNNNNNNNNNNNNNNNNNNNNNNNNNNNNNNNNNNNNNNNNNNNNNNNNNNNNNNNNNNNNUGCAGAUUUUAUUCUAAAUUAAAAUAAAUUAUUAAUGAAACUAAUAUACUAAUUAAAAUAAAAACGCAAUAAAUAAAAUGCAACAAAGUAAAUUAUCACGUCAAACUCAAGGAUAAAACCAAUAAGAAUAUAGAGUAGUUGAGUGAAUAAACUCUCCUAAUGGUCUUGACUAUUUUCUAAUGGUUGGCUCGGUUGCUGUAGGAUCUGCUACAGCACUGGGCAGAAUCCUUAUGCAUCCUCAGCCGUUGCAUAUUGGAUAUCUUAUAUCUAUAUGUAACUUAAUAGUGAUAAGUUCUUAUGCCAACAUAAGAUAUAACAUUACACAUUUAGGUUCUAUUUACCCUACAAGGUGAAUCCCUGUGUCUAGUUCAUCACUAAUCGUAAAUCAAGCAUGGUCCUUUUGGGACUCAAGUAAAACUCAAUCUAGGAAACCCAAUUUAAGAUCAAGUAUUGCUUUGAUAUAUUCCACUAAGAUAGGCUCUUUUGUGACUCUUCCUUAGCUAGUAUCAUUAAAUAGGUGAUCAGCCGAAAUAAUGAAUAAAAAUAAAUUCGAUCAAAACAAAAUGCUACAGCAAACAUGCAGCAACUCAUAUUUUCAGUCAAUAAACCAUCAAUAUUAUUUAUUACUCAACUAAAAAUAAAUUUAUUUCAUGGUUUGCAAAAGAAAAAUAAAGAACAAAGUUUUAGCCAUGAAACACAUUCUCAUGAAUAAAUAGAAAACAAGAAAACAAGAAAAGAACAAGAGGCCUGGAGUUUCUUGAUUGAUUUCUGCAAAUUNNNNNNNNNNNNNNNNNNNNNNNNNNNNNNNNNNNNNNNNNNNNNNNNNNNNNNNNNNNNNNNNNNNNNNNNNNNNNNNNNNNNNNNNNNNNNNNNNNNNNNNNNNNNNNNNNNNGCUGAAAAUUAGGGUAAACGGAAGCCUAGGGCGCCAAUAAGUCAGAUUAGAAAACUGUAAAUCGCAAUUCUGUAUACCGCUGCACUCCGGCCUCCAGCUUGCUCAUGUCCAGCUCGGGAUAUUCUUCCUUAAGCACAGACAUGAUGCACUUAUAGGAGAAAGCAACCCCAGAAUCAUACUCGGCAUCCAGCCGAUCGUCCACAUCAGUGGAUUUGCCUUUCUCCUCAGCCAGCUGCUCACCCAAGGAUUUGAUUUUCCCCUCAAGGGCGGUUCUCAGAGUAUCCCUUUCACUUUGAGUAGCCUGAAGAUCAGAUCUCAGGUCACCCAACUCACCCUCAAGUUUGGAGGAAGUGGACUCAGCAACCGCAACUUUCUCCUCUAGCUCCGUAAUCUGCUUGUUCAGCUCGGCCAGCUUCUCCUUGGAGCGAUCAGCAGAUUCAGCUUUCUUCUUUAAUUCCUGAUUGUCAGCUUGAAGCUUCCUCUCAUGGCGCGCGGACCCGAUCUUGUAGCACGAAACCAUGGUGGCCAGCCUGAAGGAUACUCUUUGAACAGAAGCAGCUAACUCGGAGAGGUUCAUACUCUCGAUGUCUUUCACCAUCUUGGGCCCCACCGAUUUUUUGUAAUCCUUCUGAUAUGGGCUCAGGUAGUCACCUUGAUCCCGAGAUGGUAGAGAAGAAGAUCGGUCCCCAGACUGGAAACUGACCUCAGGACUCUUGUCAGAAGUUUUCUCCCCACCACUCUUACGGGGUGGGGGAGGGGGCAGAGCAGGAACAGGAGCCUUGGAAGGGCCGACGCUGGUUUUCUUUGGAGGAGGAGGAGGGUUGCUGGAGCUGCUUGGAGCCCGACCAUGCUUCCUGCUCAUCGUGCUGAGGAUCUUGUUAUCCAUUCCAGCAGCAAUAUCUACCAAGCUCGAACAACCAAGUUUGUUGGCGACAAGAGGUCUUGGCAAGUAGACGCGUUCACCAGAGCAGUUUCCACCUGAAGCAAAGGUCGGUCUUCAAGAUCCUUAAUAAAACCCCACGAUUCUAAAAAAAUAAACAAGGUUAAAGAACCCGAUAAGUGGCAAUUGGAGAAAAAACACAGGUAAAAAAUGAACGACCUAGGGUGACAAAAUGCGUUAGAAGGUAAAUAUCACCACCCAACGAAUGGGCCGUUGGACACCAAUUUCCUCCAGCAAAUAAGAAUUUGUUCUUCUAAUUUUUGCACGAGGAGGGGAAGCCGGUGAUUGGCUUCCUCUUCGCAGAGCUCGACAUAAAAUAAUACCAGCCUGCUUCCUUUAGGCUACUCCUCAGCUGGUAUAAAUGCUUUACUUUAACAUGGGAGGGCUCCUCUGAUCCACACCUCUCCCAUAAUAUGAACAUAGCCGAGAGAACCCUCCACCCAUUUGGAUGUAAUUGACCUGGGGCCAUAUGCAUAUCCCCCAGUAUCUUGGCAAAAUAACACUGAAGGGGCAGCCGAGCUCCUAGUCUGAAACUCUCUAAGUGCAUUGUCACAUACCCCCGCGGAGGCCGACUAGGAACAUCACCCUUCCUAGGGACUACAAGGAUAACCUCCUCAGGAAUGUCAUAGAGAUUCCUAAGCUUGAACAUAUCAGUUUGGGUGGUGGCACAGGCUAUGUAAUCGAUUGGAUAAGAAUCUGCCUCCACCCUAUGGCCAAGGUGUCUUUUCUGAGGAAGUCGGGUCGGCUCGGAACUGCUUCCCUCACCAUCACCCACUUCUUCAGGGACCCCUACCCCACCAGAAUUGUGGUUCUCACCAGAGCCCGACGCAGGUCCACCUCCAUUCCCUACAAGCUCUAGUUCGGGGGAGGGAGAAACAGCCAAAGGGUGUGAGUACUCAAGGGUAUCCCUGCCAUGGGAAGGGCCUACACUACCCGAGGGACGUAAGAAAUCGGUGGGUAUCGACAAGUUAAGGUCUGAAUCCCCUGCUUCUUCGUCACUCUCAUCGACAAUUAACCUCAUUUUCUGAUUUGACAUGUCGGAAUCCCAAAAGAAUACAAAGAAAACUCGAGUAUAGGGACACAAAAAGGGCAACACAAAACCCAAUCAACAACAACCAGAGGAGAAGUUAAAAGCAAUACCUGGAUUGAACUGGCACUGAUAGCGCGGCCGUGACAGAAGAAAAACCCAGCGAGUGGAUACUCCGGAUGCGAGAAGUGUGAGCAAAGUUCAAGAAGGGGGUUGGUUGGCGACGGAGAGACGAAUGGCAAAACGAUGAUGAUUUAAGUCUAGGGAUUUGAAACGAAAAGGGGGAAAUGAAAACAUUUAAGUGAUGAGGAUGCCAGCUCAUUCACCGAAUAUAGAGGACAGAUAACCCGUCGUUUCAAAUUUCAAAUACGAAGAGUCUGGAGAUGCCACGUCACUAACCGUUACCAAAGACCAGGUUAGAUGCAAGCCCAGAUAUGCAAUGGACAUGAUUAUCUAGGCCCAUGCCCAGGUCGGAUUCUCCCCAGAAGAAAAAAUGGUACCUCAGGUCUGUCCUGGUAAACAGAAGACCAGAUGAGAAGCCCCCGGGUUGGCAAGAGUUGACUAUCAGUUUCUACUCUUAACUCAUUUCACUCGCAAGACCAGAAACUGGGGAACUGGUGUUACGUAAAUAAAAGCACCAUGUCGACCAUGCUACUAUUUCCACCCCGGCAUGGAUCAAUUCAGCCAAAUGGUACGAGCAGAACACGGGGACAAGUAUGAACCGACCAGAGGUGAAUAUACCGACCAGAGGUAUAUACCAAGCCAAUACCCGUCCCCCAAAAAAGUGGGAACACGAUCCCACAGAAUCACGGUAGUUACGCUUUUCCCAGAACCAUUGCGGGAGACGCGAGAUCCCACGUUUACCCAUAAUGUAGCAGUUAGAGUCCCAUGAGGGGCUGCCACCACCCGAAAAAGGUGGGAUGCAGGGCAAACGNNNNNNNNNNNNNNNNNNNNNNNNNNNNNNNNNNNNNNNNNNNNNNNNNNNNNNNNNNNNNNNNNNNNNNNNNNNNNNNNNNNNNNNNNNNNNNNNNNNNNNNNNNNNNNNNNNNNNNNNNNNNNNNNNNNNNNNNNNNNNNNNNNNNNNNNNNNNNNNNNNNNNNNNNNNNNNNNNNNNNNNNNNNNNNNNNNNNNNNNNNNNNNNNNNNNNNNNNNNNNNNNNNNNNNNNNNNNNNNNNNNNNNNNNNNNNNNNNNNNNNNNNNNNNNNNNNNNNNNNNNNNNNNNNNNNNNNNNNNNNNNNNNNNNNNNNNNNNNNNNNNNNNNNNNNNNNNNNNNNNNNNNNNNNNNNNNNNNNNNNNNNNNNNNNNNNNNNNNNNNNNNNNNNNNNNNNNNNNNNNNNNNNNNNNNNNNNNNNNNNNNNNNNNNNNNNNNNNNNNNNNNNNNNNNNNNNNNNNNNNNNNNNNNNNNNNNNNNNNNNNNNNNNNNNNNNNNNNNNNNNNNNNNNNNNNNNNNNNNNNNNNNNNNNNNNNNNNNNNNNNNNNNNNNNNNNNNNNNNNNNNNNNNNNNNNNNNNNNNNNNNNNNNNNNNNNNNNNNNNNNNNNNNNNNNNNNNNNNNNNNNNNNNNNNNNNNNNNNNNNNNNNNNNNNNNNNNNNNNNNNNNNNNNNNNNNNNNNNNNNNNNNNNNNNNNNNNNNNNNNNNNNNNNNNNNNNNNNNNNNNNNNNNNNNNNNNNNNNNNNNNNNNNNNNNNNNNNNNNNNNNNNNNNNNNNNNNNNNNNNNNNNNNNNNNNNNNNNNNNNNNNNNNNNNNNNNNNNNNNNNNNNNNNNNNNNNNNNNNNNNNNNNNNNNNNNNNNNNNNNNNNNNNNNNNNNNNNNNNNNNNNNNNNNNNNNNNNNNNNNNNNNNNNNNNNNNNNNNNNNNNNNNNNNNNNNNNNNNNNNNNNNNNNNNNNNNNNNNNNNNNNNNNNNNNNNNNNNNNNNNNNNNNNNNNNNNNNNNNNNNNNNNNNNNNNNNNNNNNNNNNNNNNNNNNNNNNNNNNNNNNNNNNNNNNNNNNNNNNNNNNNNNNNNNNNNNNNNNNNNNNNNNNNNNNNNNNNNNNNNNNNNNNNNNNNNNNNNNNNNNNNNNNNNNNNNNNNNNNNNNNNNNNNNNNNNNNNNNNNNNNNNNNNNNNNNNNNNNNNNNNNNNNNNNNNNNNNNNNNNNNNNNNNNNNNNNNNNNNNNNNNNNNNNNNNNNNNNNNNNNNNNNNNNNNNNNNNNNNNNNNNNNNNNNNNNNNNNNNNNNNNNNNNNNNNNNNNNNNNNNNNNNNNNNNNNNNNNNNNNNNNNNNNNNNNNNNNNNNNNNNNNNNNNNNNNNNNNNNNNNNNNNNNNNNNNNNNNNNNNNNNNNNNNNNNNNNNNNNNNNNNNNNNNNNNNNNNNNNNNNNNNNNNNNNNNNNNNNNNNNNNNNNNNNNNNNNNNNNNNNNNNNNNNNNNNNNNNNNNNNNNNNNNNNNNNNNNNNNNNNNNNNNNNNNNNNNNNNNNNNNNNNNNNNNNNNNNNNNNNNNNNNNNNNNNNNNNNNNNNNNNNNNNNNNNNNNNNNNNNNNNNNNNNNNNNNNNNNNNNNNNNNNNNNNNNNNNNNNNNNNNNNNNNNNNNNNNNNNNNNNNNNNNNNNNNNNNNNNNNNNNNNNNNNNNNNNNNNNNNNNNNNNNNNNNNNNNNNNNNNNNNNNNNNNNNNNNNNNNNNNNNNNNNNNNNNNNNNNNNNNNNNNNNNNNNNNNNNNNNNNNNNNNNNNNNNNNNNNNNNNNNNNNNNNNNNNNNNNNNNNNNNNNNNNNNNNNNNNNNNNNNNNNNNNNNNNNNNNNNNNNNNNNNNNNNNNNNNNNNNNNNNNNNNNNNNNNNNNNNNNNNNNNNNNNNNNNNNNNNNNNNNNNNNNNNNNNNNNNNNNNNNNNNNNNNNNNNNNNNNNNNNNNNNNNNNNNNNNNNNNNNNNNNNNNNNNNNNNNNNNNNNNNNNNNNNNNNNNNNNNNNNNNNNNNNNNNNNNNNNNNNNNNNNNNNNNNNNNNNNNNNNNNNNNNNNNNNNNNNNNNNNNNNNNNNNNNNNNNNNNNNNNNNNNNNNNNNNNNNNNNNNNNNNNNNNNNNNNNNNNNNNNNNNNNNNNNNNNNNNNNNNNNNNNNNNNNNNNNNNNNNNNNNNNNNNNNNNNNNNNNNNNNNNNNNNNNNNNNNNNNNNNNNNNNNNNNNNNNNNNNNNNNNNNNNNNNNNNNNNNNNNNNNNNNNNNNNNNNNNNNNNNNAAAUAGCCAAUAAUUUUGAUUUUUUUUUUAGUUAUUUCCGUCUACAAAUUAUUGUUAAGGGUAAUAUUGUCUUUGCACAGUCAACUAACGGUCAAUGUUAAAAUUAACUGACGGUAGGGGGUUUUCUUACAAAUAAAUCAAUUCUCGCCAUCUACUUGCAACAAGCCCAAACUUUAUGGGAGGUUUUUAAAAAUUAUCCAUGUUAAAAAGCUAAAACUAAAUGUUUCUUUAACUUUUUGGAAAUUUGAGCCAAUUACUUAGGGUGCAUUCACGGCAGCGGCACAAUACUCGACCACUUAUAUUUUCACUUAAAUCCAAACGCACCAUUAGUUGGCCCUUGUGGUUAAAAUCAUCUUUAUUACAUAUCUAUUUCAUUUAAAAGCUACUUAGUAACUCUUUACUUUACUUGCUGCAUGUUGGAUUUGAUUUAAAUGUUAAGUUACAUAUCUUAGUUUAAAAUUAUUUUUUAGCCUUGAGAAGUUGGAUCCAACAAUUAUGUUUUGAGUAAUUUUUAAAUUUAGAGUUUUAUCUGAAUUAUUGACCAAUGCGCUAGUGCCUAAAUAAAAAUUUACCCGAAAGAUAAAAAUAAAUUACAAAUAUCAAUUUCUUUUUUAUAAAGUAAAAUUGAAAUAUACAUCUUGUUAAAGGAAAGAAAGCUCUGUGAAUUUAGAUAGAUUUCUUUAGCUUAUCUUUUAAACAUGUGUAUUUAUAUCAUUACAUAGUUAAGAUUCUUAUUACCAAGAAAAUCACAUCAACACUUGAUCAAAAUUUUAUUUAUCAAAUACUAAGAAGAUAUUAGAUAUCUACUUUUAUAACAAGUGAAAUCUACCUUCAAUUUAUGCUUUACAAAGGGUUAAAGGAAAAUUACCAUUUUCCCUCCUCCAGCAGAUGGUAAAGGGAAAAAGACAAUUAUACCACUAAAGUUUGGAAAAAUAGUUAUCAACACUCCAAGUUUUCAAAAAGGAAUACCAAGAUCCCAUUUUAACCAUAAUGCCCUUUAUCUCCAUUAUCUUCAAAAAAUUAACUCUAAUGUUUUAUAAUAAAUAGGAAUAUAACAUUAAAAUAAAUGUAAUAAUAUGUACAUUUUAAAAAAAUUAAUGUCUAAAAAUAUUUAAUAUUUUACAAUCUACUAGAUAUAUUUUGUUAUGUUAAUGUAAAUUUUAUAAUAAAUAGAAUCAUAAUAUUAAAAUAAAUGUAUUAAAAUUUAAAUUAUCUUGAAUAUUAUGUAAAAUGAUAAUUUCAAUGUUAUUAGUAUGUGAGUUUUUUUUACUUGUAAAAUGUAUUUAAUACAAAUAUUUAUUUAAAAUCUAUAACAAAUAAAAAUAUAUUAUUAAAAUAAAUAUAAUAAUUUACAUAUUAAAAUUUAUUAAAAUAUUCUAAUAUUGUUAGUCUUUUGCAUAGAUUACACUAUUUAUAUAAUAUUAGCAUUUAUAAAAAAAAAUUUAAAGUCAUUUUUUUGGGAUAAUAGAGGUAAAGGACAUAAUGAUCAAAAGAAGCUCUUGGUGUCCUUUUUUAGAAACUUGGGGGUGUUGAUGAAGGGUGCAUAUAUCAUUUCUGUGGUAAAAAGACAAAAAUAGUACAAUACUUUGAAAUCUACCAUUUUUAUAAACUAAGGUGGCGUUUAUUUUUUAACUUAAUGACUUAAAGUGACUUAACUUAAUUAAUUAAGUUAAUUAGAGGUGUUUAAUUAAGUUAAUUAGAGGUGUUUGAUUUUAUAACUUAAUGAGACUUUUUAGAUAAUUUUAACUUAAUAAUUACUUAAUGGAGAAACCUUAAUUAAAUCAAUUACUUGCUAAUGUCAAAAAUAUCUCUGCUUUAUAAUUUAUUUUUCAUGUCUAUUCCAAAACUUACCCAUAGACAAUUACCCAACAUAAUAAUCUCAUCAUUAGUUUACUUAUAAAUGUUAAAAUAUUGUGGUAUUUAAUAUAUUAUUUAUUUGACAUUCAAAUUUAAUAAGGAUACAAAUGUAAAAGUACAUAUUUUCAGUUUUUUAAGUUGAAAAAAAAAACAACUUAAUACUUAUUUUCUGAGAUUCAGACGAAAAAAUAAACAUAUUAUUUAGAUUCAGAUAUUCAAAUCUAUUCAGAAUUCAGACUAAUUCAGAUCUAUUCAGAUUUCAGAUAAAAAAACAAACGCCACUUAAAUUUGUAAAAUACUAUUUUUACACUUUGAUGUUAACAAGGAAUCCGUUAGUGAAUUUGUUUGAAAAGAUGUUUUUAUCCUUGAAAUGUAAUUUAAUAUUUUGAAGUAGAAUAUUUUUAGGAAAUGAAGUCAAAUUCGGAUGUAUAACAAAUAUAUAUAUAAAGCUCUUAAUGAGAGGAACAAAAAUCUAAGUAAAUAUUUUACCACGUUCUAUUGUUUGUGGGGAAAAUGACACCUGUAUCUCCAAGACCCUCGGGUUUUCAAUAAAGGAUGCCAAGAUCCCUUGUUGACUAUAAUACACUUUAGCUUUAUUUACUCAAAAAAAAUGACUCCAAUUUUUUAGAGUAAAUGCAAAUAUAAUAUUAAAAUAAAUGUAACAAUAUAUACUUUUUAAAAUAAUUUCUAUAUUUAGAAAAUAUUUUAAUAUUUUACUAUCUUGUAUUGCAUUAAAAAAAAUAUAAUAAAUAGAAACAUAAAGUUAAAAUAAAUAUUUAAAUAUUUCAAUUGUUUUCAAGAUUAUAUAAAAUAAUUUUAAUAUUAUUAAUUUAUGAGAUUUAUUUCAUUAAUUGUAAAAUCUAUUUAACCAAGGGAUGUUUGGUUUAAAGAAAGGGGAAGAGAGGAAAAGAGUAGAAUGGAAGGAAAUGGAGAAGAAAUGAGUGAAGGAGAAUAGUGAAAUUAAAUUUCAUUAUUUGGUUUGACAUAAAAUUUGAUAGGAAAAAGAAUUACAAUUUUUUUCUCUGGACAAAUUUAUUCUUUGCCUUAAAUACGAUCUAUAUUAGCAAUGAAAUAUAAUUUAAUUUCAAUACCAAACUUUUUUAAUGUCAAAAAGUCCUAAAAUAAUUCAUGAUUUAUUAGAAUUAUAUAUAUAUAACGGAGGUCCAGCGGCAAUCGAUGACGUUUCGACGGAAAUCAGUGGCGGUCGACGGCAUUCCAGUAGUGGUUUGGCAGAGUUCCGGUGAAAGUCUGGCAGAUGUUCGGUGACGGUUUGUCGGAGUUCCGGCGGCGGUUAAUUUAUAUUUCUAUAUUUUCAUAUUAAAUAAAUAAAUAAGUUUAUUUAUUUUGUUAAGUUUCUUAAAUCAUUCAUUAAAUUUAAUUAAUAUAAAAUUAUUUAUAACAUUAAAUUGAUGAUAUAAAAUUAUAAAUAAUAAUUACUAAGGGUAUUAAAUAAGCUAAAAAGUUGAAGGUAAUUUUGGAAGUUUUGGUUUCUAAUAUAAGAGGAAUUUAAAUUCUUCACUCUUUAGUGUGGAAAUCAAAUUAUACAUUAAUUCUUAUAUAUUUUGUCUAACUAAACAAUGAAAAUAAAAAUAGAACUUAAAUUACUUUCCUCUCCUCCAUUCUCUGCUCCCAACCAAACAACACCUAAAGAUUUAUUUAAAAUUUUUGUAAUAAAUACAGAUAAAUUAUUAAAAUAAAUAUAAUAAUUUGUAUGCUAAAGUUAUUUUUAUAUAUUAUAAAAUAUUCUAAUAUUCUAUUAGAUAAAUUAGAUUAUUUAAAUUAUAUUUGUCUUUAUUAGAAAAAUCUAAAAACCAAUUUUUUUAGUUACCAUUCACAAAGGAUAUUAUAGUCAAAAGAGGAUUUUGGUGUCCCUUAUUGAAUUCUUGAGGGUACAUAACUAUUUUCCCAAACUUAAAGUGUAAGUGUUCUUUUUCCUUGUUUGUGCCUCAAAAACUUAUUUGAAUAUUUAAAAAAGACUUCUAAUAGAUUUUUGAUGCAAUAAAUGACAAAAUUUGGCAUACAUUUCUAAUUAGUUCUAUUCCUCACGUUGACUGCAGUAACUUACUCAAACAGCUCUCUGAAAGAUAACAAAAUGAAUAGUCCUUCGUGACUGCAGUCUUCUUUCUUCUCCUUGCCUUUGCCACAAAACCGCUUGUGGGAUUCGCUGAUCCUUUGGUUGAUGUCAAUGGCAACAAGGUCGAAGCAUCCCGAGACUACUAUUUGGUCUCAGCAAUUCGAGGAGCAGGCGGCGGCGGCCUCACCCUCUUCAGGGGCAGAAACGAACUCUGCCCACUUGAU
RNAcentral lists this long non-coding RNA (90810 nucleotides) under Citrus x clementina. RNAcentral's name for it is "Citrus clementina (C. clementina) long non-coding RNA (CCLE_LNC004402)". The stretch from base 31235 to 31371 matches the Rfam family "Small nucleolar RNA Z247". The record is from RNAcentral. Lineage: Eukaryota; Viridiplantae; Streptophyta; Magnoliopsida; Sapindales; Rutaceae.